GAAGAUCAAAUGGUGCAUGUCCUUGGAAAGGUUGCCGGAUGUGCCCUUGUCCACCAAGUUGGAGACAAAUUGGACACCGCCAAAACCUGCAGAAGACAUCAUUCAGCCGGCGAAGCGAUUGCGACUUUCGUUGGAAUAGCAUGACAGGCAGGCAAUUAUAGCCUUGUUGAAAUUGUCAGGUUCCUUUUGAUUACGAUGAAGGAAACAGAAGUUUUCAUAUCGGUUAUUUUGCUAACCUGGUUUGGAUAAAGGCUAAGAAAGAAAUGGCCGCGAGUAUUCAGAGUUUUGAAGACCUGCAUGCGGAAUAAAAACCAAAUUUAUGGCCUUGCCUGUGGAAGAAAGCCCAAUUUGCAACCCUCAUUCACCACCGACUUGAACUAGUCCAGGUGUCCUCAUGUCACUUCUUGAGCCAUAUAUCGUAUUUCUUGAUGUUGUUAAGAUGAUGUUUGCUUUCUCAAAUUGAAUUCUCGUGAUGCAUGAAGUUGUUAUGCUUUAUUCAUUUUAAUUAUCUCUAAUGUAUGCAUUAUUAUGCAUGACUAGGCUUAACAAAUAUUCAUUACAAAUAUCUAUGAUAAUUGGUUGCAUUAGGCAUGGCGGCACAUCUGACUCGGUUUGUUUCACGGGAAAAGCAACAUUUAUGAAAAUAUUUUCCAAAAAGCUAUUUUUCAGGAAAAUGUAAUUAAUUUUUUGGUGUUUAGCUCAAACCUGAAAAUAAAAUAGAAAAUAUUUUUCGUUAUUUGGUAAGGAAAAUAUUUUUCUCCAUACACUUUUUUUCAAUAAUUUUUUUAUUAUUUUAUUUUUUAAAUCGAUUUUUCAAUGUUUUUUAUUUUUUUUAAAUAUCGAUUUUUAAUUUUUUCUUUUUUGUUUAUCUUCUUCUUUGGCUAGAGCUUGAGCUCGCUAGCCUCAAACUUCGCUAGAUUGGUGAGUGCAAAGUGGUGAACUAGAGCUCGCUAGAGGUCGGCCAACCUCUAGCUCACCGCUCGCCACUUGCGAGGGUGAGCCUUUAGCUCGUCAACCUUAGGCCUCACCAGAGGUUCACACUUGCUGCUCUAAGCGAGAGCCUCUAGUUUGCCAAUUUGGCGAGGCCCGAGGCCAACGUUAGCGAGCCUUGAGCUUGCUCAUUGGCCAUAGUCGUGGUUGGCAACUGGCCAAGAAGAAGGUGGAAAAAAAUAAAAGAAAAUAAAUGGAAAAAGAGAAAGAGAAAAAAAUAUUAUUAAAAAUUGUGCACUGAACGAUGGGCUAUGUACUGCAAGGACCAAUCAACAGUUAAAAAUACCUACGCUAAAAUCUUCUCUUUUUUUUUUUUUUAGUGCUAACAUGGUUCACAAAUUUUGUGUUUAUAUGUGGUUCAAUGGGCAAAUAAAUCAACUCGAGAUAGACAAAAAAAAAAAACUAAAUAAAAACCUUUGCACCUAAAUCCUUAAGCAUUUGACUUGUAAUAGAAGAGGCGCGAGUCUAUUGUGAAUUGAUUAAUGAACCAGUGCUCGUGAAACAUCACUUAAUUAAGAGGUUCCAUUUGGCCUUACCUGCUCUAUUUUUUUCCUUUAUUUCUUGCCCCCUUCUAUUUUGUCUUUUUUCUUUUUCUUUUUUCGAAAAAAAAUGGAUUGUCAAAAUUAUACCCCCGCGCCUCUUCGUCAAUAAUGCACAUUACAUGCUUACCAUAAUAUAUAUAUAUAUAUAUAUAUAUAUAUAUAUAUAUAAUGUAGCAUACUUGACACCCACAUGAACUACUCGGCUCUGUUUGUCUUGCAAAAGAUGAAUGAUUUGGAAAAUAUUUUCUUAAAAAUGAUUGAUUGUAUGGGUUGAAAUAAGUAGUCAAUGAAAAAUACUUUCAUUAUCAAUAACAAUUUAUGUCUAAAAUUUUCUUAGACGAUUAAAUUAUUUUUUGCUUGUAUAUUUUUGCAAGCAAUUAUUUUUAUGAAUUUUUUUUCAAAUUAUUCAUGUUUCGAGAGAUAAAUGCACCCUAAGUAUCCUCAUGUCAAUUCUUGAGCCAUAUACUAUAUUACUUGAUGAUGUUAACGUGAUGUUUUCUUUUCCAAAUUGAAUUCUUGGGCUGCAUGAAGUUAUUAUGUUUUAUUCAUUUUAAUUAUCUCUUAAGUAUGAUUUUAUUAUUUAUGAUAAGGCUUAACAAAUAUUCAUUGCUAAUAGCUAUGAUAUGGGUUGCAUUAGGCAUGACGGCAUCUCAUAGCAUUUGUGGUUUAGCCAAUGAAAGACUAAAUUAUUCCAACUUGUCAUCCAUCACACAUUUGCUGAAACAACAAUGGAUACUUUUGCAAUUACCAAAUCUGCUUAUGAAAUUGUGAUUCCAGAUGGCCAAUGAGUUGGAUCAGCUAUCAAGGACUUGUUUUACAUUUAAUGUUCAAAACAACACAUAUUGAUGAUUUACAUUGAAAUAGUAAUGUAAUUACCCGGAAUUGAUCAAGCUGGGAUGACGUGUUUACUAUCAGAGCAAACAUUGUUUGCUUGAGUCUGCUCAUGAUUAAAGAAAAUAGUAAAUCAUCGAUGUGAAAUCAAUCAGAUUCUGAAAAGGUCAAACUCAAGAAAAGGAAUUGCUUGCCCUAAUCCAAACAUAUUUGCCGUUCCAGCUGAUGGCGAACUAGAUUUAGGUGUGCCAGGCCACAAGGCCGAUGACCACCUAUAUGCAUGAUUGCCCUGUCGAAUCCCAAUAUAUUGGAGAGGUAAAAUUAGUUUGUUGCGCAAAAACAUAUUCAAAAUGUUACAUGACCAGCGCCCCAAAAAACAAAAGCUUUUGCAAAGAGUACUGUGAAAUGGGGAGAUGUCUCAAUAGUUACAAGUUUAGUCCGUGGACAGAUCUCUGGGAGUAUGACUUUAAACUCCAAGUGCGCAUGCUUUUUGUUAUACUCUCGUCCGGCUGUUUCGUCUCCUAGUCUACAUAAGCAUGUUUGACCUUGUUUAGCAUGCUCUGUUGUCUAAGACGCCAUAUUAUGCGUAACUGCAAUCAAUAUAUUGCUCCUAGGACAUCUUGUAUGGGAUCAUCUGCAAGGUGUAGAAGCUAAGUUAAUAAAAUCAAGCUACUCGAAAGUCUAGCAAUAGAGUCCGGAAGCCCCCUGUACAUUUGAUUGUUUUGGCUGAAAUAAUCACAUAAUUGCUGGUAUGUGUUGGGGAGUGUUGUUGAUUGAUAACUCUAUAAAAAUAGAGUUAUUUUACCUAUUUUAGGCAACAAUUAAUGCAUUAUCUAUGAGAAAAUAUUUGGAUUUCCUUCUGAUUAUUUGAAUUUUCGUUGUUUAUGCAGAAUAAUGAGAUAUGGAGAAGAUAAGGAAAAGAAUGGCAAUUAUCAGGAAUUCAAAUAAAAGCAGCAGUGGAAGAUAGAUAUCAAAUCAGGAAAUUCUUGAUUUUGUUCCCUAAUGUUAUCUGCAAGCGUUGGAAGAUAGAUAUCUUGGAUAUAUCCUAUAAAUAGAGACAGAGAGAGCAGCUAGGGUUUUUUGGAGAGAGGAGGGGUUAGAUCGUUUUCCAUUGUUAGAUCGUUUUUCAUUGUUCUGAGAGUUUUUCAAGUAUUUUGAAGAGAAGACAAAAGUGGUGACAGAAUUCUUGUCCUUUGAUUCAAGAUGCUAGGUUUGAUCUAUAUUUUUAUUUUUAUUUCUUAUUCUACUAUGUUCUAAUUUUCUUUUGUUAGGGCUACGAUGUAGCCUAACCAUGAUGAUAUGAAUUUCAUGAUUUUUAUGUUUUACAACUGAUUUCAUUCAUAUGAGUUAUAUAUUAUUACGUUUAAUGCUUUUGAGUGACUGGCCACCACUUGAAUGAUCUGAAGUGCAUGUUUAAGACUGAGAGGUGAUAAUAUGUAAUUGCUCAUUAUAAUAAAUAACCAUGAAUUAAACGUGGAUAGAAAUAUACCGCGUUAUUUGUGUAGCUUUCGGUGAUAAGGUGAUCUAAAAGACUCAUUGUAAACCGGGAAUAUUCAUAGUUCUUAAUGCAUUCAUGUUUAUUUUAAUUCACAUAGAGAUAUAGUGGAUUAAUAAGCUUAGUAGGUUUGCUAUACCUAGAGAUAGGAUAGUAAAUAGAUUAGGAAAUUCCGCUAUUACAUGUUUGAUAUCGUUCUUGUAUUCACAACAAUCUGAAAUUCAUAUCUAGUGGUUAUGGUGAAAUUGGAUGCUCUAACAUAUUUAUCUGAUUGAUUUUACUGCAUUUAGUCUUCAAGUUUUGUUUUUAAUUUAUUCUAAAUUAUAUUUUGAUUUGUUAUAUAAAUUUUAUAAUUAAUCUAUUUUAGUAUUUAAUUAGUUUAUUAAUCAUCGAUCUCCAUGGGACGAUACUUUUUCUCAUCAUUAUAUUACUUGUUCGAUAUGUGCACUUGCGUUUAGAAUUUUACGAACAAGUUUUUGGCGCCGUUGCCGGGGAUCGUUUGUUUAAUACUAAUUAAUAUUGAUACCAGAUAAUUCUAAAUUUAAUCUAGCUUUCGUUUUGUUUUUAUUUUUCAGGGUGUACAUUGGUUUAUGACACGUAGCCAACAAGGGGAACUUGUUGAGCUUGAUCCAGAAAUCGAGCGUACAUUCAAAAGGCGACUAAGAGAACAGAAAAAUCACGCUAAGAUGGCAGACGGUGAGAAUGAAAAUCCACGUAGACUUUUAAGAGAUUAUGCUGCGCCAACAGUUCAAGGCACCACAUCAAGUAUCAGAAGACCUGCAAUUCAAGCAAACAACUUUGAGAUUAAGCCGUCACUUAUUCAAAUGCUUCAACAAUCAGUGCAAUUCAGUGGGCUACCAAGCGAUGAUCCAAAUGCUCACAUCGAUGCUUUUCUUGAAAUCUGUGACACCAUUAAAUAUAAUGGAGUUACAGAUGAUGCUAUUAGAUUGAGAUUAUUUCCAUUCUCUCUUAGAGAUAAAGCUAAGAAUUGGCUUUCUUCUCUUCCUGCAGGAUCAAUUACUACAUGGAAUGAUAUGGCUCAGAAAUUUCUUGGUAAGUUCUUUCCACCUGCAAAGUUUGCGAAGAUGCGUAACGAUAUUACUAAUUUUAUGCAGAUGGAUAAUGAAUCAUUAUAUGAAGCAUGGGAAAGAUUCGAAGAAUUUCUUAGGAGAUGCCCACAUCACGGACUACCCGUAUAGAUGCAGGUACAAACUUUUUAUAAUGGCUCUACUGCAAAUCUUCGUUCUAUGAUUGAUGCAGCUGCAGGGGGACUUUAAAUAAUAAAACACCAGAAGAAGCCUACAAUUUAUUAGAAGAGAUGGCGUCCAAUAGUUAUCAGUGACCUACUGAGAGAUUACUAAUGCGAAAAGUUAGCGGAGUUCAUGAAGUUGAUGCUUUUGCUACAAUUGCUGCACAAUUUGAAACACUCAACAAAAAGCUAGAUAAUAUGAGUGUUUCAGCCAUGAAAAUUCACAAUUGACAUGUGAUUUUUGUGGUGGAGGACAUGUUAGCACAAAGUGUCAGGUAGGUAAUACUUUCAAACAACCUAGUGAAAAUUCUAACUUUGUUGGGAAUUUUAACAGGUCGCAGAAUAAUCCUUACUCCAACACAUACAAUCCGGGAUGGCGCAAUCAUCCAAAUUUUUCAUGGAACAAUCAGAAUGUGACGAGACCACCAGGAUUCAAACAAUCAGAAGAGACAAAGUCAAAUUUGGAAGACAUAGUCACCAAACUUGCUAACACAACUCAUAACUUCAUCAAAAGCACGGAUGUGAGAUUUCAAAACCAAGAGGCUUCAAUCAGAAAUCUGGAGAUGCAAGUGGGUCAGUUAGCAAGCAUGAUGUCAGGACGACAAUAGGGUUCUUUGCCGAGCAACACAGAGAAAAAUCCAAUUGAAAACAUAAAGGCUAUUACCCUGAGAAGUGGUAAACAAGUGGGAGAAGAAGAGAUUGUCAAAGACAAAGAAGAGGUAAUCAAUAAACAAUCGAAGGAGACAAGCAAGAGUAAACUUUUUCCAGAUAAUCCCAAGCCAUAUGUGCCGCCAAUUCCAUUCCCUCAACGACUCCAGCAGCACAAAAUGGAUAAGCAAUUUUCUAAAUUUCUUGAAGUAUUUAAAAAAUUGCACAUUAACAUUCCUUUUGCAGAUGCCUUAGCGCAAAUGCCUAGUUAUGCAAAAUUUUUGAAGGAGAUUUUAGCAAACAAAAGGAAACUGGAGGAUUAUGAGACUAUGAAGUUAAACGAGGAGUGUUCAGCUAUCCUACAAAACAAAUUGCCUCCGAAAUUAAAAGAUCCAGGAAGUUUUACUAUUCCUUGCACUAUUGGGGACUCUUACUUUGAAAAAGCAUUAUGUGAUUUAGGUGCAAGUAUUAAUCUGAUGCCUUAUUCUGUUUUCAAGAAAUUAGGCUUGGGCGAGGUAAAAGCAACCACAGUGUCACUUCAACUGGCUGAUCGAUCAAUUAAAUAUCCGAGAGGUAUUGUGAAAGAUGUUUUGGUAAAAGUUGACAAAUUUAUCUUUCCUGCAGAUUUCAUAGUUCUUGACAUGGAGGAAGAUUUUGAGGUACCACUUAUCUUAGGUCGACCUUUUCUAGCAACAGGAAGAGCUUUUAUUGAUAUACAACAGGGGAAGUUGAUCCUUAGAGUUCAAGAUGAUCUUGUUUCAUUUAAUGUUUUUAAAGCAAUGAAAUAUCCAUCUGAUGAUAAUUCUUGUUUUAGAGUUGAGACAGUUGACAAGUUGGUGAAUAAGGUUUUUCAAGAAAAUAUUUUUGAAGAUCCACUUGAAGCAUGUUUGAUUCAACUAAGAGACAAAGAUAUUCAGAAUGAGGAGAUAAAGGAGUACGCAAAUUUCAUGGAGGCAAUUCCACCAUAUUCAAGGCAAAAAGCAAUUAAAUUUGAAGAGUUGGGACAACACAUUACAAAACCUAAACCAUCAAUUGAAGAGCCUCCAAUUCUUGAACUCAAACCCUUACCUUCUCAUUUGAAAUAUGCUUAUUUAGAUGGAGUUUCUUCUUUACCGGUAAUUAUAUCUUCUUUUUUGACAGAUUUGAUGGAGGAGAAAUUGCUCAGAGUAUUAAGAGAGCAUAAAUGUGCAAUUGGAUGGAAAAUAGCUGAUAUCAAUGGAAUUAGUCCUUCAAUUUGCAUGCACAAAAUUUUGAUGGAAGAGUAAUAUAAACCCACUAUCCAACCUCAGAGGCGUUUGAACCCGAAGAUGCAAGAAGUAGUGAAAGCUGAGGUAAUUAAGCUACUUGAUGCAGGUAUCAUCUAUCCUAUCUCUGAUAGUUCUUGGGUAAGUCCUGUACAAGUUGUGCCAAAGAAAGGUGGUAUGACUGUUCAGAAAAACGACAACAAUGAAUUGAUUCCAACUAGAACAGUUACUGGGUGGCGUGUGUGUAUGGAUUACAGAAAAUUAAAUGAUGCCACUAGAAAAGAUCACUUUCAUUUACCAUUUAUUGAUCAGAUGUUAGAAAGACUUGCAGGGCAUGAAUUUUAUUGCUUUUUGGAUGGAUAUUCGGGGUAUAAUCAGAUUCCUAUUGUACCAGAAGAUCAAGAGAAAACUACUUUCACUUGUCCCUAUGGUGCUUUUGCUUUUAGAAGAAUGCCCUUUGGUCUUUGUAAUGCACCAGCUACUUUUCAAAGAUGCAUGAUGGUUAUUUUCUCUGAUAUUGUUGAAAAAUAUAUUGAGAUUUUCAUGGAUGAUUUUUCCGUUUUUGGCCUAUCAUUUGAUUCUUGUUUAAAUAAUUUGGCUUUGGUCUUACAAAGAUGUGAGGAGACUAACCUUGUUUUGAAUUGGGAGAAGUGUCACUUUAUGGUGCAGGAAGAAAUAGUGCUUGGGCAUAAAAUUUCUUGAAACGGAAUAGAAGUCGAUCGAGCCAAAGUGGAGGUCAUUGCAAAAUUACCUCCGCCAACAUCUGUGAAACUUGUCAGAGGAUUUUUGGGGCAUGCAGGAUUUUACAGGAGAUUUAUAAAAGAUUUUUCAAAAAUUGCUAAACCUCUUUCUAAUCUUUUGGAAAAAGAUUCUCCUUUUAAUUUUUCCGUUGAAUGCAUGCAGGCUUUUAACACUUUAAAGAAGAAGUUAAUAUCAGCACCAAUUAUGACAGCACCAAAUUGGGAUUUACCUUUUGAGCUGAUGUGUGAUGCUAGCGAUUCUGCAGUAGGAGCUGUUUUGGGACAAAGGAAGAAUAAAAAUUUUCGAACCAUAUACUAUGCCAGUCGAACCUUGUCAGGUGCACAAUUGAAUUAUUCAACAACAGAAAAGGAACUUUUGGCGGUAGUAUUUGCUUUUGAUAAAUUUCGUUCUUAUUUAAUUGGCUCAAAAGUUAUAGUUUAUUCUGACCACUCUGCUCUUAAGUAUCUGCUUGAAAAGAAAGAAUCAAAACCCAGGUUGAUCAGGUGGAUUCUAUUGCUACAAGAAUUUGAUUUGGAAAUCAAAGAUAAGAAGGGGAUUGGAAAUCUAAUUGCAGAUCACUUAUCAAGAAUUCCAAAUUCAAAGGAAGAGGUAAGACCAAUUUUGGAAGAGUUUCCUGAUGAGAACAUUUUUUCCAUUAAGUCAAUUCCUUGGUAUGCUGACUUUGUAAAUUAUUUGGUAAGUAAUGUUCUUCCUCCUGAAUUAUCAUAUCAACGGAAGAAAAAAUUCUUUUCUGAUGUUAAAAAUUAUUUUUGGGAAGAACCUUUCUUGUUUAAAGUAUGUGCAGAUCAGGUCAUAAGGAGAUGUGUUCCAGAUGAAGAGAAGGCAAACAUUCUACAUCAUUGUCAUGAUGGAGAGACAGGUGGCCAUUUUGGUGCCACAAAAACUGCAGCUAAGAUUUUACAAUCUGGAUUUUAUUGGCCUACACUUUUUAAAGAUGCAUACUCCCAUGUAGCUUCAUGUGAUAGGUGUCAAAGAACUGGAAAUAUUUCAAGAAAAAAUGAGAUUCUUUUAAACAACAUUAUUGUGUGUGAAUUAUUUGAUGUUUGGGGUAUUGAUUUCAUGGGACCCUUUACACCUUCUUAUGGAAAUUUAUACAUUUUAGUGGCUGUGGAGUAUGUGUCUAAGUGGGUAGAAGCUGUAGCAUUACCAACAAAUAAUGCUAAAGUUGUGGUGAAAUUUUUGAAGAAAAAUAUUUUUACCCGAUUCGGCACUCCGAAGGCAAUCAUAAGUGAUAGGGGGACACAUUUUUACAACAAGCAAUUUGAAGUACUUUUGAGUAAGUAUGAAGUCAUACAUAAGGUUGCAACCCCUUAUCAUCCUCAGACUAGUGGUCAAGUAGAGAUUUCAAAUAGAGAAAUCAAGAGAAUUUUAGAAAAAACAGUGAAUGCCUCUAGGAAAGAUUGGUCAAUAAAACUUGAUGAUGCACUUUGAGCCUAUAGGACAGCGUUCAAAACUCCAAUUGGGAUGUCUCCUUUUAGGCUAGUGUUUGGAAAGGCUUGUCACUUACCAGUGGAAUUAGAGCAUAAAGCAUAUUGGGCAUUGAAAUUUCUGAAUUUUGAUAUACAGUCUGCAGGUGAAGAAAGAUUAUUGCAACUAAAUGAAUUAGAGGAAUUUCGCAAUAAGGCCUAUGAAAAUUCUAAGUUGUACAAGGAGCAUACAAAAAGAUGGCAUGACAAGCACAUAUUCAGAAGAGAGUUUAAAAUUGGUCAAAAAGUCUUACUUUAUAACUCUCGUCUUAAACUUUUUCCAAGAAAGUUGCGAUCUAGAUGGUCUAGUCCUUUUACAGUUACACAGGUAUUCCCAUAUGGAACAGUUGAAGUUGCGCACGACACUGAUGGCACAUUCAAAGUGAAUGGUCAACGUUUGAAGCCCUACUUUGAAGGUGGUUACAACAAGCAGAAGACCACCAUUGAACUUCAUCCUCCAGAAUAGCGACAUCUGAGAUAGUUUAGCUGAAAACUAUAAAGCAAGCGCUUCUUGGGAGGCAACCCAAGCAUUUUAAUUAUGUUUUUAUUUAUUUUUAAGUUUAUGUUUUGCAAAAAAAAAAAAAAAGAUUAACUUUUCUCUAUUUUAUCCAGGUUAAUUUUAAGGGAGCACCUUUCAAGAGUUUAAUCAUCAAGGUCAUCUAUGGACUUAUCCUACAACUAGGGGAGUUUUCUUCUUCCUAUUUCUAUUUUUUUGCAUUGAGGACACUGCUUCAUUCAAGUUUGGGGGGGCGCCAAAUUUUUUGGAUAAUUUUUUUUCGUGAUUGCAUUCUUGGUUGUGAAUUUUUGCGAUUCUUAGGAAAAUUUAAAUUUUAUUUAAACUUGCAAUUGAUGUGUGAGUUAAUCUUAAUUCUGAUUAUGUUGAUCCACUUAUUGAGCACUAAAAGUCCUUACAUUUUGAAUUAUGUGUAAAUCUAGAGAACAUUCAUGUGAAAUAUGUGAUUUUCUUAAAUUUCAUCCAAAUCUUAGAAUUUGUUUGAAUUUCUCUUGAGGCGAAAUCCUAAGCUAAAUCUAAUUGAGAAAAUGAUAUAGGCAGUUUUUGGAUCGAUUGAGCCUUUCAAGCCAACCUUAUUCAUUUAUCCCUAGUCACCCCGUUGAGCCUUAAUUAUUACCCAAUUUUUCAGUGGCACCCAUAUAUUUUUAGCCUAGCCAUGAUCAAAUUAUAUCUUUAUCCCAUGCCCCAUGAACACAUUGAUUUUCUUUUGGGAUAAAAAAAAAUUAUUUGAGCUUGAUAGAAAUUUGGGAGGAAUGAUGGAGUAAAAAGAAGAAAAAAAAAAGUGAUUACAGUGGUUGUUUGGGGUGUAUUGUCAAAAAAAAAAAUGCUUUUAUGGUUCCCUAUCCAACUUUCAAUUGAGUGAGCCUUUUGGAUAUUCAAUGGGUUGGAAAUUUUUAUGUUAUAUUUGGAGGGACUUUGGGAGAAACUCCACCAUAAAGCAAUUCAAAAAGAAAAAAAAAAGAGAGAAAAGGAAAGAAAAAAAAAAGAAUGAUGAUAUAUGGCGGCAGAAAAAUUAUCUUGAAUGAGUGAAACUGGACAGUGACAUUGGCUCUAAUUAGAUCCUCGAAAUCAACGUGUUGAUGGGUGAUUUGAGCUUAAAAUUCCCGUUAUCUCACCUUUAGCCCAGCCUUACAUUACAACCCGAGAAAAGUCCUAUUGAUUUUUGAUUGGAUAAUUAACUUACAUUAGUGGAGAGAGGAAUGAAAAGCAAACCUAUGAGAUUUGGUUAUAAUUAUUGAGAAUUUUUAAGAGAUUGCAUGUUAAUGUGAGUUUAUUUGGAUUGCAUAUAAUUCGAAAAAGAUGAAGACUUUCACACACACACUUGGAUCAUAUAGUUAGAAUUGGUCUUAACUUAUAAAUUGAUUUCAAUGUUUGGAUGAAAUUUAUGUUUUUCUUUGAAUUGUGAAUUUGAGCAAUUAUGGAAAGAUGUCAUGGAGAAGGUUGUUAGGUUGAGUAUAUGUUAUGUUUUGAUUUUGCUCGAGGACUAGCAAAAUGUUAAGUUUGGGGGUUUGAUAACUCUAUAAAAAUAGAGUUAUUUUACCUAUUUUAGGCAACAAUUAAUGCAUUAUCUAUGAGAAAAUAUUUGGAUUUCCUUCUGAUGAUUUGAAUUUUCCUUGUUUAUGCAGAAUAAUAAGAUAUGGAGAAGAUAAGGAAAAGAAUGGUAAUUAUCAGGAAUUCAAAUAAAAGCAGCAGUGGAAGAUAGAUAUCAAAUCAGGAAAUUCUUGAUUUUGUUCCCUAAUGUUAUCUGCAAACGUUGGAAGAUAGAUAUCUUGGAUAUAUCCUAUAAAUAGAGACAGAGAGACCAGCUAGGGUUUUUUAGAGAGAGGAGGGGUUAGAUCGUUUUCCAUUGUUAGAUCGUUUUUCAAUGUUCUGAGAGUUUUUCAAGUAUUUUGAAGAGACGACAAAAGUGGUGACAGAAUUCUUGUCCUUUGAUUCAAGAUGCUGGGUUUGAUCUAUAUUUUUACUUUUAUUUCUUAUUCUACUAUGUUCUAAUUUUCUUUUGUUAGGGCUACGAUGUAGCCUAACCAUAAUGAUAUGAAUUUCAUGAUUUUUAUGUUUUACAAUUGAUUUCAUUCAUGUGAGUUAUAUAUUAUUACGUUUAAUGCUUUUGAGUGACUGGCCACCACUUGAAUGAUCUGAAGUGUAUGUUUGAGACUGAGAGGUGAUAAUAUGCAAUUGCUCAUUAUAAUAUAUAACCAUGAAUUAAACGUGGAUAGAAAUAUACCGCGUUAUUUGUGUAGCUUUCGGUGAUAAGGUGAUCCAAAAGACUCAUUGUCAACCGGGAAUAUUCAUAGUUCUUAAUGCACUCAUGUUUAUUUUAAUUCACAUAGAGAUAUAGUGGAUUAAUAAGCUUAGUAGGUUUGCUAUACCUAGAGAUAGGAUAGUAAAUAAAUUAGGAAAUUCCGCUACCACAUGUUUGAUAUCGUUCUUGUAUUCACAACAAUCUGAAAUUCAUAUCUAGUGGUUAUGGUGAAAUUGGAUGCUCUAACAUAUUUAUCUGAUUGAUUUUACUGCAUUUAGUCUUCAAGUUUUGUUUUUAAUUUAUUCUAAAUUAUAUUUUGAUUUGUUAGAUAAAUUUUAGAAUUAAUCUAUUUUAGUAUUUAAUUAGUUUAUUAAUCAUCGAUCUCCGUGGGACGAUACUUUUUCUCAUCAUUAUAUUACUUGUUCGAUACGUGCACUUGCGUUUAGAAUUUUACGAACAUUGAUUCUCUUCUCAUGAUCAUGAGGUCGUUUAUGGUCAUAGAUGAGAUAGCUAGUAUAAGCACCUAGAGGGGGGGUGAAUAGGUGUAUAAUAAUUUCUCAUGAUAAGUGAGCAAUACGAGAUAAACAAUAGAAAUGAAGUUCUCCUUUGGUUAACAAAACGAAUUAUGAUCCAAGUAAAGCAGAGAGUAGGGAAGAGAAAAUUAAACACAAGGUUUAUAGUGGUUUGGCUUAUUCCAAGCCUACGUCCACUCUUCCGCACUGACAGCCCACCAGCUGGAUUUCACUAUGAACAAAAGAGUUGUUACAGUAAAGUUCUCCCUUGAUUCCACAUUGUAGAUACUCUACCAUACUUCCUCAAGGUUUCUUAGAAUAUAGACUCUCUUUUGCAUACAAGAUUUCGCUCAGCAAAUGAAUUAACUAAGAACAAGGAGCUUCAGACUUUGGAAUUCUUCUAUCGUGCACACACUCGAACAACUGGAAUGUCUUCCUUAUAUACUCAUUUAUGCCAUCAUACCCGUUGGCACUUACUAAAGGAAUUCCUCCAAUCUACCCGUUGGACGGAAUCAAUUAGGAAGAUCAGUCGAGCUAUUAAAGGAACAUGUCGAUAGCCCAUCAAUCAUGUUCGCCUAUACAAUUAGGAUCUCGGUUUCCAUAAGUAGAACCUUCCAAGUAUACUUCGCCAAUUGUCGGAUCCUUAACCUUCGAAUCAAUCAUGAUCAAAUAAACGAUUCCAUUAUGUUAUAUCCAGCCUAGAGAUCUUCUCCAGUCGAUAAGGUCACAUCCUUAAUGAAACGCCCAGUUCUGGAUAGCCCUUCUUCAACGGAUUAGAAACUGUCAAUGAGAAUAGAUUUUGAGUCUUGAGUCUAGCAGUCCAGAGGUCUUCAGACUUUAAAUAGUAGAGUCUGCAAAUCUUCAGACUAGACUGAUGGAAACGUUUUGUCAGCUUCAAAAUACUUCACGAAGAUUUCUCCAACAAUCUCCCCCUUUUUGAUGGUGACAAAACUUUUCUGCAGAUUUGGAUAACUUUAACCUGCAAAAUAUUACUCAAACAAAUAUGGAUAUCUUAUAAAGAUAAAUGGCUUAAUGAUAACACUAGAAUCUGCAACCACAGAAAAUAGGUUAGUCUUUCAUGUGAGUAAAGCCAUUCAUAAGAUAUCAAAAGUACUUAAUAUAAGCAGUCAAAUCCAAAUCCCAAAUUCAGUCCACAUCCAGAGACAAAAGUCAAGUCAAACAUCGAAACAAUCCAAAAGUUCAAAAAGUUUUAAGGUUCAAAGUUUUCAAAUCUUACAUCUCUCCCCCUUUUUGUUAGCAUAAAAAAAGGUUGAGAUGGAAAUAGAAUAGAGUCAAGAUUGCUUGGGAACACGAACAAGCUGGAAAUCUCCCAUUGACUGGACAAUGCCUUCUAGCUUUUUCAAUUCCUCUUUCAGUUGAGCUACAUCUUCACCCUUAGCAUUUGCUUGAAUCUGAAGAGCAAGGGCUUGGAUCUGAUCAUUCAAAGAAACUGAAGAAGCUUGACCUGCAUUUUGCAAAUUCUGAACUUCGCAUCUCAGAGCAUAUAUCUGACCCCGCAUUUCCAAGAGAACAUCAAGAAUUCUGCGAAAAUCUGCUAAAUUAUCAGUCUGCGUACUGGCUUCUGCACGAUCAGAUGGAGUAAAGGCAGACGAUGACAAAUCAGCAUAGUCACGCAGAUUGGGCGAUGAAACAUCAUGUCCCUCCUCAAAAAAUUGAGAGGCAUAAAUGUCCUCUGGAUCUGCUGGAGAGCGACUGACUCCCUCACUAGUAGCAGGAUAUGAGGACAUUCCUCUUUUCUCAUGGUCUCCCCCUGUUUCCAUGCCUCCAGGUGGAGAAGAGUGUUCCUCAUGUUCUCCUUCCUCUUGAUCUUUUUUCUCUUCUUCUUCUUUUUCAAUUCUUUCCUCCUCAGCAUCUCUUUCUUCUUCUUCUCUCUCCUCUGUUUCUUUCUCUUCUACUUCCAAAUCUUCUCUUUCUUCAAUCCUCUGUUCUGAGUCUUUCUCUUGUCGUUCCUUUGAUUUUGGAAUAGAACGGCUCAGGUUCUUUAAUGCCAUUGCAGAAAUGGUGAUGUCUUCCUCAUCAUCUUCAUCCUCAACAAUGAGAGCUCUUCUUUUCUUGGAUGGAGCAACCAUGGGCUCCUUCUCUUUUCUUUUUGCUGCCGAAGAGAUUUGAUGAGUUUUGACAGGGGUUUUUUCCUUGAAUUUCUCCAACGCCUUGCUGAGUUCCUUCAGACGCAUUUUAGUCACCAUUUUCAGUCCCACCACCAUUUGAUCACAAGAUCGAACAUAGAGAAUUCGUGGAGGCUGAACAUUCAAAUAUCUGAAUAACUUUGUCACAAGACCUGGAUAAGGAAGUUGACCUUUGUCCUUCACCACUGCUCUAUACAUGUGGAACAUAAUAGUGUGAGGAAGAGAAAAAAUUUUCCCAACAAUGAUGGCAUACAUAUGUUUUGCCUCUGAGUUUGAAACAUCAGUCUUUGAAGUAGAUUUUGGUCUGAGGCAAUUAAUGACAAUCUUGUGAAGCAGAAUGUUAAAUGUGCUCAUCCUCAAGUAGGAAAUCUUUUCCUCUGUCCUUCUAUCCUUAACAAGUUCCAACGUAGCACGAGCAAUAGAGACAUUGAUAGGUUGAUAUCUCCCUCUCUCAACCCCAAUGACAUCAGCCAACAUAUCUACAUCCACCACAUAGUCCUGAUCUCAGACACUAAAAGAGAAUCUAUUCGCAUCCAAGAAACUGAGAUUCAAAUAGAAAUAUGCAGUGAGUUCAGCAUAGGCUUCUGUAGAGUCAAAACAGAACUGUUCAAGUUGAAGAAGACUAAAUUUUUCCGUUAAAUUAACAUUCACGGCAUCAAGGAAAUCAAAAUCCACACUUCUAGGGUUUAUCACCCCACACUUCAACAACUUAGAGUAUAAAAGCUUUUGUUCCUCCGAUCGAAACAAGUCGGUCCUUUUUUCCCGAAUUUUUGCCGCAACACCCAUUCUCGGUUGAAACUGACUAUACAAUUUAUCAUCAUCAUUCCCAUCUGGCUGAUUCAGCCCUCCAACAUGCGGAUCACUUGGGAUAUUAGCAAGGAUUUCUUCUACCAACCCCGCAGGGGCAAUUCCCAAACGCUCCAUAUUUCGUAAAAAGAUGUACUCAUUUCCAUACCCUUUGUCCUUAAGAAACUCAUCGAUGUAGUUCAAUGGAGUACCGGUCCUCUUUAAAGCACGAUAAAGCUUAUAAAUAAAAGAGGGCUUUUGAAUUCUUACAAGAUCUGCGCCUUCGAUGAUUUCUUCAUUUUCUCAAUGAGCAAUAUCCUAUGGACUAGAUGGAGGAGAAUGACGCUGCUGAGAAUGUUGUGGGCUUUGCUGCUGACUAGGAGACUCUUCUUCCUCGGUGAGAUCAAAAUGCGUAGGCCCCUCAUGCAUUUGCGGUCCCCUACUUGCAAUCCUCGAAGACUUCCUUUGAGACGACAUCUUUCACAGUCUUUGAAAGAUUCCAAACUUGACUUUCCCAAGAAAGAUGACAACUUUUUCGAAGAUUAAACAAGAGAAGAAGACAGGAAUGGAAGAUCAGUGCUCUCUUAGGGUUUUUGAGAGUAAAGCGAAGAAGAAACAACACUGUAUAAAACAGUCGAAGAGAGGCAUACGGAACAUCAUAAAAGAAGGUAAAAAGAUGCUUUUUUAAAACAUAACUGCCUUUUUCGAAAAAAUAGAUAAUAGUCAUUUAAAAAAUAACUCCUUUUUCGAAAAGGAAACGUUGCAAUAAUCACGUCAAUUAAAAAUAGCAAUAAUCAAACACGGUUAAUGAUCGUACCUUUUCAAGAUGAUAUUUGAGAGAUAAAAUAAAAUAACUUACGAAAAAAAAACUUGAUCGUCUGAGACUGAGUAUCUUUAGACUUUUAGUCCUGAGUCUGAAUUUCCUCAGACUUUAAGAUUUUGAGUCUGGAACGAAUAGCUUCAAAUUGAUUUUUCUCCAAAUGCUUUGUGAUUAUAUCCGCCAGUUGGUUCUUUGAGUCAACAAACUAAAUAGAAACUUCUCCAUUUUGAACAUGAUCUCUAAUGAAGUGAUGUCGAAUCUCUAUAUGCUUUGCUCUUGAGUGAAGAAUUGGAUUCUUAGUGAGAUUGAUUGCGCUAGUGUUGUCACAUUUAAUCUCUGUGUAUGAAUCUUCAAUUCCAAAGUCUCUUAGUUGUUGCUUUAUCCACAGAAUUUGUGAACAACAACUUCCAAGAGCUACAUACUCUGCUUCUGCUGUAGAGAGAGCUACUGUAUUUUGCUUCCUUGAAAACCAAAACACUGUCCUACUUCCAAGAAGUUGACAAGUACCUAAGGUGCUCUUUCUAUCAACUCUGCAUUCGGCUAGGUCUGCGUCUGAGUAUCCAAGAAGAGUAAAGUCUCCCUUUUUAGGAUACUAAAUACCAAAGUUUGAAGUUGAAGUAAUGUAUUUGAUAAUACGCUUUGCAGCACUUAAAUGAGAUUCUUUAGGGUCUGCUUCAAAUCUGGUACAAAUGCAAACACUAAACAAAAUGUCAGGUCUAGAAGCAGUAAGAUAAAAAAGUGAGCCAAUGAUACUCCUGUAUAGCUUCUGAUCGACUUUCUUUCCUCCUUCAUCUUUGUCUAUCUUCAAGGAACUUGACAUUGGUAUAUCAGCCUUUUUGCAAUUAUCCAGUCCAAACUUUUUGACAAGAUCAUUAGCAUAUUUUUCUUGAUGAAUAAAAGUUCAUUCCUUCAGUUGUUUCACUUGAAGCUCGAGAAAGAAUGUUAACUCACCCAUCAUGCUCAUUUCAAAUUCAUCCUGCAUAGUCGUAGAGAAUUUCUUGCACAGACUUUCAUUAGGGGAUCCAAAAAUAAUAUCAUCAACAUAUAUUUGAACAAGUACAAAACUUUUUCUUUCUCUUUUAAUAAAUAGAGUGGUGUCUACUUUACCUUUUAUAAAGCCAUUUUGAAUUAAAAACUUACUCAGCCUGUCGUACCAAGCUCGAGGUGCUUGCUUUAGACCAUAUAAAGCCUUUUUGAGUCUGAAUACCGAGUCUGGUUUCUUUGGGUCUUCAAACCCAGGUGGUUGUUCCACAUAGACUUCCUCAUUGAUAAAUCCAUUUAGGAAAGCACUUUUGACGUCCAUUUGAAAUAACUUGAAAUUCUUAUAGCAAGCAAAAGCAAGUAAUAAUCUAAUUGCUUCUAACCUCGCUACUGGUGCGUAAGUCUCGUCAUAGUCUAUCCCUUCUUCUUGCGUAUAUCCCUUGGCCACGAGUCUUGUUUUGUUUCUUACGACCUUUCCUUUCUCGUCCAUCUUAUUCCUGAAAACCCAUUUAGCUCUAAUAAUAGAUUUACCUUUUGGUUUGUAAGUCAACUCCCAAACACCAUUAAUGCUGAAUUGCCUGAGUUCUUCUUGCAUGGCUUCAAUCCAGCUUUCAUUAGAUAAAGCUUCUUCUAUACUUUUGGGUUCUUUUCAAAAAUAAGAGCUACAGCACUAGACGCUUCUCGCCUUUUGGAUCUUGUGUGAAUUCUUUCAUUAAUGUCGCCAAUAAUAAGAUCUUUGGGAUGACUGGACUUAUGCUUCCAGUUGCUGGUUAAUUUGUCAGGUUGAUGAUCACUUCCUUCAUUUGAAUCUUUAACAAUCAUUUGUUGCUGGUCUUUCGAAGUUUGAGCUGCUUCCUGAGAUUUAGACUUUGUAGAGUCUGGAGCAGGUUCAGGUUCUUCAAGAUGAGUCUGAAUAUAUUCAUUUUGCAUAGAAUCUUGGAAUUUGAUAUUCAUUGAUUCCUCCACAGAUUGAGUCUUCAUGUUGUAGACUCUAUACGCUUUGCUUGUGGUUGAAUAUCCAAGGAAGAUGCCUUCGUCUGAUUUUUCUUCAAACUUGCCAACUCGAUCAUUUGCAUUUUUCAAUAUAAAGCAUUUACAUCCAAACACAUGAAAAUAUGAAACAAUAGGCUUCUUUUAUUUGAAUAAUUCAUAGGGGGUUUUUUCUAGAAUAGGCCUUAGAAAAACUCUAUUAAUGAUAUAACAUGCUGUAGAAACUGCUUCAGCCCAAAAACGUGAAGACAUGUUGCUUUCUAUUAAAAGAGUUCUAGCCAUUUCUUGAAGUGACCUAUUCUUUCUUUCCACAACUCCGUUUUGUUCUGGAGUAUAUAGAGAGGAGAAUAAAUGCUGAAAACCAGAUUCAUCACAAAAUUUAGUAAAAUCUUGAUUUUCAAAUUCACCUCCAUGGUCUGUUCUUAUACUUGAAAUAACAUACCCUUUUUCGUUUUGAACCAUUUUAGCAAAUUUUUCAAAGUAAGAGAAAGUUUCAGGCUUACUUGCUAGGAAAUAUACCCAAGUAAAUCGUGAGUAGUCAUCCACAAUUACUAGGCAAUAUUUAUUUCCUCCAAUGCUCUGAGUUCUGGUUGGUCCAAAGAGAUCCAUAUGCAGAAGCUACAGUACACGAUUAGUGAAAACUUGAUUUAUUGGUUCAAAGGAAUUUCUUACCUGUUUUCCUAAUAUGCAUGGUGUCGCGACCAAUUUUUUCGGGGUUUAAACCACCUAGGGUUUGGCUAAUGGAUUGUUAAGCCUAGACUUAACUCGGGCUCUCCCAAGCCCAUACCAAUUCGCGACUUAGGUUCAAGUUUAUAACAUGCAAAUGAUUUUUCAAUUAGGAGUCGCCACUAAUCUAUUUUUGGUGGGUCGAUUAGAAACCCAAGUAAAGUAACGGGAGAUUCACUUUACUCCUACGAACCAGAGACUAUGGGUACGGGGACUUGGUUACACUAGAUUCCUCUAAUGCCCUUUCGGUACCUUUCUUUUUAUUUUGAAAAAUGUUUGGCAAGCAGUUUUGAUUGAUUUUAAAUUUAUUUCCCUAACAUGUGAGGCGAUCAUGCGAGUGCGCAAACCACCAAUUUAACACUCAGAUAAAGCAGUGAAUAAAUUAUAGGAUUUACCUCGAAGCAACGAAAGCAUCUGCGUUGUUAGAUCAAAAUUCACAUAAGCAAUCCUAGAUAUGAUUUCUAAUUAACACGCAAUCACUCAAUUUUUGCUUUCGUUUUAAUGAGAAUCAUGCAAUGCAAUACACUAAUCUAACAUGCAAUGAUAUGGCAUAGCAAUAUGACCUAAACUAACAUAAGUAAAAAAAUGAUUUUUUGUGUUUUCUUAGUGAACAUGCAAUAAUUAAAUAUGCAAUCUAAAUUAACCAAAUGACCUAACUCUAAUGACGAGGAAAUUCUAAUUAAAUGAACCUAGCAAUUACUAAAUGACGUGCAUUUCAUGAACCCAAUUCUAUAUGACGUGCACGUGAUUUUUUAUUUUCUUAAUAAGCAUGCAAUCUAUCCUGAUAUGCAAUGACGUGCAAAGAAUGCCCUAAUUCUAAUUUUUCUUUUUCUCUUAUGAAAUUCAAAAUUAAAAUGGCCAAAUAAUUAAACCUGCAAUUCAAAUUUAAAACUAACAUCCUAGAUGAAUGCAAUCUAAUUCAAAGAUAUCAUCUAACCUAGAUAUCAUCUAAACAUGCAUUUUAAAAAAACUAACUAACCUAUCAUGCAAUCAAUCCUAAUCUACAUGGGAUGGGAAUGCAAUUUUUUUGUAUUUUCGGGAUAAAUAGAACAACUAUGAGAUAGACAUCAAACCAACCAUGAUCGUCAAGAAUAUUAUCCAUCACUCAAUUUGAAAUUCAAAUUUGAUUAUCUCGCUAAUAAAAUCGAUAAAUUGAUCUUAAGCCUUAAAGAUCAAGAUAUCAGUUUUACUCCCGCGUGAAUAAUUAUUCCAUCUAAAGCCUUAUAGAUAGAAUAAAAAUUCGUGCGGUUGCGAAUUGGAUGCUACAUUAGGGAAUUUCAAUGAUGUAUUGGAAAAAAAAAUCAAACAAAGAGAUAAAAUAUCAAAACCUCAAACAAGAUAAACAAAUCUACCUAAUAAGUUAAAUCUACCUAAAAGAUAAACCUAUCAAAUAAAGUAAAAUAGAUCUAUACCUAAAUUUGAAUUUUUCCAAAAAACCAAUCGGUAGAACGGACCAACGAUGGGCAUGGCACGGCACGGCUCAGCUUUAGGGCAACGGUUGUGGCAAUAUCUCGGCUUGGCUUGGCACAAUUUGUGACGAUUUCGAUGGGCUAAUGUUCGGGACAUCAAUGUGGCGUCGAGUUAAACAUGGAACAGCAACGUUGACGCAACAAAAUCAGCAAGCUUCACCGAUAUUGGGUUGGGUUGUGAUGGACACAAUUCAAGCCUGAGGAACUCACGGACACGCCUACACCGAUACUGCUCAAUCCACUUUGAAGCACACCUCGACACCUGGACGUGGGCAGCAAUUGGGAUAGCAAACAGUCAACGUUUGAAGAUCCAAAUAUUUGCUGGAGAAGUUGAGGAAUUUGCUGUGAUGCUCAUCCCUCCUUGACGCGCCCUUGGACUAACGUGGCAGAACAAUGGGAACAGCAAAUUAGUUGACGUUGGGCGCCCUUCACAGACAAAACACCGCACCGAGAAGGAGCUGCAGGCACACGUGGAGAUCACCGAUGUCGAUGGAGCCUCCUUUGAACUUCCGAAGGUAAAAGGCACCGAGAAGGAGCUGCAGGCACGCGUGGGGAUCACUGAUGUCAAUUGAUCACCGAAAAUCAAAGGGCAGCACACGUUCGCCAACGAUUCUCCCUCACGAUCCGUCCCUCUCUCUCGAUUCUCAACUUUUCGUCCUCAAUUGUCCGGCCCCUUUACUCGACGGAAAGGACUCCUUUUAUAGGCCAAAAAAUUGUAUCUUCGUGGUAUAUUUCAUUUCUAAUUUUGCCUGUGCACGAUACUAUUGAAUAUAUCAUUCUAUCCCGCGCAAUAUUUUCAAAUAUUUCAUUCGAAAAUUUCCUUUCUGUCAAAAAUACAUCACUCGGUGUAUAUUGCCUAAAUAUAUGAAAAUCCCAACGAAAUAUGUGAAGAAUUUUGCACUCGCCGACGGUCCAAUAAAAUAAAUAAAAAUGUUCCUAAACUAUAUGCCAUGUUAUUAUUUUUUAUUUUUAUUUUAGUAAAAAUUAACCCAAAGAUUGUGCAAAAAUUUAGGUGUCAACAGCUGCCCCUCUUUGAAGGUGAGCUCGCAGAGGUUGCCUUCAAAGAUAAAUUGAGACCUAAAUUUUGGUCAUGCACAUGCAAUGAAUGAUUUUUUGUUGGAACAUGAAUUCCAUUUUUAAUGCAAUUUAUAUGAUGCAUGGAAAUGCAAAUGAUAGAUGAACCUACCUGAAAUAACUUACCUUCGAGGAGGAUAGAGUAAUCCGAGGUAGUGGGUGUUACCGGUCCAGGACACGUACCAUUCUACGGUCGCUUAGGGUGCGCAUGGAUUUGUUUCUGUUCUUUUUUUGUUCCUGGGAACAGAAACAAAAAAAAGUGUUUCUGUUCCGGGGAACAGUUUUUGAACAAAAGAACACGUUUGGUAACGUUUGGUCGGGGAAUAAAAAAUGAACAGAAACAUGUUUGGUAAAUUUUAUUAUUUUUUUGUUUCUUUUAAUUUUUUAAACAUUUUUUUUAUUUUUUAUUUUUCCUUUCUUUUUAUUUUUUCUUUUCUUCGGCCGGUCCCCGGCCUCCGGCGACCGGCCGACGGGGCCGGCAGCCUCGCCCAGCCACGGCGAGGCUCGCCGGAUCUGGGCGAGCUCGAGCUCGCCCAGCCAUGGCGAGGCUCGGCCUCGCCGGAUCUGGGCGAGGCCAAGCCUCGACGGCCGGUCGCCGGCGACCGGCCAAAAUGAAAUAGAAGAAAAAAAAGAAGAAAAGAAGAAGAGAAGAGUGAUUUUUGUUCUUUUGUUCCUUCCGAGAAGUGUUUCUUUCAAGAGAAACAACUUUUUUUUGUUUCUUUUUUCUGUUUCUAUUUCGUUCCAGAAACAAAAAAACAAAAAAAGAACAGAAACGCAACCAAACGCGUUUCUGUUCUUUUUUUGUUCCCGGGAACACUUUCCGUACAGAAGUGUUCCGGAAACACUUUUUUGGAGUGUUUCCAUGCACCCCCUUAGAAUAGUGAAGAUGCUGCUUUCCUAGGACCCAUACCAUUCUACGGUCGCCUAGUAUAGCAGAAAUGAGCUGCUUUCUCGAGACCCGUACCAUUCUACGGUUGCCCAAUACGGCAUAAAGGUUUUGUAAGGAACUGCUUUCCCAGGACCCGUACCAUUCUACGGUCGCCCAGUACAGUAGAAAGGUUUCAUCUAGGACCCGUACCAUUCUACGGUUGCCUGAAUAAGGAAUAGGUGUUGUCAAGGACCCGUACCAUUCUACGGUCGCCUGAAUGAGGAAAUUGCUUUUCCAGGACUCGUACCAUUCUACGGUCGCCUGUUAGAGCAAUAAAUGUUGUCUAGGACCCGUACCAUUCUACGGUUGCCUAGACUGAGGUUUUGCUUGGCCAGGACCCGAACCAUUCUUCGGUCGCCUUAAUCAGAUUGAAUCUGGAGAGAAAUCUUUGGGGGACAACUCAAUCGAGUGUCGGUAUGCUUAAAAGGGAAUACCUGUGCAAUGACAAAUAUUCCAGGUAUGGAUAGAGAUAUACUUACCUGGUAACAUCUCCGAUCUUCGGGGAUACAUCUCCUGCAAAACAUGGUCGUAGGAGAGACAACAUGCAUUGUUAAUCAUAAACAUGCAUCAAUUUAAUGGAGAUUCAUGAUGAUUUCCAUUAAUCUUGCAUCGCCUAAUUUCUAUUCUAAACACAUGAGUGUCAUGAAUGUGUCAAAUGAGGGAUCCUUUGGUCUGAAAGGACUUUUUCUCUCAUCCUCAUUAAAAUGGCAAUUUCAUCCUGACCUUUGAUGCAGGAUUUUGUCAAUUACUCUAUCUCACCAUCGUCAUGCCAAACAAGGGUCUGAGCAAUCUCGCAAGUGGUACGAUCUCACCAAUCUGAGAGGUCUUUAAAAGGGACCGUAAUGUGGGCUUAGUCAAUGGCUUAACAAAGGGGACUCUUUUGAGUCGAGGUUAUUUGAAAAAUGACAUUUCGUAACUGUCUUGGGAUUUUCAAGUCAAGAAAUAUAUGAAAUGAGGCAGUAAUUAUCUUACUCGCACUUCUUCAAGCGAUGCUUUCAAGCAUAUGAACUCUUACGUUAAUUCAAGUGCCCUAAUCUGAAGAGACUUUGUAAGGGACGUAACGUAGGCUUGGUUCAUGGGUUGUGAAAUGAAAGGAUCAUUAGGCUCAAAAAGUGUUUAAAGGGUCAAAGUUGGUGAUCAUCUUGACAUUUCCACCACUUUCCUUCUCCAUUGUCAGAGAUUUUUUUUUUUUUUUGCGCAUCGAUUGCAACAGCAUUUGAGUUUUUUUUCUUUUUUCUUUUGGGCAUCGGCCUUGCUUUUACCAGGCACACUGCUUUUUUCAUGCCCCAUUUUUGCAUUUUUUUUUAACAAAAUCUCCAUUUUUGUCGGUAUUCUAGUUCAUGCUACUUGAGUGUUUUUGUCUUGCCCCAGUGUGGGGGAUGAUCAUCAACUGGGUUUAAUAUGAAAUGAAUUCAUAGGCUCAAGUGGGCUAUGCAAUGGAUAAAAGUGUGUAGGAUAGAGAAAUGACUGCUCUUCAUCAUCCUAAGGCACUUUAAACUAUCAUAUGAGUUACAACGCGAAAGCAAUACUCGAAGAUUGAUGCAAGUGUGAGUAAGAAAAUUCCUAUCAUUCAUUUCAAACUCGGUCCCAAUGUGAGAUGAUCCUUGACAGGGAUGAUUUAAAAACUCUUUAUGUGUGUGGGCUCGAAGGGCUAAACAAUGGGUAUACCUGUAGUGUUUCGGGUAGAAGAAGAAAUUGCCUCUCGUCACCUUGGUUAGUGUACCCUUCGCGAGAUCACCCUUUUCGUUGCGGGCAUGGAAUUUCUUCAUACAACUUACCGAUGAUUAGUGUAUGGGAUAGUGUAUGGAACAAGGCUUGCCUUUCAUCAUUCCCAGGUAUCUCAUUCGACACACACAAUUCAUCAAGGAAGAAAAAUGCAAGAUUUAUGACAAAUUUGAACAAUUCAGCUCAUUGAGGCAUUUUAUUAGUCACAAAAAUACUUGCAGACAUGACAUGGCAAAUUCUAUCAUGGAUAAUAUUUCUUGACAACAUCAGCAUUAAUUGGGGUGGAAAACUCACGACCACCCAUCUCUGCUUGGAUCAAAGCACUUCCAGGAAGUACCUUCUUCACCACGUAUGGGUGGCUGCAGUUUGGAGCAAACUUGCCCCCAGAAUCUGGAAUUGGAUUGGAUCCUCUUCAUACCUUUGCAUGCUAUAAGACUGUCUCUGAAACAUAAUGUAGAUGGGUCAAAUAGACAAACGGGGUAAAUCAUUUUUUUUUUGAAAGAAUUUUUUUUUAAAAGCAAUUGGAAGAGUAUUUUUUUGAAGCAUUUUGACACGAGAAAGCACGAUGAAGCCCAGGCCUCAAAAUUUCUCCAUGGAUGAUAUUUUCUUUUUAUUGUUGGCUGGAUAUCAUCACCAGGCUGGUUUGGUAUACCUCAUCAUGCCCUCAAAAUAAAACUUGCAAUUUUAUUGAUAUUCAUCAAUCAAUUACAUUUAUUGAAUGGAAAUGCGAUUUUCAAGCCCUAAAAAGAAAGCGAAGAGAAAGAAAUAAAAAAACAAGCCCUAGAGAGUGAUAAAAAUUCCCGCGCAGGGGAAUGUGGGAAAGCAGGAAACGAGUUACUCUUGUGGGCUAGAGCCCAUCUUCUCCGGAGGUCCUUCAUCAAUGGUCCCUAUGAAGACGUCAUCGAAGAGACUAGUGAUCCCUUCCAAUGCAUCAUCGGGGUUCUCUGUUUCCGAGGGUGUUGGAUCAUCCAUGCCACCCCAUCCAUCUGGGACAAUGCUGCAGGGAUCAAUGUAGAAACUAGGAGGAGCCGUAUACUUCACCAGAUAGUCGAAUUUUCCGCUCGGCUGCCCUAGGGUGUCUAUUAUUUCUGCUUCAUCCUGCAUCAUUACCGGGGGGCUAGGGAAUGUCUCACGAAUGUUCGGGGGUGAUGGGUUUUGCCUUCCUCGCUCGUGGUCAGGUGACGGGUUCCGCCUUUCAUGUCUUCGUCCUCCAGAACUUUCCCCACCUCUUCCAUGGUACCCUAAUCUAGCAACACGAGACCUCUGAGGGGCUUCAUUGGGACUUCGAAUGCCCUGACCAUUUCUUUCAAGGCCACUACUAGGAACAAAACCAUUCCCAACCAUCAUCCUUCCCAUUAUGAGAGUAGCAUUUGAAACUUCAGGAGUGGGUGGUGAGUCUCGAGGUGCAUGUAUGGUGGACACCAACUCCAAUGAGUGGUAACUCGAUUCGACUUCAACGUCUGGAUCCAGAAUAGCAUUGACCGUACCCUCAUGCUCUGGUAGUGGAUUCUUCUGGACGUUCAGCCGAGCAGUUUGAAAUGAGAAGGCCUUCGUGUCCAAGAGGUCUUGGAUCUUAUGCUUGAGAGUGAAACAUUCAUCAGUUGAAUGCCCCAAUUCGCCGCUAUGGUAAUCACACUUCUUCAUUGGGUCGUAGCCUCAGAUGCUUUCACGAUUAGGACGCUUCGGCUCAUUAGUAAGCAAACCUUUCUUUCUUAGGAUUGCCAACACUUGGGAUGGAGAUCCGGGGAGAGGGGUAAACUGUCUUCUUGCUUGGGCAGCUUGUUGCCUUUGAUUCAUCUGGAUAGUCGGGGCACGAUUGGUACUUUCUUGGCUAUAAGCCAUAUUCACAUCUUCAGCAGGCUCUUUAUCCUUCUUGGCAAAGAAUCUUCUACUCGAUGGCUCAGUAAACCAUCCUUCCCUUAUCCCCAUCUCGAUUUGUUCCCCCACAGAAAUAAGCUGAUUGAAGCUUUCAACGUACAUGCUGGCCAUCCGGAUACGGAACUCAGAUGGGAGAGUUUUGAUAAAUAACUUCAUCAGCUCCUUGUCAGUAGGCUCGGGGGUGAUUUGAGUUGCCAGAUUUCGCCAUCUCACGGCAUACUCUUUGAACAACUCGCUCUUCUUCUUCUCCAUCAUCUCAAGAUCCUCUCGGGAAGGUGCAAUAUCCAUGUUGAAUUUGUAUUGCUUGAGAAAUGCAUCAGCCACUUCAUUCCAAGUGUUGAGAAGGUUCACAUUCUUCAUGACAUACCAAUUCAGUGCAGGCCCAGUCAAACUUGCAUGGAAUGAUUGGAUCAUGAGAGGCUCGUUCUUGACAUUUGGGCCAUGCGCACGUGGUACAUCUGCAAAUGAGCUUUUGGGCAGGAAGUACCAUCGUAUUUCUCAAAAUCCGGCAUUUUGAAUUUCUUUGGCAUCUUGACUUUCUCGUACACGGACAAGUCGAACAGGAGUGAACUCUGUGACUCCUGCAAUUGUUUCAACUUUUCUUCUAAUUUCACAAAGCGUUCAUCCUACUCCGUCUUAGGGAUGUUGACAAGCUUAGCAUUUUCCACAUUGAUCUGGAAUGGAUCAUCUUCCAGCCCUGGCAUGUCAUCCUCACCUAUUAGGGCCUUGUUUGCCGGCUUCGGGACUACUAUCUCAGGGAGAGUAGGUGCAGGAGCCAGAUUCACUUGGAGGGAUUGAAGUUGAGCUGUUAUAAGCUCCAUAGAGGCAGCUAACUGUUGGAGUUGGCCUUCCACGGAGGACAUGCGAUCGCGCAUCUCGCUUUGGUUGGCCAUUCUUGCUCUUAAUCGCAUGAUAAUAGGCGAGCGUGGAGAAUCCGUUAUCACCUAAAUCAAAUGGAUGAAAAUGCAUAAGUAUGAGGUGCAAAUAGCGAAUCAAUCCAUGACAAUGAUCUAUCAACUUUUUUUCUUUUUUUUCUUUUUUAUGAAAAGUUCUUACAAGAAGAGAAUUUCCUAAAGAGAGCUAGAAAAGUGGAUACCUUAGCAAGAUCAAAUUUUCUAGACAUGAAUUGAAAACAAAUUCUCCAAAGUUUUUUAAUUUUCCAAAUGAUUUAUUGCAUGGCAAUUUCCUCAUUUCAUCUCUAAUUGACAAAGAAGUUAAAUUAAUGAUUGACCUAAAUUGUCAUGGACCGACCAAAAACAUUACAAAAUAAAUUGCAUGGUAUAAGGAUAGAAGACUUACUUCACCAAGGUAAAACAACGGCAAUCACAUAGACAAGCGCAUGAAGUGUGAGGUUCGAUUUCUAACUAGGAAGGCUAAACAAGGUGGAGUUAAAAGGGUGGGAUGACUUAGUUGCAGCCUCGCAUACUAAGUCAAGUCCUCCUAACUCCGGCUCAGUCAAGAAUGAUACCCCAAUGCGACGUAGCCUCGCGGGCAAAGGCAAACAUUCUUGACACCAAGAAAAACAUUCGGGAUUGAGUUGGGCAACCUCUACUACACAGCCUCGCGGUCGAAGUCAUAUCCAACUCAAUACCAUCCUAUAUAUCCUAGUGCAGCCUAGGUCCGGCCACAGGUUGUGUGUGCAAUAGUGUAGUGCUAAAAUGCAAAGCAUGCACUACAGUUUAUAUCAAGCAGCACUUCAAUAACUUGAAUUUAAAACAUUCAUCUCCAACUCCAACCUACAAGACAAUAGUUAGCAAAGACUACUCCUCUUAUACCUCACAAUCUGCAAAAACAUUUAACACCUUAAAUGUUAGGGACGUACCUGGAAUCCUCGCUGCCAAACAAAAAUAUUUUUUUUUCCAAAAAGAAGAAAAUUGGCCUAAGUCCACUAAAUGUUUUAACACAAGUCCCCAGCGGAGUCGCCAAGCUGUCGCGACCAAUUUUUUCGGGGUUUAAACCACCUAGGGUUUGGCUAAUGGAUUGUUAAGCCUAAACUUAACUCGGGCUCUCCCAAGCCCAUACCAAUUCGCGACUUAGGUUCAAGUUUAUAACAUGCAAAUGAUUUUUCAAUUAGGAGUCGCCACUAAUCUAUUUUUGGUGGGUCGAUUAGAAACCCAAGUAAAGUAACGGGAGAUUCACUUUACUCCUACGAACCAGAGACUAUGGGUACGGGGACUUGGUUACACUAGAUUCCUCUAAUGCCCUUUCGUUACCUUUCUUUUUAUUUUGAAAAAUGUUUGGCAAGCAGUUUUGAUUGAUUUUAAAUUUAUUUCCCUAACAUGUGAGGCGAUCAUGCGAGUGCGCAAACCACCAAUUUAACACUCAGAUAAAGCAGUGAAUAAAUUAUAGGAUUUACCUCGAAGCAACGAAAGCAUCUGCGUUGUUAGAUCAAAAUUCACAUAAGCAAUCCUAGAUAUGAUUUCUAAUUAACACGCAAUCACUCAAUUUUUGCUUUCGUUUUAAUGAGAAUCAUGCAAUGCAAUACACUAAUCUAACAUGCAAUGAUAUGGCAUAGCAAUAUGACCUAAACUAUAUGACAUAAGUAAAAAAAAUGAUUUUUUGUGUUUUCUUAGUGAACAUGCAAUAAUUAAAUAUGCAAUCUAAAUUAACCAAAUGACCUAACUCUAAUGACGAUGAAAUUCUAAUUAAAUGAACCUAGCAAUUACUAAAUGACGUGCAUUUCAUGAACCCAAUUCUAUAUGACGUGCACGUGAUUUUUUAUUUUCUUAAUAAGCAUGCAAUCUAUCCUGAUAUGCAAUGACGUGCAAAGAAUGCCCUAAUUCUAAUUUUUCUUUUUCUCUUAUGAAAUUCAAAAUUAAAAUGGCCAAAUAAUUAAACCUGCAAUUCAAAUUUAAAACUAACAUCCUAGAUGAAUGCAAUCUAAUUCAAAGAUAUCAUCUAACCUAGAUAUCAUCUAAACAUGCAUUUUAAAAAAAACUAACUAACCUAUCAUGCAAUCAAUCCUAAUCUACAUGGGAUGGGAAUGCAAUUUUUUUUGUAUUUUCGGGAUAAAUAGAACAACUAUGAGAUAAACAUCAAACCAACCAUGAUCGUCAAGAAUAUUAUCCAUCACUCAAUUUGAAAUUCAAAUUUGAUUAUCUCGCUAAUAAAAUCGAUAAAUUGAUCUUAAGCCUUAAAGAUCAAGAUAUCAGUUUUACUCCCGCGUGAAUAAUUAUUCCAUCUAAAGCCUUAUAGAUAGAAUAAAAAUUCGUGCGGUUGCGAAUUGGAUGCUACAUUAGGGAAUUUCAAUGAUGUAUUGGAAAAAAAAAUCAAACAAAGAGAUAAAAUAUCAAAACCUCAAACAAGAUAAACAAAUCUACCUAAUAAGUUAAAUCUACCUAAAAGAUAAACCUAUCAAAUAAAGUAAAAUAGAUCUAUACCUAAAUUUGAAUUUUUCCAAAAAACCAAUCGGUAGAACGGACCAACGAUGGGCACGGCACGGCACGGCUCAGCUUUAGGGCAACGGUUGUGGCAAUAUCUCGGCUUGGCUUGGCACAAUUUGUGACGAUUUCGAUGGGCUAAUGUUCGGGACAUCAAUGUGGCGUCGAGUUAAACAUGGAACAGCAACGUUGACGCAACAAAAUCAGCAAGCUUCACCGAUAUUGGGUUGGGUUGUGAUGGACACAAUUCAAGCCUGAGGAACUCACGGACACGCCUACACCGAUACUGCUCAAUCCACUUUGAAGCACACCUCGACACCUGGACGUGGGCAGCAAUUGGGAUAGCAAACAGUCAACGUUUGAAGAUCCAAAUAUUUGCUGGAGAAGUUGAGGAAUUUGCUGUGAUGCUCAGCCCUCCUUGACGCGCCCUUGGACUAACGUGGCAGAACAAUGGGAACAUCAAAUUAGUUGACGUUGGGCGCCCUUCACAGACAAAACACCGCACCGAGAAGGAGCUGCAGGCACACGUGGAGAUCACCGAUGUCGAUGGAGCCUCCUUUGAACUUCCGAAGGUAAAAGGCACCGAGAAGGAGCUGCAGGCACGCGUGGGGAUCACUGAUGUCAAUUGAUCACCGAAAAUCAAAGGGCAGCACACGUUCGCCAACGAUUCUCCCUCACGAUCCGUCCCUCUCUCUCGAUUCUCAACUUUUCGUCCUCAAUUGUCUGGCCUUUUUACUCGACGGAAAGGACUCCUUUUAUAGGCCAAAAAAUUGUAUCUUCGUGGUAUAUUUCAUUUCUAAUUUUGCCUGUGCACGAUACUAUUGAAUAUAUCAUUCUAUCCCGCGCAAUAUUUUCAAAUAUUUCAUUCGAAAAGUUCCUUUCUGUCAAAAAUACAUCACUCGGUGUAUAUUGCCUAAAUAUAUGAAAAUCCCAACGAAAUAUGUGAAGAAUUUUGCACUCGCCGACGGUCCAAUAAAAUGAAUAAAAAUGUUCCUAAACUAUAUGCCAUGUUAUUAUUUUUUAUUUUUAUUUUAGUAAAAAUUAACCCAAAGAUUGUGCAAAAAUUUAGGUGUCAACACAUGGUAUACAUAAAUCAGACUUUUGGUAUGAUAGAUUGGGUAAACCACGAACAAGCUUCUUUGCUGAAAUUUUGGCUAUCUGCUUCAUAUUUAUGUGCCCAAGCUUUCUGUGCCAUAAGUUCGCUUCUUCUUGAAUUGAGAUUAGACAUUGCAAUUCAUCUGGUUUCACAUCCAAGAGGUAGAUAUUUCCAUGUCUUCGACCUAUGAAUGACUGAGUAGAAUCUUUACUUGUUCCUGAACAUAUUCCUUCUUGAAAAUUGAUUUUGAAACCAGUAUCACACAGCUGACUGAUACUGAGUAGAUUGUAGUUGAGUCCUUCCACUAAAGAAACAUUGCUUAUUGUGAGGUUUCCAAUCUUUACAGUUCCAAAUCCCACAAUUUUUCCUUUGCCGUUUCCUCCAAAAGAGACUUUUCCACCAUUUACUUGAACGAGCUUUAUGAAGCAAUUUGAAUCUCCCGUCAUGUGUCUUGAGCAUCCACUAUCCAGAUACCAUUUUACCUUUUUCUUGAUAGUGACCUGCAUUUAAAAAAGAAACUCAAACUUUCUUUGGUACCCAUAUUUUCUUGGGUCCAUUGUUGUUAGUAUGAUAUGCGGUUUUUGCCCAUACUUUCUUAACAGGUUUCCAAACCAUAGAACAUUAUUUUUCAAAAUGAUCUGCACUAUUGCACUUUGAACAUCUAAGAGCAUUGCGACCUAUUGGUUUUACAAAGAUCUUUUUAAAAUGAUUUUCGUAAGCAUCUCUUGUGGGUCUUUGCUUAAUUUUUUCCUUCACUUUAGGAAAAUCAAUUAAAGGAAUGGUUUCCACAGUCAUUCCCAAACUAGAUUUAUUGAAAUAAGGUCUUUGAACGGAAAGAAUUUUUUCCAGUUUCUCAGAUCCUAUAGAAAAUCUUUUAGAAAUAUUUGAGAUAUCAUUUUUCAAGAAUGCAUUUUCUUUUAAAAGAUUAUCUUCACUUUCUUUAAUAGAAGAAACAUUCAUGUCUAAACAUUUCACAUUUUCUUUCAAAACAUUUUCCUGUUGUUUUAGUGCAGAAUUUUCUCUUUUGAGUUCGGAAAUCCUUUUAAGAGAACUCUUAAGACUAAAACACAACUCAUCAAUGUAUUUAGAAACUUUAAUAGGGAUUUUGAAGUUACUCACCUCAAAUUCACUGUCUGAAUCUGAGUCUGUCUCGGAGUUUGAAUUUGAAUCCGAUUGUGCCAUCAGACAUAUAUUGGCAUAAUCAUCAUCACUUUCUUCACACUCUGUAUCACUCUAGGUUUCUGCUUUAAGAGCCUUUCAAUACUUUUCAGCUUUUCCUUUCUUCUUCCUUAGAAGAGGACAGUUGGGUCUGAUGUGUCCCUUUUCUUACAUUCAAAGAAGACUACAUCUUUGUUUGAUUCAUCAUCCUCAACAGACUUAAUCUGUUGCUUUUGAAAACUCUGUUUCUUUGGAUUGAAUCUUCUUCCUUUUCUGUUCAGCUUUCUGAAUCUUCUUAUCAUGAGAGCAAGCUCUUCAUCAUCCAUAUCGUCUUCAAAAUCUGUAACAUCAGAAUCAUCAUUGGAUUUUAAUGCAACGGAUUUCUUACCUUUAGGAUCUUCAUCUUCAUUGAUUCGCUCCACUUCAUAAGACUGAAGAGUCCCAACCAACUCAUCGACAGAUAGUGGCAUAAUUCUUUGUGUCUCUCUUAUUGAGGUCUUUAUGUGAUUCCAAUCCUUGGAGAGUCCACGUAGUAGCUUGUUUACCUUCAUGGGAUCAGAAAUUGGUUGACCUUAAUUUUCAAGACCAUUCACGAUUUCUGUAAAAUGACUAAACAUGUCAGUUAUCGAUUAUCCUGAUUUCAUUUUGAAGGCUUCAUAUUGACCGAGGAGAAUGUUGAUUAUGGUCUCUUUCACUCGAUCGGUUCCUUCAUAUGUAAUAUGUAAUCUAUCAUAGACUUCUUUCGCUGUAACACAAGAAGAUAUUCUGUUAUAUUCAGUAGGUGACAAAGCACAAUAUAAAUAAUAAAUUGCUUUUGCAUCAAGAGCUUGUCUCUUGGUUAUCUCUUCCUGAGUCAUUUCACUAAACUCAACGGUAUCUUUUCCUCUUUCUGAGACAGGUGCAGUUUUAGGAAUGAUUCAUUUGUCUACAACAUCCCAUUCCAGAGGAUCCUUUGAUCUUAGGAACGCCUUCAUCUUGUUUUUCCAUAUGUUGUAAUCCUUUCCAUCAAAGUAAGGCGGUCUGGUAUUGCUUUGCCCUUCUACCAGCCUUGGAGCUAAUAUACUAGCCAUGGAUCUUUAACUCUGAAGUAAAACACUUCAAACAAAGUGAGUACAUAGGCUCUGAUACCAAUUGAGAUAGCUAAUAUAAGCACCUAGAGGGGGGGUGAAUAGGUGUAUAAUAAUUUCUCGUGAUAAGUGAGCAAUACGAGAUAAACAAUAGAAAGGAAGUUCUCCUUUGGUUAACAAAACGAAUUAUGAUCAAAGUAAAGCAAAGAGUAGGGAAGAGAAAAUUGAACACAAGGUUUAUAGUGGUUUGGCUUAUUCCAAGCCUACGUCCAUUCUUCCGCACUGACAGCCUACCGACUGGAUUUCACUAUGAACAAAAGAGUUGUUACAGCAAGGUUCUCCCUUGAUUCCACAGUGUAGAUACUCUACCACACUUCCUCAAGGUUUCUCAGAAUAUAGACUCUCUUUUGCGUACAAGAUUUCGCUCAGCAAAUGAAUUGACUAAGAACAAGGAGCUUCAGACUUUGGAAUUCUUCUAUUGCGCACACACUCGAACAACUGGAACGUCUUCCUUAUAUACUCCUUUAUGCCAUCAUACCCGUUGGCACUUACCAAAGGAAUUCCUCCAAUCUACCCAUUGGACGGAAUCAAUUAGGAAGAUCAUUCAAGCUAUUAAAGGAACAUGUCGAUAGCCUAUCAAUCAUGUUCGCCCAUACAAUCAGGAUCUCGGUUUCCAUAAGUAGAACCUUCCAAGUAUACUUCGCCAAUCAUCGGAUCCUUAACCUUCGAAUCAAUCAUGAUCAAAUAAAGGAUUCCAUUAUGUCAUAUCUAGCCAAGAGAUCUUCUCCGGUCGAUAAGGUCACAUCCUUAAUGAAACACCCAGUUCUGGAUAGCCCUUAUUCAACGGAUUAGAAACUGUCAAUGAGAAUAGACUUUGAGUCUUGAGUUUGGCAGUCCGGAGGUCUUUAGACUUUAAAUAGUAGAGUCUGCAAAUCUUCAGACUAGACUGAUGGAAACGUUUUGUCAGCUUCAAAAUACUUCACGAAGAUUUCUCCAACAAUAGAUAACACUUAGGUAGCAAAAUUGUGCAAGAAACGAGUUUUGAGACAAUGCCAUGAAAGCUGACAAUUGUUUUCCUUUCCCUGGAUGUCCUAGAUGUUUUCUAAAGUAUCUUGUCAGAUUUCUGAUCUAGUAUGUUCCUUGCGGGCAAAAGUAUGGGUCUUGAUCCUACAGAAAUCGAUGUUCUAGUUGUUGGGGUCCUGUAGGAGUGACAACUUUACGCUUUACCUCUUUUAUCUCAGGUUUGCGAUCCAUUCUUCCUAAUAAGAACUUAUAUGUAUGACAGGGAUGUUGUUAGUGUAAAAUAUGGGUUUUGACCCAGUCAAAGAAAAAGAAAAAGGUAGAAGCUACAGCAAAGAGAGAGGAAUCGAGAGUUUUCGGGAGAGAGGGAAAAGAGAAGAGAAAGAGAGAGAGACGAAGAAAAUAAAGAAAGAAAACAAAAAGAAAAGGGAAGAGAUAAAAAGGAAGGAAAGCCCACGUUUGGGCACUAGAAAGAAAAGAAAGAAAAGAAGAAGAAGAAGAAUAAAAAGAAGAAGAAGAGAAAAGGGAAGAAAUGAAAAGGGUUUUGGCACGUGCACGCCAUGGAUGCCUUGCCAAGCCAACUCUACUCCAUAACGCAGCACCCGGUAAGAGAUUAGUCCCCCCGUUCAUCCAAUUGAAGUUAUUUAUGAGUUUAGGGCUCAAAUUCGGAAUUGUUGGAAAAUCAAGUGGCAAAGUCCGAUUUUGGAGUCGUUGAGCCGUGUACUUUUGUAGGAAUGAUACUUUAGGGUGUUGUGGAGCCGUGGGAUUUUACGGAUCGUGAUUUGAGCUUGUGCUUUGUCCGAAACAAAAUUUCAAAGUUUCCCCUGCGCAGUGAACAGUACGCGUCCAGCAGCUUUGGGCCUAUAUUUUGUCACCUUUUGGCUUGAUUUUGGGAUGGUGAAGUUGGGAUUCUUGUUAUAUGUGUCAAGGGCUCUCUAUUGACUAUAAAUUCGUUUGGAUCGGGGUUCGGAGGAGGAAGUUAAGGCGUGAUCAAGUUUUUUCGCUUAAACUCCUCGUUGUGAAUCGCUUAAACAAUCGCUUUGGUUAUGCGAUUUGUUAGCGCGUAAAAGUCUUUUUGUUAGAGUUAAGGCAUAAGUUAGUCAUUUUGUAGUUAAGAUAAGAGUUUUAUUAGACUUUAACAUUAUUCCUCGAUUAUUUGAUAGGGCUUUGAGUUCGACGAUAUGAGUAUCGUUCAUCGUUUGGUCAUAGACAACGAGGUGAGUGGUACUAUAUCUUCUUUGGUUUUGAAAAAUUCAUGUCUUGAAGUAUAUAUGUAUAUACAUUGAAUUGAGAAGAGCAUUUUUAUGCAUAAAAGCCAGAUCGAACAAUUGCUACUCUUUGGUUGAUUAUGAAUGUUUGAAAAGCGUGUUAUACAAAGUAAGUGGAGAAAUAUAUAUAUUGAUUUAUGGAAAGGUUUAUAAUGAUUUGAGAAAUUGAUAUGAAAUGGAUGAUGGGUUAUGCUGCAAAUGUUAUUUGUUUGGUUUAAGAUAUUGAUUUCUAAAUUUGAUUUCUAGUAUUGGAGGAUGGUUAUUUAUGCUCAAUAUGAUUGUGAACCCAGUGAGGGGUUUUUGGGAUAUGCAUACCAAGUUUAGGAUAUCCUUCUGGGCCCAGCCAUCGGCUUUGUAGGUGGAGACCUUGCCAAGGGGAGAAUCUUGGUCGCCUUGUCACCAGGUGUUGUGUCGUGACCAUGGUUAGUUAAUGAGUAAAAGAUUGAUCAAUGGAUAGACCCUUAAUAUGUGUUUUUGAUGGAGAUUAUUCAAUGGAUUUGACCAUUGAUACUUAACUUUUUAUGGCGAUUUAAAUGAGUUUUUCCAUAUUAGUAUAAAGCUCUGAUGAUAAGAAAUAACUAUUAUAUGAUUCAAUAUGUAUUUUAUAUAUUGAGUUGGCGUUAUGAAGUUUGAUAUUGUUUUGUAUGCAUGCAUAGUGGUUGUUCGAUCUGCUUAGAAGAUAUGUACUACUCACUGAGCUGUUGUUGCUCAUUCCACUCCUCCUUUAAUCUUUUCAGGUUCCUCGGUUAGCAGCGAAUAGAGCGAGUGCGCCGUCAGUGGAAAACUUUUUGGGGAGUUCUAUUUUUGGGUAUGGUCAAAGGAAAUGGUGUACAUAUUCCUUGCUAGUGGUUGGAUUGUUUGAGUUCUAAUUGUAUAUUUCUUUUUGGUGGAUUAUAGAAACUCUGAUGUUGCAACCAAUCUGUUGGUAUAUCUAAUAUGUAUAUAUGGUUUGAUAUAUAUAUAUAUAUAUAUAUAUAUAUAUAUAUAUAUAAGUUGAUAUCGAGUUGUUGGUUGUGUUUGAGACUGCGUCCUUCAUGUGGAAGGACGGCUGUGCCAUCCCCAUUCUUUGUGAUUUUGGGGUGUGACAGUUAGACAUUGCACUUUUCUAUAAUAUGAUAAAUGUCAGUUAGCAUUCGCAAUCUAGAGGUUAAACCACCUAGUUCUUUCACUCCUUAAGACAUUGAUCACCGGACAUCUCACAUCCAAAAUGGUGGGAAAGUAUUUGUUGAAGUAAAUAAGUUUCCGUUUUCUAUGGAUUUAGCUGUUAAUAUCACAUUUUGGUUAGUUUCUUCAGAUUUAGGUUUUCAGGUCGUAAAAUAAUGCUGUAGCUGUUCUACUGAUGUUAAUUUUGAAACAGGUUUUGUUAAGCUUCGCAAUACAAAGGCUGCCUGAGUAGUAUACUAUUACAAGCAACUCAUUUUCCACAUAUGACUGCAUGCUUAAUCAUGUUAGUCUCUGAAUUCUUCAGAUCCACAAGCCAUUUAGUUGAUGUACUAUGUUAAGAACUUUCUUAUGAGAAUGAUGAGAUUUUUGCAAGAAUCACAUCUUAGGUCCAUGGGGCAUAUGUCUUUUGCAAGUUAGCUUUAUAGCGUUGUCUAUGCACUAAAAUAAACCUAUGAGAGCUUGUAAUGAUUUAGGUCAAGGAAUUUAAUAUAUCAAGGGUUAAUACCCUGAAAAAUCCAUAACCAGUAUAUAUGUAAUAAAUUUACCAUAAAUUAAUUUUUUGAUCACGAAAAACCCCGAACUAAUACAAUUGUGACAAAUUUACCAAAUAACCACAAAAAAAUCCAAAACUGGUAUACUUGUGAUAAAUUUAUCCCAAACUAAUUUGCUCGACUGCCAAAAACCCCAAAUUAGUAUAUUUGUGAUAAAUAUAGCUUCUGUUAAAUUGGGUUAAUACCACAAAAAAAUCACGAAAAUGGUAUAAUUAUGACAAAUAAAGAGUAAAAUCCUAAACUGGCAUAUUAGUCAACUAUCAAGUGUCAUCUAACUCAGCAAUUUGAUAGUAAAAUUUAACGGAAACAAAGAGAUUGUAAAUUUGUCAUAAGAGUAUCGGUUUGGGAUAAAUUGUCAAAAGUGUACCAGUUUGGGGUUUUUGAUAAUCAAAAAAUUAGUUUGGAGUAAAUUUAUCACAGUUGUGCCAGCUUGUGAUUUUUUAGGAUAUUAACCCAUUUAUCAAUUGAAGCUUGGAAAAACUAUCAACUAUCACUACCCAAGAAAAAGUCCUACUGAAGAUCUUUCUUUGAAUUAAUAGGACAUCUUGCGUAGGAGAGUAUGUACAAGGUGAUUACUCUGUCUUGGGCUAUGGGCAGAAGCAAGCACUGUGGAAAAUAUCUUAGUUUUUGAUUAUCUUGUCUGGUCCUCAUUUAAGGAAAACUAACGAAGGUAACAGAAAGAAUGUAGAAACAGAUCACCGUACAUCUUUUGUUGCUACAGCUAAGAGAAUGACUUGCAUUUUGUUGAUAAGUGGAGUAGUCCAUGCAGCGACCUCAUUCUUAAAUCUGUCAGAUUUUCUUAAAAGUGAUUGUUGAUGCCUACUUGAAACUAAAUUUUUUCUGCAUCUAUUUCCACAGGGAAAUUAUGACAUGACGUUUUAGUCUUCACUUUCCUGCUUCCUUACCUUAUAUGGGGAAGCCAACUGAAUUAUGUACCUCUGUGCCUGCACAACUUUCAGGCUAAAGCUGGAGCUGGCUCUGCAUCUCUCUCCGUGGUCAGUCCUUUUUUUGGCCCUUGAGAUGUAGUGUGAUCUCUGUCAUGAACAGGAAAUCUGAUGGUUAUUCGCUAUGUGGACUGGACUCUUUUCAUAUGCUCAAAUAAUGUGAAAAUGAAUUAUGCAGGCAUAUGUUGCUAUGAAGUUUGCCGAUGCAUGCCUGCGUGGAUUGAGAGACGACGCUGGCAUCGUCAAAGUGUGCAUUUGCUGCUUCUCAGAUUUAGCCCUUAAAAAAACUUAUCGAGAUCCAAUCUCUUUACUUCUCUUGAAUACAAACUAAAAUGACCAAUGAUGUUCUUUAUUGUUGUCCCCGUUUUUCAAGGGAAAGAGCUUCCGUUCUCUGCAUCCAAAGUCACCUCGAUCGUACUAGGGCGAGGAGGUUCUUCCCUUUGGCCCACUGAAUUAGUACGAAAGGUCUGGAAUUUUAAUAAUCCUGACAUUUUUUUGGUCUACUUUGAUUACAUUAGAGAAAGAUGAAGUUUUCCAAUUUCGGCCUCUAUUUGUUAACCUGUAGAGAUGGCUUGGAAAAGGCAAAGAAAGAACCAAUGGCGAGCAUUCAGAAGGGCAUUUCAUUUAUCAAGAAGUGAGCAGAUUAAGGACGUGGCUUUUCCAAGGAAAAAGAUGUCCCCUGCAUAAUUUCCAGCCAUUUUCUACUCAAAAUUGGCACUUGAGAAUAAGUGGUUCAGACCUAAGAAGAUAUCCAAGUUUAUAUUGCAUACCUGGUGCAGAAAACAUAGAGGUUUUUCUUUUCUCGCAUGUAAUGUACUCGAAUGGUGGUCUGCGUAAUAACAUGGUGGAUGGAUGUUUGUUGAUCAUUGUCCUAUGUCCAUCUUUCUUUUGUUUCCAACUUUGAUAUUCACCCGUAAUGUCGCCUCCAGGUAGCACUAUCAGCUGUGCAAUGCUGCGGCAAGCAAACGGGUAGACAGAACACGUGACGGACAAACGAGCAAGAGAGCCCUCAUGGAGGCUCUUCUUCGGUGGUGGGCAGGAAGAGUUUGAGAAUUUUUCAAUUUGUAGAUGCCUCUUGGGAGGUUCGCCCUAAACACCGGCGGCAAUUCUCACACCAAGUUUUUACACCCACGAAGAGGACAACUCGCAUCCAUAACGAAUUGCUAAAAGAGGAAGCCUCUCUGGCCUUGUGAAAUCAGUUUCUUGAAUAAAUGAAAUCGGUGCCCUGGUGACACCGGUUUAACCGGUUCAAACAAAACCCUGAAAUGUCGUAGAAGUUGUAUUUUUUCUCACGCUCUCUCUUGUAUCACCUGAGUCCUUAUCUAGUCUCGUAUCUUUCUCAAUCUUGUGGAUUGCGGCCUUGCCUAUGACGGCCCACUUGGUGCUCUUUGGUUUCGUUUUUGAAUUCUUCGUCAAAUGGAUUUAUUUGAUUAAAUGACAGCAUACAUCCAAAAUAGUGGAAAAGAAGUUGUCAAGGAAAUUCAUUUCAAUCUUUUAUGGAUGUAGACGUCAAUCUUUUAAUCAUGUUAGAGUCUCCGAAUUCUUUUAAUUCACAAGCUAUCUCAAAGAUUUACUCUAUUGAAAAGUUUUUUUAAGUAAAGGAAGAGAUUUUCAUGAGAAUCGCAUCGUAGAUCUAUCACGACCUACCUUUCCUAUUCGAAGGGGAAAAGGCGUUAGGUUUAGGGGUAUUAUUUAAAAGGCGAGUCUACUGCCCUCUCCCAAGCCUAUUAUUAAGGUAUUCAAAUUGAUGCUAUAAGAAUUUUUUAUGAAGAGUCACUACUAACCUAUUGAGGUCGGUUGGAAAUCAAAUGAGGCACGAAAGUAUAUCUUACUUCUUAUGUAAUUAGAUAAUCUAGAUUAUACUAAUUAAUCAACUAGUGCCUUUGUACCUAAUCUAAUUCAUUUCAAUGCACUAGCAUGUGAAUUAAUUAUGCAUGUGCAAAAUCAUUAAAAUAACAAUCUACAAAAACAAAAAUUUAAUGCUAAGAAAUAAGAAAAAUGUCAUUUCUAACUAUGCUAAAGGGAAACCACAAUCUAAAUGUCAGAAGUAUGCAAUCAAUUGAUAAUCAAAAUGGAUUUGCGCAAAUAACGAUAUCUUUAAGAACAUUCAAACCCUAUAGUAAAGUCUUAAGAAUUUAUUUAAUUUUAAGCACAAAUUUUAUCAAAGAUUUAUGCAUAUUUUAAGAGAAAACUACUCAAGCUUUUUCAUACCUUUUAGAAAAAAUAUUUUUUAAAUUUUUUUAAUAAAAAUAUUUAAAAUUUUUUUAAUAAAAAUAUUUAAAAAAUUUUAAAUCCGAAAAUAUGGAUUCGGACUGGGCCCUAGGGCCCAUUUCGAACAUCGAUACAUAUAGUUUCGCGGGGCCGAGCUAUGGACAUCGAAAUUGGGCCAGUACAUCAGGCCCUCCUCCAAUGAACCAAACCCACUAAAAAAUUAGCCCAAUCCGAACUAUCUAAGCUAAGCCACGCGCAAGCUUUAUAAAACUAAAUCAAACCCAACGUCAACGCUCAAGCCCACUUAUGCCGAACCCAAUCUAAUGAGACUAAAUGGAACCCUAAGCUCCUUCAACUUGCCUAAGCCUACGGUCCACCAUAAUCUUAGUGAGUGCACACUGUCCAUAUUCUAACCUAAAACCCCCACUAAUCCCAUAAAGCCCACACUAAUAAUCCCUUUUCCCUUUACUUCCUUUUUUACCUUCCAUCACCAAGCCGCUACUGUUGUUCAUCAACCAUUCAAGAUUUCGCAAAAUUACGAUCGCAAGUGACUGGAGCAAACAGGGCAUUAAAAGGAACUCAAUAAACAAACCGGCGAGGACUCAUUCAGGAACCGUCACAAGGCCUUUGCUUCACUGACACACCCCAUUGUUUAACCACUAGCAUGCAUGCGGCUCAUAACAAGAAGAGGAGAAUGUGGGCAGAAACAUUCAGGCCAGCACGAAUCCGGCGAGGGAAUAAUCAACAUCAACAAAGGACGGCAUAAGCCAGCCCGUCGGAGGACCGACUUGGUCUCAUUUUAUAGUAACACUAACUGGGGCAUUUUCACAAACAGUUGACGUGUGCUACCGAAUCAUAAUGUUUCCGGCUCAACCGGGACUCGGAUGCGUGCUGGAGAUCCCGACGCACGAUGUAUGGGGACUAUGGAAACAAAAUGCAAGGGCAACGAGGCCCGGAGCUCGCACGAGCUGAACGGCCGCGAGCGCCGGCACAACGUCACCCAAAACGGGGCAAAACAGAGGACUUGCAGUAAAGAGAUAAACAGGGGCGGUCGCGGCAGGGCCCUACCCGGCUCGGCCGUAGCGAAUGGAGAUCGAGAUUGACAGAUUCGGCCACGCUCGAUCGUCUUGCAUGCCUCUGAGCCGAGAUCCUCAGGAAAUCUGUUGGAAGAUAUGCCGAAGAUAUGCACAGAUUGUGAUGGAUAUAUUCUCCAAAUUGUAAUUGAUUAUGUUUGUAUCAAUCUAGGAUUAGAUCUGAUAUACUUUCCUUUUAUUAAACAUCCUCUGUACAUUAUUUAAUCCUCUUUGUACAUUGGAACAAUCAAUGAAGUGCACAGAAUACAUUACUCUCUAUUCUCUCUAUUCUACUUGCUUUCACUCUGUUUUCUGACAUGGUAUCAGAGCCGUGUUCCUUCUUUUUCUGACUCCCGCACUUCUUGAUUGCCCUCCGGACGUUUCUUGUCUUUGUUGUUGUAGGAACACUAAACCUGCACAACAAGAUUAGCACUCCGGUGUAGGAAUCAGUAUUUAAGCACUUCAAAAUCAUAAAUAUUUCCUUACCGUUUUCUGCUUUCUUACCAACAUCAUGGUUAAGGAAGAUUCAUCGAUUUCUAAAGAAAAAAUCCCAGAAGAGUCGUCUGUGCAACAAGAACAGCCGAACCAGGGACAGCCCAUCGCAGGCCAAGCCACUUCGGGACAACCGAUCGCAGCUCAGCAUGCUUCAGGGCAAUCCAUCCAGUGGCUCCCUAUUCAGAUGCCACCCGGCCCAUGGAUCUACGGGCCCACCCAGCCAAAUCCAUGGUCGAUGGGUCAAGGCGUCGGAGAGCCGGUUCAGCCCGGUGGAGCCCCAUCAACCGCUUUCGGGGCAAGCCAAACCACUGGGCCAAACCCAACAAAUACAGAUUAUUUUCAACCGGGUAUUUCGGGUUCGAGGCCAAAUCCCUACCCGGUUUCUUGCCGUAUCCGUUCGUCGCCGCCAGUGGUCGACCGGAGCCUGGUGAUCCGCUCUACACGACGACGGGCGACGGACCGGAGCUACGGCUCAUCACGCAACAACUAUCAGGCCCCGACAACUACUCAAGCUGGUCGGUGGAGUUUCGGCGAGCCUUGGUCACGAAAGACAAAGAAGUUUUUAUUGAUGGUACUUUACCGGUCCCUUCGGAUGAACGUAUGGCGCGACUGUGGAGGAAGUGCAAUCAGUUAGUCCGAACAUGGAUCGGCAACUGCAUUACCUCCGAAGUCGCUGCCAGACUCCCACCGACGGAAGAUUCAAGAAAAAUGUGGGACAAUAUUAAGGAGAUGUAUGGAAAAUUAGAUAGGGUUAAGAUUUUUACCUUGACCCAACAACUCUCGGAUCUAAAACAGGGCAACAUGAGCAUCGCCGCAGUUUACAACAAGCUCUCUGCCUUAUGGAACGAAUUGGAGGUAGUCGAGGAGAAGUUAGAGGGCCCAGAUCUUACCUUACAGCAAUACCGCACCAUUCGAGAGAGGGAAAAAAUCACCAGAUUCUUGCUGAUCUUGAACGAAUCUUACCAGAGUUUCCGAUCUCAAAUCUUGGUGAUGGAACCCAUGCCGACUCUUGGCCGGAUCUAUCAGCUCGCCGUCCAAGAAGAAAGCCAGCGUUUUGUUGGCUCUGAUCUACAGAAAUCCGGCGACGAGAUGGCACUCGCAGCCCAUGAGAGUCACGGAGGAGCCAUGACCAAAGAAAACAAAGGAGGAUGGGCGCCGCAGAUCUGGUUUGCAGGAGCAAACCCUAAAUCUUUCAAGAAAGGAACGAACGGUCAGGAUCUAAUUGUCCGAUCCGACGGUUCACGUGGGCUCAAUCCUUUCGCUCGAUCGGAUGGCUCACGCGGAAUCUCUCCAGCAGGAUCGGACGGCUCACAGCGCUCCUUUUCCGCGCAUGGAUCCAACGGCCCAAAUGAGGCCGCGAUGGCUUCGACUUUUAAACCAUCCAACGGAUCAUAUUUUGCCACGUCAUCAAAGAACAAUGGGCAAAAUUUUAAAGGAAAAGGUAAGUUAUACUGCGAUUAUUGCAAACGUCCACAUCAUACCAUAGAUAAUUGCUGGAAAUUGCAUGGUAAACCUGGAGAAAAAGGAAAAAGGGAUUUUCCAACAGCUUUACAGGUGACAGGGCAGCAUACUGAUAGAUCAAAUCAGUCAAUUACUCAUGAUCAGUAUCAAGAGAUUAUGCAGGCUCUUAAGAAGUUGGAUGUUUUUUAGAGCACCGGGAGUUUUACAGGUACUUCUUAUUGUUUAUUGAAUUCAAUUUCAAGGACUGCUUGGAUAGUUGAUUCAGGUGCUAGUGACCACAUUAUCUGCAAUGAAAGGUUCUUUUCAAAAUCAAAGAAAUUAGAUUUUCCUAUCUCAGUCCAACUUCCAAAUGGGAAUGCUACCUAUGUCACGAUGAUUGGGACAGUAAUCCUUAGUCCUCUUAUCACACUUCAGAAUGUCUUUUAUGUUCCAGAAUUCCAUUUCAAUCUCAUAUCAGUUUCUCGAGCUUGUAAGGAAAACUCAUGUCGUGUCCUAUUCAAUCAUGAUCAUUGUCUGUUUCAGGCCCUUUCGACUGGCAAACUGAUGGGCUCGGGUAGAAUUUCGCAAGGGCUAUAUUUUUGGACAAGUUUCUCCAGUAAUUUCAGUUCAUCUUGUAUUGGAUUGAAUAAAAAAUCAUUGUGUAAUAUUACUACUAAUGAUAAGCUUUUCCUUGAUCAUCAACGACUGGGUCAUUCUGCUGCUUUUCCUUACCCUCAAUGUUCAAUUUGUCCUUUGGCAAAACAAGCUCGUAUGCCUUUUGACAAUAGCAAAUCUCGUGCAAAGGCCCCUUUUUCAUUAAUCCAUGCUGAUGUCUGGGGGCCCUAUCACACACCCAAUCGUGAUGGUUCUCGUUUCUUUUUAACACUUGUGGAUGAUUUUUCUCGUGCCACGUGGAUAUUUCUGAUGCAAUCAAAAGGCCAAGUUCUUUCUCACAUAAGAACUUUUUUCUCCCUCUCCAAAAAUCAAUUUGGAAAGUCAAUUCAACGUAUUCGUACUGACAAUGGAAGAGAAUUCUUCAAUAGUGAAUGUGCAUUCUUUUUUUCUUCAAACGGAAUUUUGCAUGAGAAUUCUUGCACAUAUACCCCAUAGCAAAAUGGUAUUGUCGAGCGUAAACACCGUCAUCUUUUAGAGGUAGCUCGUGCUCUUAAAUUCCAGGCUUCCAUUCCUGAGACGUUUUGGGGAGAUUGCGUGGUCACUGCAGCUUACUUGAUAAAUCAAAUGCCAAGUCGCAUUCUCAACAAGAAGACACCUUUCGAGAUGCUAUAUGGAAAGAAACCAGAACUUCAACACUUGAGAGUUUUUGGUUGUUUGUGUUAUGUGACUACAGUGGGGCCACGAGAUAAGUUGAGUCCACGAGCCAGGCAAUGCAUAUUUAUGGGAUAUCCGAGUCUCACAAAGGGAUAUCGGGUUUUUGAUAAGUCGACUGGGGAAUUCUUUGUUAGCAGGGAUGUUGUUUUCCAUGAGGCUAUUUUUCCUUUUGGUGACGAUUUAUCUUUACAUGAUGAGUCUGACAAGGGGGUGAAUAAUCAUCGUUUUUUAUCUGAAGAAGAUCUAUCUCCUGGACAAUCAUACAUCAUUGCACCUUCAUCACAUCUGCCACAAGGUAUAAUUUCCUCUCCAAUAGUAGCUGUGGAUACUUCAGCUACACUAAACGAGGAGGAGCAUAAUCCUUCAUCAACAACAGCAUCUCCAGUGUCAAAUGAAGAAACACAAGUGUCUUCGCAACCAACACCACAGAAUAAUCUGCCACGGCGUUCUGGACGUGCUACGCGUCCGCCCACAUGGACAAAGGACUAUGUUUGUGCAGCUUCAAGUUCUCAAGGUACUCGUUACCCUAUCUCCUCAUAUGUCUCUUUUCAUCAAUUAUCCUCGAAUCAUAUGUGCUGUGUUAGUCGUAUGUCUGAGGAAACAGAACCGUCAAAUUAUAGUGAGGCAGUAAAUGAUCUACGAUGGCAAAAAGCUAUGGAGACAGAAUUGCAUGCAUUAAUGGAAAAUCGUACAUGGGACAUUGUUCCUUUACCGUCUCAUCGAAAACCGAUUGGUUGCAAGUGGGUAUACAAGAUUAAAUAUAAAGCCGAUGGAUCUGUAGAAAGAUUUAAGGCACGGUUGGUAGCCAAAGGCUUCACUCAACGAGAAGGUUUCGAUUAUUAUGAAACGAAAGAUGUUACAGUUCGCACUUUCUUGGCAAUUGCUGCUUUUCGUGAUUGGUCAUUGCACCAAAUGGAUGUUCACAAUGCCUUCCUCCAUGGUGACUUAGAUGAGGAAAUUUAUAUGGACAUUCCACCGGGAUUACGGAGACAGGGGGAGUCUAAGGUAUGUCGUCUCCGCAAAUCCUUAUAUGGUCUCAAACAGGCUUCUAGACAGUGGUAUGCCAAGUUUACGGAUGCACUUAUGGGAGCAGGAUUCAAACAGUCCAGACAUGAUUACGCCUUAUUCACAUGGACAAAAGGUAUGUCAUCUAUCUAUUUGAUGAUAUAUGUUGAUGACAUACUUAUUAUGGGAAAUGAUAAAUCCGCUGUGACAAGUCUCAAGAAAUAUUUGCAUUCCGCUUUCCAUAUUAAAGAUUUGGGACCACCCAAAUACUUCCUUGGCAUUGAGAUAGCUCGUUCAAAACAAGGAAUCUCACUUAGUCAACGGAAAUUUGUGUUAGAAAUUAUAUCUGAAGCAGGUCUAUCAGGAUGUAAACCAGCAGUUAUUCCUAUUGAGCAGAAUGUCAAAUUGACUACUGCUGAUUAUGAUGUGAGUCUACAAUCUACUGAGGAUGAUUUAUUGCUCAAAGACCCAUUAAGCUAUCAGAGACUGGUUGGGAAAUUAUUUAUCUCACUAUGACUAGACCAGAUAUAUGUUAUGCGGUUCAAACGCUGAGUCAGUUCAUGCAUAGCCCCAAACAGUCUCAUAUGAAUGCCGCAUUAAAAGUUGUGAAAUAUUUGAAGAAAUGCCCAGGACUUGGGAUUCUUCUUUCUCGUGAUUGCAACAUGGAAAUGACGGCUUACUGUGAUGCUGAUUAUGCGACUUGUCCUAUGAGUCGAAGAUCUAUCACUGGUUUCUGCAUCAAACUUGGAGAAUCGUUACUUUCAUGGAAAACAAAGAAACAGUCUACUGUCUCUCUGUCAUCAGCUGAAGCUGAGUAUCGAUCCAUGGCCAAGACCGUAUGUGAGGUAGUUUGGUUACGAGGCUUACUUCUGGAUCUCGGAGUACAAGUCAAGGGAUCAACCUUACUGUUUUGUGAUAAUGAUUCUGCACUUAAACUCGCGGCAAAUCCAAUAGUACAUGAAAGAACAAAACACAUAGAAGUUGAUUGUCACUUUACUAGAGAGAAGAUUCAAGAAGGGAUAAUCAAAACAAGAGGAAUUGGGACUACCGAACAACUUGCAGAUAUAUUCACCAAGCCUUUAUGUCAACGGCAACAUGCAUAUCUCCUAAGCAAGCUAGGUGUCUUAGACAUAUACAAGCCACCAGCUUGAGGGGGAGUGUUGGAAGAUAUGCCGAAGAUAUGCACAGAUUGUGAUGGAUAUAUUCUCCAAAUUGUAAUUGAUUAUGUUUGUAUCAAUCUAGGAUUAGAUCUGAUAUACUUUCCUUUUAUUAAACAUCCUCUGUACAUUAUUUAAUCCUCUUUGUACAUUGGAACAAUCAAUGAAGUGCACAGAAUACAUUACUCUCUAUUCUCUCUAUUCUACUUGCUUUCACUCUGUUUUCUAACAAAAUUGACACAACCCAAAACAAAUAAAAAAGAAACACGCCGAGACCUACCGUGGGGGAGAGGCACGCGUCGGUGAGGGUCGGUGGCCGAGGUCAGAUGCAGCGGCUACCAGAGGAGGCCCUUCGCUUACGAGCUCACUCUUCGCUCUCUGCUUCUCGCUCUCUCUCACUCUCAAUCUCGGUCUCUCUCUCUCUCUUUCUCCGAACCUACUCCCCCCUCUCUCAUGCUCCCUCUCUCCCUUUUAAAAGCAACCAGCAAGCGUGCAUGGCUUCGGCCACUGCCAACUUGCCGGCCGGCCUGAUCACGACCCGCGGAUCACGGCUGCUUCUGCUUUCUGCUCGUAUACGUCUCUGUUUCUACAGAGAUGCGUGAGGAAGGAAGGAGGAAGAGAUUGGCGCGCGGGGCCGGCCGGGCCGGGCCGGGGAAAAGGGAAAUAGGCCGGCCGGCGGGAAAAUAAGAGCUAAAAGAAAAGAGGCUGGGCCGGCCUGAACCAGGCCUAAUUUUUCCAUUUUUUUUACUUUUUUUAAAUCCUUUUUUACAACCUUUUUUUUUUUAUAAAUAUCAAUAAAUUUUUAUGCAAGUAUUCCUCAUAUCUAUAUAACAUACUAUGCGAUUCCAGUGAUGAUAUUUUUUUAGAGACUAAAAAUUAACCCUUAAUUUUUUUAUGUAAUUAAAAAAUUAUUAGAAGGGUUGCUAAUAUUUAAAUGUCAAUAGGUGUCCCAAAACGAGCUCAAUGAGAACGUCAAUGAAAUUGAGCUGCAUGAGGUGUUGGUGCUAAAUUCGCUAAAUUAAGCCAAGGCAUUCACAUCGUUAAUGGAAACACAAAUUCAAGAUCGCGGCAACCUUGACCACAUCAAAAUCAGGACCGUUGCCAAUGCAACCAAGACGAGUAUGACCUGCUAGUUGCAAGAGGCCCGACUCAGGCUCAAGCAAGCCGACCUAAUCCAUGAGAUUAUUGCUAACAGAAGAUGUGAGAAGCCAUUAUGGGCCCGGUUUACAUUUUGAUCAAUGAGCAAAGAGCUUCUGGACUCGUAUCCGGAUCCAUGAGUAGUAAAAGAAACACAAAAGAUAUUGAAGGUUUUCUCACCAUAUGUAUAAUCCGUCUAUGAGAUUAUUGAUAACACAAGAAGUGAUAAUUUCAAGUUUUUUUACUUGAUUUAUUUUUCCUUUAUUUUUAGGAUAGCCAUGCUUUUUCUCCCAUUCCUAGUAAGAGGAAACUUUCUUUAGUUGAUCUUUUAAUUGGUGGGUUUACAAACAUCAACAUCACCCACAUUAUAUUUCGUUAAAUUUACUUGUGCACGACGUUUAUAACUUGUAAACCAAUCACAAGCAAUAGUCGGUGGAAUAAGAGUUUCUCUCCAUUUGCUAGCUUUUUUUAUCUAGAGUUAGAUCAUCGCUUGGGUUUAUGAAUAUUUCAUUUUUCAUUGUAAGAUCGGUUUUUCCCGCUAAAUCAUGAUACUUUUUUCUAGUUGCGCUUUGAUUUGUUUUCACAAAUUUGUUAUGUUCGACUAUUAACAAGGGUCCAUUUUAACUGUGUCAUGUAUGUAUGCAACCAAGCUGGGCCAAAUGAAUUUUGACACACUAUAUCAAUAUUUAACUAACUUGGAUGACAUUUGGCAUUUUGUGGCAGUGAGAGUUUUACUUUGGAUAUCUAUCACUAAAAAUUCCUUGAUUGCCAUACUAGAUGAAGUUCUUUAAGGGAAGUUGGUAUUUAUGAUUGUGGGCCUGUGGCUACUUCAAGGUGAUGAUGAGACACAUGAAGCAUGGGUCCAUGAAGAUGGCACGGUGCAUAAUGUGGACGUGUAGGUGCAUUUCCUUCCAAUGCAAUUUAGUCUUUCUCGCCGGACAUUUCUUGAAAUUAAAAAUAAUCCAUUUUCUCUAACCCACCCACCUCUUUUGGAGCUCGAGAACAUGGGGAAUCAAUAUUGAAGCCUUUAGAAAAUUCAAAAUCUUUGCUAGAGAUGCCAAACAUUUACAUAGAACAAGAAUGCAUAUUCAUUCUAUUUACUUGCCCCUACAAUUUCCUCUCAUUUUCAACUUAACAUCCAAGCAACUAUGAAGCCUCAAAAAGUUUCCACCCCAUUGCAAAAGUCCCAUCCUCUUCAUGUCUCUUUCCUCUCUUAUCUUUUACGUAUGCUUCACGCAUCAACUCGUAAUUGAGUUGAAUUGUGAGAGAAAAAAACAAAGUUGUGGAAAAACGCGAAAGUGAUAAAGUAAUGCGCGUCUGUCCUUCUGCUUUUUCAGUUUCCUUGCGUUUACAUGGGGAUUUCACAGGGAGUUGAGGGGAAGUUUCUUGUGUUCAUCACAUGGACAUGGCUUGUUGGCGUGAAAAUUUGUCCUCCCAACGAAUAUGCUAUUUUUGCUGCCAAUCUACAAGUUUAUUCUAACGCAUCUUUCUGCCCGGCCAUUUCCGAGUCCCUUCGGUACUGCCCUGUCUCAGCUUUUCCAACGCACCGCGACUAGAAAUCAACCGUUCCACGCGAAUUCCCUCCCUAAAAAAUCCCGAGAUGCAGUCAUCUGAUUCGACAGUCGGAAUCAGUUUCAUCAGAUGUUGGGACUGUGAAUGAAGGAAAGAGGUGCUGUCUGCUAGUGCUGUCCCAUUGCCAAAUCAAUGACAGCCCGAGAUAACCCGACCCAAAAGCUACGUUACAGAAAAGAAAUGAAAGACCCACGAUCACAUGCAUCGUGUCCUAUAGUCUGGUCGGACAAGGCAAAGGAUUCUUGCUUUUUUCUCAUCACAUAUCAGUAUCAAACAAAGAGACAACUCGCUUUUCACUAGACCCAGCAUCAUUUGAAGAGGGACAUGGUAUAAUACACCCAACGCAAUAAUAAAUGAUAAUGUGCGACUUAUGCUUCCUCUUGCGAAAAUAACGCGAACCAUAUAUGCGCAAUCUGCGCUUUCUUGCCAUAUGACUGUUGUCGUGGACGAUGAAGGAAUUUCUCGAGUGCAUACCCAAGGAAAAAAACAAAAGACAUCUCACUUAGUUCUUCAAUGAAAUUGUAUAAAUUUACACGCCUAUCUUAUGUAAUGAAAUUUUUUACUUCCUAUUCUACCAAAAAAAAAGAGAUGCAUUGGGAAGCCCGUGAAUAGCAAAGUUCUUCUCAGCAGGAGAGACCGAUGCAGGAUGGGUAUCACAUUAGAAUUUGUAUCCGAGUAAUUGGUAUUUGUUACAUUUUUAUAUAAAUAUUUGGUAUCCACCACACUCUUGUUUUUUUUUUUUUUUUCUGGUAAGUACCACCACACUCUUGUUUUAGGCUCUUAUAAGCGAAAAUUACACCAACAGUCCAGAAUGUUUGGCUGAAUACGUAGUCAAGUCCUAAAUUUUAAAUUUGUGCAAUCAAGUCCUAAGCAUUUUUUGUUGAGUGCAAUUUAAUCUUUCGAGCAAGCUUAAAAAUAGAUUUGCUAACCUAGAUUCCAAAAUCCGACCUGGCAUUUUGGACUAUCCUUUUGCAUACAUGGUUUUGAUACAGCGCUAAUGUAGUGUCACGUCAUGAAAAAUUAAAAAUUAAAAAGGUAGGAAAGACCAAAGAAAAAAAAUUAAGAAAGUCUAUUAAAAAAAGACAAAAACUAAAGGAAAAAUAAAAAAUGAAAGUUGUAGAGAGUGGAACUAUCGGUGUUAGGAUACGCAUGUAAGUUGCGUUAGAGAAAUCCCACAUCAGAGAAUUGAUGUGGUGUGAAACAGUUAAUAUAUCCUCGUUAAUUUAUAACUCGUUGGCUUAAUCUUUUGAGUUAAGGUGAGUUCAACUGGAUAUGAUAAUGGACUCGGACUUAGGUUCUCUCUUAGAGAUCUCCCCAAGUGAAGGUAUUUGACUUUCAUUACGCACUCUCAACAAAUGAUAUCAAAGCCGAUGGUUGAUUGGUGGCCCACUCUCGAUAUGUAUUGCUGUUUAGUGAAUAUCUCGACUAGGAAUCUAGUGAUCAACAUGGUUUUCAAGCAAAUGGGCGUUGUGGUGUAAUAAUGCGGGCCCGAUGACAGACUUCAUGGUUCAGUCCAAAAAAGAGAUUAAGGAUGAAAUUGGGCAUUGGAAAUUCAAGUUGAGAUAAGUUAAUAUAGAAAGAUAACCAAAUUAAGGGAGAGCAAAUCUAAAACUGGAACUUACACGUGAGGGAGAGAUUGUUAGGAUACACGUGUGUGUUAAAGAAAUUCCAUAUUGGAGAAUUGAUAUGAUGUGGAGCAAUUAAUAUAUCAUAAUUGGUCUAUAACUCAUUGGUUUAACAUGGGUCCAACUAGAUAUGUUAAUGGAUUCGGACUUGGGUUUCUUCUUCGAAAUCUCCCCAAGUGAAGAUAUCAUACUCUUGUUGUGCAUUCCCAAUAAUGCCCAUGAGCAAAGCCUGCACUUUCUUUCCUUUGUCCUUCAUCUUCCCAUUCAUUUUAGUUGGCACGGGCCUGUAAAUUAACACAUCAAGUGGCAUGAUUUUUAAGAAUGUUAUGUUGGAUUAACAAGUUUAUGGAAAAUGAGAGAUUUUACCUCUAGUUGGAGAUGUAGAUGGAUUGAAGGGAGUAAUCACAAACUGGGCUUGCUCCUCCUGAAAAUGUAGCCUUUGACUUUUUUAUUUCUCCCUUUCUGUUGAGGAAAUUAAGAAGAUUUACACGUAUAUAGUCUUUAUUUUAUCCCCUUUCAAAGAGAUAUAUUUACACUGGAAAAAUGGGCAAAGCUAAACACUAAUCAAAUUAUGCACACGCACGGAUAUAUGUAAAAGAUAUUUUGUAUGUUGUUUAGUAUUGGUAUUGAGUAUUUGAGAGCAUCCAACCAAUUUCAUGAUUUAUAUAAUCCCACUGCCUAAAUCUACUUUCGUACCAACUCCAACAAUUUAUGUUUGUGUUUUCAGGAUGUUUUUUCAUGGUCAAAGUCGAAAAUGGAUGAGCACGGGUGCUUUCCGACUAGAGAAUUUUAUGUGCUUGACCGGAAAGGCAGGUUCUUAAAAUUUUAAGCUUGUUAUAAUUAUCUUGGUGGUUGAGGCCUGUUGGGUGGACCGCCACACCGCAUGUGCUACGAAAGCAACUAAGAAGCCUUAAAAAGUUUCGAUCCCAUUGCAAAAGUCUCCUGUCCUCUUCGUGUCUCCUUCCUCUAUUUUAUGUAUGCUUCAUGCCUCAUCGCAAUUGAGUUAAAUUGUCAGAGAAAAAAACAGAGCUGUGGAAAAACACGAAAGUUAUAAAGUCAUGCACGUGUCUGUCCUUUUGCUUUUUCAGUUUCCUUGCGUUUACACGGGGAUUUUCACAGGGAGUGAGGGGAAGCUUCAUGUGUUCAUUACAUGGACAUGGCUUAAACGGAGCGAUCCUAUUCUACACAUUUUCGCUUUCCUUACGCUCGUCGGUGUGCAAAUUUAUCGAUGAGGGUUGUUUGAGAGUUUGGAAACAGCGGAACUACCCCCACUUACAAUGGCCAUGACAUUAGCAGGGCCUGCACUUCCUUUAUUUUUGUCCUUCAUCAUCCUAUGAUAUUUUAGUUGGCACGAACCUAUGCAACAUUGAAUCAGAUAGCUUGAUUUUAUAGAAUACUGUGUUGGUUCGAUGAGCUUAUAGAAAAUGAGAGAUUUUACUACAAUCAGAGAUGUAGACCAAUUAAAGGGAGUAAUCACGAGCUGAGCUUGUUGCUCUUGAAGAUGUAGCCUUUGACUAUUUUCUUUCUCCCUUUUGAAGAUUCUAGAAUGUUUGCACAUGUACAAUCAUCAUUUUAUGCCCUUUCAAAAAGAUCAGCUUGUACCAAGAAAAGGAGAGAGCUAAAUGUGAAUUAAUAUUAUAUGCACACACAAAGAUAUAUGCAAAAUAUGUUGUAUGUUGUUUGGUAUUGGAAUCGCGUAUUGAGUAUUUUAUGUUGUCCAACCAAUUUCAUGAUUCAUGAUAUAAUCCCACUGCCUAAGUCUACUUUCGUGCCACCAGUCUACUUUCGUGCCACCUCCUUGAAUUAUGUUUUGAGUUUUCAGUAUGCCCUUUCUCAUUAUUCGAGUCGAAAAAAGGGACAAGCCACCAGAGAACUUUAUGUGCUUGAUCCAAAAAGCAGGUUGAUUUUAAUUUUUAUUUAUUUAUUUUAGGAAAAGCAAAGGCACCUUCUGACCCAGUUUCCAUAAAGUUGUUUGGCAUUAUUGAGAAACUUCAUGCCUCCCUUCAACUUUUUUUCGACUAUUGCUUUGCUUCCAUAAAAUAUGCACAUGCGAGGGCUUCCUUGCUAUUUCUUUUCAACCUUUUCGAUUGCAUUAUUGUCCUUAUCACGUUCACAUGAGACUACUCUGCUUGAUGACGGUUGACACAUCAAGCAUGCUACUCUAUGCAUAGAAAUUACUAGGUGGAUCAUAUGCACAUGCCCUUGAUAGCAUGUUAUUAAAAUUUUAAGCUCCUUAUAAUUAUCUUGGUGGUUUAGGCCUAUAGGUGGACCGUCACAUAAUUCAUGUGCUACGAAAGCCGUGUCAAUCUUUAUUUUUGGCCUAUCGAAAAGGAUUGAAUAUACUGCUUCAAGCAAGUAUAUUUUUUCCCAGACACAUUACUACAUGUUUAAUCAUUUUAGAGUCUCUAAAUUCUUUAAAUUAACGAGCCAUUUCGAAGAUGUCUUUUGCAAGUCAACUUUAUGGCGUGAAGCCUCUGCCGAUGCACCGUAAUGAACUUAAGAGAGCUCGACAUCCACUACCACCACCCAAGAUCUUUGUGGGAAUUGACGGGACACCUUGCCUAUGAAAGUAUGUAAAAGGUGACGACUGUCUUGGGCUAUAGGCAGAAGCAAGCAGUUGUCCAGAAUAUCUUCGUUUGUGAUUAUUGUUUCUGCUACUCGUUAAGAAAAACAAUGGAAAUUAACAGAGAGAAUGUAGAAACAGAGCACCAUACAUCUCUUGUAGUUACGGCACAGAGAAUUACUUGAAUUUAGUGGAGAAGUUUCAUGCAAUGACAGAAUUGUCAUAUGCAUCGGAUUUUCUAAAAGUAAUUAUUGAUGUCUAAUCAAAACUGGAUUUUUUUUGCAUCUACUUUCACAAUGAAAUUAUGUCAUGACAUCUUAGUCUUCGCUUCUCUGCUUAAAUUUUUUUCGUGAAGCCAGCUGAAUUGUGUACGUCUAUGCCUCGACAACUUUCAGGUUAAAGCUGGCGCUAGCUCGGCGACUCUCCCAAUGGUGAGUCCCUUUUUUGCGCCCUUGAGAUGUAGUCUGAUCUCUUUCACGAGCAGGAAAUUUGAUGGCUAUUUGAUAUGUGAACUCUUUUCACAUGCUCAUAUAAUGUGUAAAUGAAAUAUGCGGGCAUAUGCUGCUGUGAAGUUCGCCGACGCGUGCCUGCGUGGGUUGAGGGGCGAUGCUGGCAUUGUCAUGUCGAGUGUGCAUUUGUUUUUUCUCAGGUUUGGUGCCUUGAAAGAACAUAUUGAGAUCGAGAAUUCUUUAUAACUCUCAAAUUCAUAUAUGGAACCACAAUGAUUAUCUUUAAUGUUGUCCCCAUUUCCCAGGUGACUGAGCUUCUGUCUGCAUUCAAAGUUCGCCUUGGUUGUACUGGGGCCGAGGAGGUUCUUUCCCUUGACAGACAGUGACUGCAAAUUGGCGGAAGCUCGUUUUUGGCACUAGGCUUGAAGUUCAAGGGAUUUUUUUUCAAGUGCAGCUUUUUGUGGCCUUGUCCAGUCUUUUAAGAGUCUCGAACGAGCAAAGAUAGCCAAUCUAGAGGCUCUUCUUGGGUAGUGGGCAGAGGGAGUAGAAAUUUUCAGUAGAACACAGAAAGGCACAAUUGAGAAUAUCCAAUGGGAGAUGCCUCUCCACUGAUCCCCAUAGUCACCGGCAGCAAUUUUUCACACCAAGUUCUCCUUGGAGCAUUCAGGAUGAGAGGUCACCGACUUUAGUGUUUGUCCCGCCAGCGUAAGAACGUGUCUGUUUUUUUUUUUUCCCAGUGAAAGUUCAAGUAAAAUUUGUUCCGACAAUGAAAGUAAAGUAUUUCUUUUGUUCUCUUUUCAUAUUUGGGCAUCAGCGACAACUUCAAAUUACACCCCUGAGGAGGACAACAAAGAUAUAUAAAAAUAAAGUAUAAGUGUAUUGGAAGUUCUAAAACUCAUUACGAAAUAAUGAUUGGGUUUUAGAACUUUUAAAAAUUAUACUUAAAUCCUAAAACUUGUUACAAAAGUGCAUUUGAAUCUUAAAAUUUUCAAAAAGUGUAACUGAGUCUUAAAAUUUGUUAUAAAAAUACAGUUAAAUCCUAAAAUUUUCAAAAAGUAUAAUCUAACUCGAGGACUUGAUUAAAUUAUUUUGACAAAUUUUAAGAUUUGAUUGCACUCCUUGAAAGUUUAAAGAUUCGAUUCAACUUUUAUGAUAAGUUUAAAGAUUUAAUUGUACUUUUUAAAAGUUUUAAGAUUCAAUUAUAUUUUCGUGAUAAGUUUUAGGAUUUUUAAUGUAAUUAUUCCCAAAAAUAAUGCUAAAAGAGUACGCCUCCCCAGUCGUGUAAGGUCUGUUCUUGGGUACCAGAUCCACACCUUAAAAUAUCUUGAACUUCAAUUGAAAGGCUACUCAAAGGAAAAUUUCUCUAACCAAUGAUGGAGGAGCACAUUACCCUGAGUAAAUUGGCGAGUUUUGAGGCAUGGAUUAAUGCCCAAUUUGCCGCCUCGCACAUGGUGCUAGGGAUGGAUCUAAGCAUCCUUGCCUACAAUUACAAAAAUAGUUGGAGAAAGUUUAUAAUAUGUAACUUGCCAAUUUAAGGUGUAAUUGAAGAAAGUUUUCUCAAAUCACAGAUAAAAAGAAAAUAUGAGCUUAUUUUGUAAUAUCUUAAAUCUCUUUUUUGGAUAAAUAAAAUAGUUGUAAUUAGAUCACUUCAAAAUGACAUAUGUACAUUAAAUAAAAAGCUCUUGUUUCCAGCAACUAAAUGAUAUAAAGUUUGUCUGGCAAAAUAUAAAUAACUUAUUAAAGUGGGCUUAGGUCACUAACCCCAAAAAAAAAAAAAAAAAAGGCAAAUGGUGGGCUUAGGUCAUGGCGGCAGUAAAAGUCUCUUGUCCUUUUCAUUUCUCUUUCUUGUCUAAUCUUUUAUGAAUGCCUCCCCCACUUUCCUCGCAAUUGAGUUGAAUUGACAUAAAUAAAUAAAUAAAAAGACAUGAAAAUACACGAAAGGUAGAGUCGUCCAUUUGUCUCCCCCUCUCGCCUUGGCUUCAAUCUCUCUCUCUCUCUCUCUCUCUCAUAAAAGAUCUUCAUGAUGGAUGAUUGAAUCCACUUCAUCUCGACUAAAGUCACCUAUUAUUAUUUUUUAUGCCUAGCAUUUCAUGUCUCUUUUUGGAGUAUUAAUGUUCUUCUAGUGGGAUUCGUAAGCCUUGGAUGCAAUGUGAUGUCCCCACAGAAAUUGCUAAUUUUUUCUUAAACUUCAGUCUUGCAUUUUAAUGAAAUGUGUAAGAAUUGUGCCAUGUUUUGAAUGGAUCCAACCUGUGCCAUCUCUCGAAUAGAUCCAAUUUUAUCUUGCUUUGAGAGGGAUACUUAUAGGCAGCCCCAUUCAGUUGAUGCUAGUGAUAUUAUCUGUUUUGAUGACAGCUUGCUUUCCUUGCACAAUGUUACGAGGGAUACGUGCAUUAGAAGUUCUAAAACCUGUUAUGAAAAUUCACUUGAAUCCUAAAAGUUUCAAAACGUGCAAUUAAGUUCUAAAACUUGUCACGAAAGUGCAAUCGAGUUCUAAAACUUUCAAAAAAAUGCAAUUAAGUUCUAAAACUUAUCAUAAAAGUGUAAUUGAGUCUUAAAACAUUCAAAAAAUACUAUCAAGGAAUGACUUGAUUUGAUUGAUUUAAUAAGUUUUAGGACUUAAUUGCACUUUCUGAAAAUUUUAUGACUCAAUUAUACUUCCAUAAUAAGUCUUAGAACUUAAUUGUACUUUUUUAAAGUUUUAAAACUAAAUUGCACUUCAUUGACAAAUUAUAGGACUUUCAAUGCUCUAAUCCCAUGUUAAAAUGUUUUGUACUAAUUUGAGCUUGUGAGAGACUUGUCUAUCAAUGUAAUAAAUUUGAUAUAUGUAAUGGUGGAAGAAAGACAUACACGAUAUCCAAUAUUCCCAAACUGUCAAACAGACUUUUUUGGCACAAAGCUAGCUUUGUGAUCACCCCACCACCCCAAAGCGCUUUGAGGGAGGGCCGACAAACCUCCUUGCUCAUGCAUUGCUAGUGCUACCAUCCACACCAGUGCACGAGGGUUGUCCUACCCUUACAUAUAGAGAAUCGGUUUAUAGCCAUUCGACGCAAGUAUCAUAAUCAUGUGGAACCACCCAUGAAUCGGCAAUGUACUUAUGUCGAAUCAACUUACAUUUGUUCGCUAAUUGACUUAUAAUAGUAUAUAAUUGAUCCUUGUCAAUUCUUACGGUCGAGUGGUCGAUCCCUAAUUGAAUUCUCUGGUCUUUCGUGUUUUAACCCGUUACGGCCUCGCCUAAUAGAUUAAUUAACUCGUGAGUAAUUAGUUCAAAGUAAAUUAACCAUCAGUGCAUUGAUAAAAUAACCAUUUCUUAUAUUUAGAAAUUGGUCAAAUUUUAGGAUAUCACACCAACUAAUUCCAAAAUACUAAAACAUUGUCACAUCUAAAAAGCCAACAAUCAUUUUUAUCUAAAUCUUCGGAUGGCCCAUGAUGAACUUUAUACUUUGGCAAAACGAAUUAGGUACAUGAUGAAAAAUUCCAAUUUUCCCCCUAAUAAAAUAUAAAUUGUUCUUAAUGUGGAUGGCCCAUGUUGUGGUUUGACAUAUGGGAAGGUUCAUUCGGCAGUGGUCGAAUUUCCGGUAAUGUGAAUGGAGAAACAAAAGAAAAAAGGAUAAAUAUAAGAGAGGCGAAUAUUCGAUGAUGAUGUAAUUAACUAGAAUGCGCGACACGUUAGGGUGGUCCUAGGUUCGUGACUCUUGUCGAAGGGAAGAAGCAAUUUCGAUACCAGGCCUGCCAUUUUACCAGCAUCGUGAACUUACCCUUUCUCUAUUCGUCUACUCAAUUAUUUGCAUUUACGUGCCAGGCCAACAUCCUCCUUCCAAGUUGUGUUUGCUCCUUUAUGACUGUAGAUUAAUCUACCCCCGGAAGGGUUUCAUCUGUACGUAGUACAAGAUAAAAACUCAAAAAUAAAUAAGAUCUACAUGCUAUCCACACUCACUAGAAAGAAAAUACACUCAUUUUUAUCUGAAAGGUCCGGGCAUGAGGCCAAUGUGGUUAGCAUGCCCGUAAUCAUGUUGCGCCUUCCGUGUGUGUGACAUACGCUCGGCCUAUGGACGGUGUCUCAAAAUUUGAACUCACUAUGUCGAAGACCGACAUGAUUUUUAUGGGCUGAAAGGGGAAGAAAUCGUGUAUGUUUUUGGCAUAGGGUGUUCGAAUGACUCCCGGUUCGAAUGAAACAAAGUCCGGAACUUCCGAAUAAGGAUAUAAAUUUGUAGCAUUAUUGGCUCAGUUUACACUUCGAUCAAAAAGAAAAGAGCUUCUGGACUCGUAUCCGGACCCAUGAGCGAUUUUAGAAACGUGACAGAUUUUCAGGGUUUUCUCAUCGAGAAUUGUGUGAAUGGUCAUCCGUCUAUGAGAUUAUUACUAACAUAUGAUGUGAUAAUUUUCAAAGUUUUUCACUUGAUUUAUUUUUCCUUUGUUGGCCAUGUGUUUUUUUCCCAUCCCUAAUUAGAGGAGACUUCCUCUAGUCAAUCUUUUAAUUGUUAUUUUACAAAACAUCAACAUCACCCACAUUAUAUUUCGUCAAAUUUACUAAUGCAUGAGGUCCGUUACUUAUAACUCAUCGAUCAGAACCAUAGUUGGUGGAAUAAGAGUUUAUCUCCUUUUAUUCUAGUUUCUUUGUUCGAAGUUAAAUCAUUGCUUGGGUUUAUGUCAUCUUUUCAUUGUAAGAUCAGUUUAACAUAUAGAAAAUUGGUACUUUUCUCUAUGUUUAAGUGUGUUCUAACCUCAUGCUAUGUGUGACUGCUAAUGAGUGUCCAUUUUAAACGUGUCGCGAAUGUAUUAGAACAAGCUGGGUCGAAUGAAUUUUGACACACUGCAUCAAUAUUCAUCCAACUUUGAUGAUAUUUUGGCAUUUUUUGGCAAUGAGAAUUUGACGAUAGGCAUGUAUCGCUAAAAAUCCCUACAUGGUAAUGCUAGAUGAAGUUCUUUAAGGGAGGUUGGGAUAUAUGAUUGUGGCUACUACGAGGUGAUGAUGAGACCAUUUGAAGCAUGGACCAACGAUGAUGGCAUGGUGCAUCAUGUAGACGUGUUGGUGCAUUUGAUCGAAGAGUGGGAAGUUGCUAGAAGUUAUCAAGUAUUAAUUCGAGCAAGUUAUGCCCAUGGAAACAUAGGAAGUUACCGAGCAUAUGAAGUGAGGGGGAGGACUGACCAAUCUUGGACGCGCACAAAGAGUUUAGUAGGGUUGAUAAAGUGGCGUAAUUAUCGUCUUAUCAAAGAAGACUUAAUGUCCAAACACCUAAAAAUACUCAAAAACUUCGACCGGAUUACUCGCAGUUGAGUCGAAUUGUCAAAAGAAAAAAAGGUUGUGGUAAAAGACGGAAGGUAAAGUCAUGCACGUGUCUUCCCCAUCUGUUGUCUUAUUUUCUCUCAAUUUCUAAGGCACUUCGGAAAGCCAUUUGUGAGGAUACAUUGAUCAUAAGCCCGCUAGUAUUUGGACGAUUGCGCCAUAUGGAACCAGCAAAUUAAUCGGUGUGAAAAUUUGUCCUCUCAAUGUGCUAUUUUAUCUGCUAAUCUACAAGUUCAUUCUAGAGUUGUGGAAGGAUAGGCCAAAUCAAGAAAAGUGAUGCAUUAGGAAGCCUGUGAAUAGCAGAGUUCUUCUCAAUGGGUGAGACCAAUGUAAGAUGGUAAUCAAACUAGAAUUUUUAUAUGAGUAACGAGUACUUAUAAGUAAAAUUUUCUUAUCAUACUAGAUUCUCGUUUUAGGUUCUUAUAAGUGAAACACCAAAAGUUUAGAACAUUUCAUCGAAUAUCCAGUCAUGUCCAACAUUUCAUCGAAUAUCCAGUCAUGUCCUAAUUUUUGAACUUAUGCAGUCAAGUCCUAAAUGGUUUCCAUUGAGUGCAGUUUAAUCUUAUUAGCAAACUCAUGGUCAAAUUUGAUAACAUGGAUGGCAAAAUAUGACUUGGCAUUUUGUAAUUUUUUUAACCUACAUGCUAUGAUGUGGCGCUAAUGUGGCCCCACAUCAGUAAAAUUCAAAAAUUUAAACAAAUUUAAAAAUUGAAGAAAAACUAUAAAAAAAAAAUCCAAAGACUAGAUAAAAUUGAAAGUCAUAGAGAGCGAAACCGUCGUUAAGGGCAGUUUGAAGGAUUGGAGACGAUAGAAUUGCCCCCACUUCGUCGCUUUCUUUAUUCUCAAUGAGCAAAGCCAGCACUUCUUUUUCUUUGUCCUCCAUCCUCCUAUUCAAUUUAGUUGGCACAAGCCUGUAAAAUAUUGAAUCAAAUAGCUUGAUUUUUUUGGAUGUUAUGUUGAUUCAAUGGGCUUAUGAAAAAUGAAAUAUUUUACCUCAAAUCUUGGAUGUAGACCAACUGAAGGGAGUAAUCACAAGCUGAGCUUGUUCCUCCUGAAGAUGUAGUUUUAAACUAUUUUCUCUCUCCAUUGUCCAAAAAAAAAAAAAAACUAUUUUCUCUCUCCCUCUCUCUUGAUAAUUUAAAAAUAUUUAUACAUAUAUAGUCGGUGUUUUAUCCCCUUUCAAAGAGGUCAGCUUAUACCAGAAAAUGGACAGAGCUAAACUUGAACCAAAUCAUAUGCACUCAUGGAGAUAUAAAAAAAAAAAUAAUAAUAAAUUUGGUAUUGAGUAUAUGAUUUUUCUGAGAGCAUCAACCAAUUAUAUGAAUCGUUUUUUUCUCCUCUUUGUUGUCAAUUGUUGAUUUUGGUAUCCCCUCUGCGCUUCUACUUCACUUCUUCUCCUUAUUAUCUCGAAUUAUUUGGUAUUAGAGCCGAAAAAAACCAAUUAUAUUGCAUUGAAAUUUUCCAUCAAAUUGGUUUAUGUUCUAGUCCUCUCUUUAAAUGGAUGACGAGUGUGUCUGACCUUGGCAUUUUUAUUUCCUUUAUCGUCAGGCAGCUAUAUUAAACUAUAAGCUGUAAAUUUCAUUCAUAUUUUGUGAUUCGUGGGCUUAGCUUAUACUGGAAAGUAAAGAGAGCUAAACAUGAAACAAAUUAUAUACAUGCACGGAGAUAUAUAGAAAAAAGAAGUUUUGCGUUGUUUUUUUAUUGAAUAAAUGAUUCUUUGAGCAUGCAACCAAUUCAAUGACUCAUUAUACAGUCCCAAUACCUUAAAUUACUUUUGGGGCACCUCUCAACGAUUAUGUUUGUGUUUUCAGGAUGCCUUUGCAUGGUAAAAGUUGAAAAAUGGGACAACCCCCCAAAAAUUUUUAUGUACCUGAGCGCAAGGAUACUUUAAUGUUUUUCUUCCCCCUUUUAGGAGAGGCGCAGGUACCUUCCCACCCAGUUUGUGUAAAAGUUGUAUGGCAUUUUUAAGAAAGCUUGAUGUCUCGCUUCAGCUUUUAACUUUUGCUUUGCUUCCAUAAAAUAAGCACAUGAAGUCCGAAUGUUAUUGGCGUAAAAUGACGCACAAAAGCUUUGCGGCAUUUCCGAACAUUGCAAAUAUAAUUAAGAACAUGAAAAUAUAAAGUGGGGUAGUCUCCAUAUAAUAGUCAAUAUUACAUUUGUUUAGGAAGGUCUAAAAUUUUUGUUGUACAAAACUCUACAAGUUUACGAACUUUUACCGGUGCGAUGGGUAUGUCAUUCGACUUGAUUUGAAAAACUCUAAGGUUACGCUCCAUCCACGAGGGUUUCCUUGUUUUUCCUUCUCAGGUUCACAUUCGAACUACUCUGCAUUCUAAUGGUUGCUGCUUCAAGUUACUCUAUGGGUAGAAAUUACUAAGUUGAUAGAAUUAGUAUAUUAUGCAUGAAGAAAAGCCCGUUAAAAAAUUAUUUAGGGAAAAGUACCAAAAAAGUCCUAAACCUUUUGCAUUGGUACCAAUUGAGUCCUAAAUUUUUCAAUUGAACUAAUUUAGUCCUAAACCUUUUAAUAUUGGUACCAAUUCAGUCCAUCCGGCCAAUUUUGGCCUGCCGGCGCUGACGUGGACGUUGACCGGUGACCGGACGGUGACGUGGCCAUUUUUAUGAAUUUUUUAUUAUUUUUUCGAAUUUUUUAUUAAUUUUUUUGAAUUUUCUCCUUUUUUUUUUCUUUUUCAUUUUCUUUUUCGGCGUUGACCGGCGAGCCUCCGGUGAGGCUCGCCGGCCACUGGGCGAGGGCCGCGAAGCCCUCGCUCGCCGCCGGCGAGGGUCGCGACCCUCGCCCGGCCUCUCCCAGGCCGCCGGCGAGGUGGCUUCGCCCGGAUCUGGGCGAGGCCGGCCUCGCCUAGGCCUUGCCGCGGGCGAAGGCGGCCUCGCCCGCGGCUGGCAAGGCCAUAGCGGCCAUCGCCAGGGCAGAGGCGAGGGCCGCGAAGCCCUCGCCAGUCGCCGGCGAGGGUCGCGGCCCUCAGCCCUCGCCUCCACCCUGGCGAAGCGAACCCGCAAAACCCAUUCCUCCUCUCUCUCUAGCGCCUCUGCUGAACCCACCAUCUCCUGCAGAAGCUUCGGGAAACGGCGGAAAGCCCCGAUCAAAUCGAGAGAACUUCCCCCUUCUUCUCGCCGCGGAUUGGAGGAGAGCGGGUGGUGGUUGCUUGAUCGGGGGGAUUGAUGGGGGACGCGAACGCCGUGGCCGGCAACCUGGCCCGCGCCAUCGCCAUCACCUUGGACUGGAGCUCCGCUCCCGACGCUCGCCGGGCCGUCGUCUCUUUCCUCGAAUCCGUACGCCCUCUCUCCCCCUCGCUAGACGCGGGCGAGGCCGCCUUCGCCAGCGGCCAGGCCUGGGCGAGGCCGGCCUCGCCCAGAUCCGGGCGAAGCAGCCUCGCCGGCGGCCUGGGAGAGGCCGAGCGAGGGCCGCGACCCUCGCCGGCGACAGGCGAGGGCUUCGCGGCCCUCGCCCAGUGGCCGGCGAGCCUCACCGGACGCUCGCCGGCCACCGCCGAAAAAGAAAAUGAAAAGAAAAAAAGAGAAAAAAAUUAAUAGAAAAUUCAAAAAAAUUAAUAAAAAAUUCGAAAAAAUAAUAAAAAAUUCAUAAAAAUGGCCACGUCAGCGUCCGGUCACCGGUCAACGUCCACGUCAGCGACGGCCGGCCAAAAUUGGCCGGAUGGACUGAAUUGGUACCAAUAUUAAAAGGUUUAGGACUAAAUUGGUCCAAUUGAAAAGUUUAGGACUGAAUUGGUACCAAUGCAAAAGGUUUAGGACUUUUUUGGUACUUUUCCCAAUUAUUUAAGAACUAGUACAAACCGACCGUUCUUACAAUGGGAUUUCCUCUUUUUUUUUUUGGUGCUUGGUUGAUUAAGAAUCAGCUUCUUUUUCUUUAUUCACUAAUAAUACAAAAAAAUUUAAGAGAGUAUAUCAUGUUUGUGGUGGUAGUGAAAUGUUACGGAGAAGAACACUAGAAAGAAUCGUAAAUCGAGGGGGGGCGGGGAUUUUCCUUUUAUACUCGCGAAAGAACGUAUGCGUACACUUAUUAAAAGAUAAACUAUGCGUGGGUUGAGGGACUGACCAAUCUUUGACGCGCACGAAGAGUUUAGUGGGGGUUCAUAAAGUCUCUGUAAUCACCGUCUUGUUAAAGAAGACUUGAUUAAUCUCCAAGCAACUAAAGAUCCUCAAAAAGUUUCGACCCCAUUACAAAAGCGUCUUGUCCUCUUCAUUUCUCCUUCCUCUCUCACUUUUUAUGAAUGCUUCGCCCACUUACUCACAAUUAAGUCCACAUUUUGAGGAGAUUCUCUCUCUUAUUUCUUUCUGUAUGAGAGAUCUUGAGGAUGGAUGAUUGAAACAUCUGCAAUGAAUUUUGCUGAACGUUACAACUAACUAAAUGAGAUUUUGCAUCUAUUUCUAGUCAUUCUUUUGUUACAGUAUUUUUGGCAGGGAGGAGUCCCUAUUACUUGGAUCGGAUUAUAAGUCAUACAGAUUCCAUUUGGAUGACAUUUUUUUUCUUGUAAUUGAAUCUUUCAUUUGUUGUCUUUUUUCCUCUCAAUUUCUAGGGCAGGCGGCCGCUCAGCAGUUUGAGCGCGAUUUCAUUUUCCCUGCGUUUGCAUGGAACUUUCAAAAGGAGCUGCGUGGAAGCUUCAUGUGUUCAUCAUUUGGACAUGGCUUAAUCUUUUCGGCCUUUUGACUUGAGUCGCCUAUUUUUACUUUCAUAGCCAUCGAAAUUGGAAUUUUUUUUUUUUAACACUUGCAUUUUAAGUCUUUUAGGGAGGAUUAAUUUUCUUCUUGUGAGAGUCAGAAGUCUCAUAUGCAAUUUAGUGUUUUCAUGAAAAUUGUUAUUUUUCUUUAACCGUAGUCUUACAUUUUAAUUAUGUGUGUAAGAAUUGUGCCAUGUCUUCAGUGUAGAUCCAAUUUGUCCCAUCUCUUGAAUGGAUCCAAUUUCAUAAUGAAUCUUUCUAAAGGGGCCUCAUUGUUUAGGAAGUUUGUCCUUGUGUUUGAUUGCGUUACUAUGUGCAUCACAUUUGAUGUUGAUUUUGUGCUAGAUUUGCAUUUAACAAAAGCGUGAAUCUUUUUAUAAGAUUAGGAGGUCUAUUCGUUUCAAGGAAAAUAUGAUGUUUCUAAUUUUUUUUUCUAAGAAUCCAUUUUCCAAAAAAAUAAUAAUAUUUUCCUACGUUAUUGAAUCCUAAAAAUAAAUUAGAAAAUAUUUUUUGCUGUUUGUUAUAGAAAAUUUCAUUUAAGUUUCCUCCAUGCACUCAUUUUAAUAAUUAAUUAUUUUUUUUAAAUUGAAUUUUUAAUUUUUUUUUCCUCAUUCUUUUUUGGUCGCCGGCCAUAGCGACUGUUGACGGCCAGGUGAGCUCCUGGACUCGUUGAUCUAGCAAGUGGCAAGCUCGAGCUUUUAUAUAUCUAGUGGUUGGCCAUUGCCGAAGAAGAAAGAAAAUAAAAGGAAAAUAGAAAAAAAAGAAAAAGAAAUAAUUUGAACUUUUUAGAAAAGAAAAAAGAGAAGAAAAGAAAGAAAGAAAGAAGAGAGGGCUAGCCAGCCAGCAUGUGAGAUAAGAGAGAUUGAGUAAGGAAAUUUUUUUCCUUUUUUGAAAAGCGGAAAAUAUUUUUUCCCAUUUUAGAAGACUUUUUCUAUUAAUGAAAAAUAUUUUGCCUAACUAAUUAAUUUUCUAUUAUAUAAAUACCAAAAAAUUCAGAAUAUAUCUUCCUAGAAAUUAUUUUUUGCGAAACAAAUGGAUGCUAGAAUUCAAUUGUAAUAACAAUUUUAUAAAAGAAAAUGACUAAUUACCAGAUCCAUUUUUACUCUUUUGCUUUGGUUUUUCCCUGAUAUCACCAACUCCAGCUGGACGCAUAAGCAACGGUGCAUGUUUUUAAUCUUUCUUGCACAGCUAAACGUGGACGAUCAUGUCUCAACUCAAGAUUGAGAAUAUUCGAUUGGAGAUGCCUCUCCGAAGAUUCGCCAUAAUCACCAGCGGCAAUUUCUCACAUCAAGUUCUCCUUACGUGGAGAGUUCAGACUAAAAGAUACCGAGUUUACAUGUCUCGUUCGGUAAAAAAAAGAAAAGAUUAAUUGAAUGAUGGGAUCACCUGUAAAAUCUUCCAAUUACGCCCAUGUAGAGGACAACUCGUAUCCGUAACAAUAUGCUAAAAAGAGCACGCCUCACCGGCCUUGGGUGAAACCGGUUAGGGACAGAUUUGAAAACCAGUUCGCAAUUAAAACCGGUUUAAUAGAUUCAGGCAAAACCCUAAAAUGUCCUAAAUUUACGACACCUUCUACUUUCUGUUUCGCGCUCCCAGAUCUGGCCUCUCUCUCGUCUCUCCAGCGGCGCCCUUCGUUUUCUUCUCUCUCGGGUCUCGCCUGCGUCGCCGUCUCGUCUAGUCUCUCUCUCUCGAUCUCGCGGACUGUGGCCUCACCUUUGUCGGCCUGCCGUCAAUCAGCCCACUAGGUACUCUCUCUUUAUGUCAGUUUCGUUUUCGAUUACUUCAUGGAAUGUUUUGAUUCCGGCGUGCUCUAAUUUUGAUUUCUUCAGCAGUUCGCCAUCACUGAUUGAUGGCUGUGAGUCGUGACUAACCGCACCCACCCCCGUUUUUUUUUUUCUUUUGUUGAUGUCUUGCCUCAAGCAAGGUCAUUGACAAUUUUCGUUCAGCUCAAUUCUGUCUCAAGUCCAGUUAGCUACGUGCGAUGGCGCCCUCCACUGACACAUCAGGAAUGGAAUUCGAGGUGUUCCUGAGUUUUAGGGGUCCUGACACUCGGGUUGACUUUACUAGUUUUCUCUAUCAUGACAUGAUUGAGAAAGGAAUCCGUGUCUUUAAAGAUGACAAAGAGCUCAACAUCGGUGAGAAGAUUGAGAAGAUUUUCAAAGCUCUCAACGACUCUCAAAUCUACAUUCCCAUUUUCUCUAAGGACUUUGCUUCCAGUGCGUGGUGUCUCCGUGAGGUUGUUCGAAUGGUAGAUUGUGCUAAAAAUUCAAAUGGGAAGAAGGAGAUCCUUCCCAUUUUCUUAGAUGUGAAGCCGGAGGAUGUCAAGAGCAGUACCGGAUUGUACAGUAAUGCCCUAUCUUUGCUUAAGGAGGAGAAGGUGAAGUAUGGCGAUGAGGAGACCUUGAAGUAUGACCCCGAUGAGGUGAAGAGCUGGAGAGACGCUCUUCGUGAGGUUGCAUCUAGAACUGGUUGGAAGCGGGAAGGAAAAGAGUAAGUUAGCACAACUUUUCCUGGGUUAUUAAUUUUAAUAUAAAUUAUCAAGGAAUUAUUUAUUUAAGAUAAACUCUAAUCGAUGCAUUAUACAUCUAAAGAUAUCGAUCGUCUCUGUGCUUUUACCUUAUGUUCAAUCUUUGUCCUCUGAGAAAUUAAUUUCUCUGUAAGUUGAAAAAAGUUGGGGUAAAUGUUAUGUCAUCGUCAAGUUGCUGCUGAAUGAUAAGUUAGCAUCCUGUUUGGCUGUCAAAAACCUUAAAACAAAUUUAAAUGGCGAAAUAAAUAUUUUUGAACAAUUUAGGAAAAAAAAAAGGUAAAGUAGAAACAACAAAAAGGCAAGUAUUAAUGCUUAUUAAGUGUAGAUCAAACAGACUGAUUUUGUACUACAAGCGUAGGAACUAAUCAUAUAUCUGAUCAAUCUCAAAAUAUUUCCUGUACAUUAAAAAUAACAAACUUAUUUUUCUCCUGCGGUAUCCUUCAUUCAAACGACAAAGAUAUACAUUCAUUCUUUUCUCUUGUUUUUUCUCCGGCGGUAUCCUUCCGAAUCAUUUCCAUUUCCUCUUGCUCACUGCAUCCAAUCUAAGUGUUGGUUUUAAACCCAGUAACGAGAGUCUGGGCAGUAUCCAAACUGAGUGAUAGUGUUUAACCCAAUCAAUGGAGUCAGGGCAGCAGCCACGGUAGCUAAUUCGAUCACUUUAUAAUCUAGAUAAUUUUCACUAUAACUUGAGAUUGUUAUAUUUAAAUCGAUUCAGAUUUGUUAUUUGAAAAACUGCCACAGUUUGUAAAGUGGUCUUAACAUGUUUAGCUUAUCUUAUUCCAACAGCAUAUGCUUAAAGUUAGGAAUAGUAUUUUGUUGUCAUUUUCUCUGUCUGAAUUCGUCCACCAUCGCUGUCUGGCAGGGGUGGGGAACUCAUAAAAUUGAUUGUUCAAACGGUUCUACUUAAGCUGAAGGUGAAGAACAGAUAUCUUCCCGACGAUCUAGUUGAAAUGGAUGAUGAAAAGGAUAUAGAGGAAUUGUUGAAAGUGGACUCUGUUGACGAUGUACAUUUUGUUAUAAUUUAUGGGACGGGUGGUAUUGGUAAAACCACUCUUGCUAGCAUCAUCUUCAACCGAUUCCGGUCUAAAUUUGAUUAUUGCAGUUUCCUUAAUGAUGUUAAUGAUGUCCAAGACUUGCCGCAACAUCAACGUCUUCUACACAUGCAAAAGAAACUGUUAUCCGAUACAUUGGGCUCAACCUCUGCUGACGGAAUCCAUGACACCAAUGAGGGGAUUGAUCGAAUAAGUAAAGGACUUCACAACAAAAAAGUGUUGGUUGUUGUCGAUAAUGUGAACAAGAAGGAGCAACUCGAUAAACUUGCAGGGAGCUACAGCUGGUUUGGUUUUGGAAGCAGGAUCAUAGUCACACUUAGGGACAGAAGGUCCAUAUUAAAUUGGACAAGACUAGAAAAUGACAAGCAAACGCAACCUAGUCGUUACAUAGAGUACCCAGUAAAGGAGAUGCCUAUGGAGCAAGCUAUUAAGCUUUUCAGCAAGCAUGCCUUUAGAAGAGAUACUCCUCCGGAAGAUUGGUGCAAUUUCUCAUUUGAAGUCGUUUCACACAUUGGAAGGCUACCUUUGACUUUGGGAGUCGUGGGUUCUCUUUUCGCCAACACGGUCAAAUCGAAGUGGGAUGAGACAUUGAAGGACUUAAAGCAAGUCCCAUGUAAGGAAGUCCAAGAAACACUGAUGAUAAGUGUCAACAAAUUGGACGCCCGGGAAAAACAAAUAUUCCUAGACAUAGCAUGUUUUUGCAUUGGGGAGGAUGAGAAAUAUGCGUAUAACAUGUGGGAAGAUUGCAAAUUUAAUCCACACAGCGCAAUUAAUGACCUUCUCCUCAUGUCGUUGAUAAAGAUCAAUGAGCACAAUAAUACAUUCAGGAUGAAUGGUGAAUUUAUCAAUGAGCACAAUAAUACAUUCUGGAUGCAUGAUGAAGUUCGAGAUCUAGGAAGGUACAUUGCCAAUAAAGAGAAUCUCGAAGAUGCUGGAAAUUGUCAUUGUCUGGUGAUUGACGAGAAUAAUUUAGACAUACUGAGGAGGGACGAGGUAAAGUUAUCAAGAGUAGAAUAUAUAAUCAAUCCAACAAAAUCUUUCCUCGUGUGUUUUAAAAACGAGUAUCGGUUGAUUGCUUGCGCUAUUUUGUAAUUUAUAGAGAAAUAGAAUGCUAACUCUAUAUAAACAACAAAAGUAUAUGUUUGCACGCCAUACCCAUGUGAAACGAGAAGAAAGCUAAUGCGUCGUUUGCUCAGUUGAAAUUCUUCCUUUUUUGUCCAGUGAGAAUGAAAAUGAGCUCUAUUUCAUUGAAAGUGUUUAGUCUGUGAAGAUACAGAGCAAUCAACACCGAAUGGACCUUUUAAACAUGCUUGGUUUGUCUUAUUUUCAAGCUGAGAAGCACAAAAGUAACUAGUUUGGGCUCGAAGUAACACUGAUAUUAUUGACUACUUACAUUGGUUUUUUGCUUCCUGUGCUGCCCCCUCAUCUUCAUUCUCUGCUGCUGCUGGCAGGAUAAAGGAGAUGUACGAGCACUCACUUUGGCGAUCCCUCAUUACUUAACACCUGAAGACGUAGCCUAUUUGCCAAAGCUGAGGUUCCUUAAAGGGAACAAAAUAAAUUUUGUAGGUGACUUCAAAAAUCGUCUUCGUAAUUUGAGAUGGCUUUCUUGGCAAUCUUGCCCAUUGGAUUUUUCAGCAACGAAUCUUCACCUAGUGAAUUUGGUCGUGCUUGACCUCUCAUGGAGCGCCGUCACCCACAAGUGGGGUGGAUGGAGGCAUAUUGAGGUACUAACCCGCCUCACUUAUGUUGGCUUCAAAUUUUAUUAAUUGACCUUCAUGAGCUAGUUGUAUGCUAUAGUAUUCAUGUACUUUCUUUGGCAUGAAAUUGUCCUUUUUUCCCAUUGCAGAUGGCAAAAAAGUUGAAAGUACUAAAUUUGUCGUACUGCUUUUCCUUAACCAAGAUGCCCAACAUUUCUGAGUUUGGCAAGUUGGAGAAAUUGAUUCUUAAGGGUUGUCUGAAUUUGCAUACGAUUGAUAGCUCAAUCGGUAAGGUAAAACUGCUAAAUACUUUGGAUAUGCAGGGAUGCAAAUCCCUCAAAGGGUUGCCCGAAGAAAUCGGUUCUCUAGAAUGCUUGUCGGAGAUUAUCAAUCCCUACAUCACGGAUCUGAUCCAGUUUCAGCUUCUAGAGACACUAGGCAAUCUAAAAUCUUUAAUGAAGUUAACAGUUCGAUAUAAUAUCGACCAACUUCCUCACUCUUUUGGAAGGUUGAAUCUCACGCAUUUGAAUUUGGGUGAAUGCAAUAAUCUACAUCACUCUAUUGGAAGGUUGACUCUCACGCCUUUGGAUUUGGGUGAAUGCAAUAAUCUACAUCACUCUAUUGGAAGGUUGAAUCUCAUGCAUUUGGAUUUGGGUGAAUGCAAUAAUCUACAUCACUCUAUUAGAAGGUUGAAUCUCACAUAUUUGGAUUUGGGUGAUUGCAAUAAUCUUCCGAAGCUAGUAUCAUUGGUCUUGUUGGAUUUAAAUUGUUGCAGUGAUCUACACGAGCUUCCGAACUCCAUUGUAAAGUUAAAGAAACUCAAGUUUUUGAUUUUAUUUGAACACGAGAAUAUAUAUGAGCUUCCGAACUCUAUUAGGAAGCUAGAAUCAUCGAUGAAGUUGGAUUUAGAUUUUUCAAGGAUCUCCAUUCUUCCUGAUUCCAUCGGAGGGUCAAAAAAGCUUGAGCAUUUGCUUUUAUUUGAAUGCUAUAAUCUGAAUAAGCUUCCGGUUUCUAUUGGGAAGCUAGAAUCAUUGGUCGAGUUGGAAUUAAAUUUUUCAAGUAUCUCUGUUCUUUCCGAUUUCAUUGAAAGGUUAAAGAACCUCAAGCAUUUGUUUUUAUCUAAAUGCAUGAAUCUAUAUGAGCUUCUAGACUUUAUUCGGGAGCUAGAUUCAUCGAUUAAGUUGGAUUUAGAAUUCUCCUCGGGCUACAUUCUUCAUGAUUCCAUUAGACAGUUUGGGGAACAAAAUUCAUUAGUCAAGUUGGAUUUUAAACUCUUGAAGAUCUCCACUCUCCUAAAGCCCAUUGGAAUGUUUACGAGUUUCACACAUUUGUCUCUUUCUGGAUGCAAGAAUCUAUAUGAGCUUCCGGAUUCUAUUGGGCAAAUGAAAAGACUAAAAGUCUUAAAUGUGGCAUACACUAAGAUAUGCACAAUACCUAAAGCUCUUGGAGGGGUGGAGACACUGGAAGAGCUCGAUGCCUCAUUUUGUCUGCGUCUCAAGGAUGAUCUCAAGGAUGAAUGGGAAACGUUGAGCCUGACUUGUCUAAGAAUCUUGAACUUAUAUAGGAGCCCGAUCUCUAUAAUUCCGAGAAACAUCAAUGAUUUCUCUAGUCUCCAAACGCUUAAAAUUGCAAGCCACCGGCUUUCCCCGUUGCCCGAGCUUCCCUCAAGUUUGAAAUGCCUGGUGGUUGAAGCUACUGAAUUUCCUGUUCUUCCCGAGCUUUCGAGCCUAGUUCAUUUACAUCAUCUCGAGGUGCGUAAAGAACAAUGUAUGACAUUUCGGAUGCCAAACGAGGUUACCUUGCCUUGGAAGGACGUGCACUCCAUCAAUCGGCCUCCACUUAGCUUAUCAACCUUGAAACUUCACACUAUCCCGCAAUUGCCAGAUUUCUCCGACUUCCAAAGCUUGUUGGUUCUCUCAAUAACUGGAUGUCUAACGCCACGCGUGCCCGAUCUAUUGCGCUUGAAAAGGCUACAAGAGUUGCGACUCAGUGACUUUCCCAAACUAGCGGAGAUUCCAGGUUUGGGGGAACUAGAAUCACUUAUGUUUCUGCACAUUUCCACGUGUAAUGUGAUCGAACUAUUGCCUAACCUGUCGAAUUUGAAAAAUUUACGGAAUCUUGAGCUAAAACAUUGUGCAAAAUUAAGAGCUGUCGAAGGCUUGAAAGAAUUGAAUUCGUUGACAAAAGUGGAGAUCAAAUAUUGCAUGUCCUUGGAAAAGUUGCCCGAUGUGCCAGAACUCACCGAGUUAAAGACUGAUUGUAUGGCGCCAGAAGCUGAAGGACACACCAUUCGUUCUACCGUGCUGGGGAAGGGAUUGCAACUUUGGGGAUUGGAGGACGAAUGUGCUUUGAAGGAGAAUGCAUCAUCCCAAAAGUGCAGGAACUUCUGAUUAAAGCACAUCAUGUCCGGGGUUUGAGCCAGUGCAGUACUAAUGUGAGGUAGCUUUGAACUCCUUCCAGAUUUUCUUUGCACCAUAGAUAUAGGUUUGAAUACUGGCAUCGAAAUUCUCAGGUGCGUCUUGAUUACAUCAGAGGAAGACAGAAGUUUUCAUUUCGGCUUUUGUUUGCUUACAUGUAGAACUGGCUCGGAAAACUGGCUUAGAAAGAGUUGGCCGCGAGUUUUCAGAGUUUUGAGGCCCUGCACGUUUAACAAAGACGAAUUAGCGACCCUGCACGUGGAAUAAAAGCCAAAUUGGCAACACACAUUCAUCACCGACAUGUCACACUUGAGCAUUGUGUUAUAUUUCGUGAUGAUGUUAAGACGAUGUUUUCUUUGUCAAGUCGAAUUCUUAUAAUGUUUUAUUUCCUAUCGAUAUCAUCAUUGCAUUAUGGAUCAUUUCAAUACGUCAGACGAAUUUGUUGCUUCUAUAAUCAGGUCCAUGGAUUACUGGGACAGCAACAACUGGAGGAAGGCCUUGUAGGAAUGGGCCUUGUCAUCAUCCCUGGCGGUGUGCCCAGGAAACCGAAAAUGACAAGAGAUGACCCGAUUAGCUACACUUUUAACUCCACAGUUCCCAUUGCAGCCGAAGAUUUCAAGAAAGCUGGCACUUGUGACCCAAAGAGACCGUUGGGCGUGACCAUGCUCGAUGUAGCUAGAGCAAAUACCUUUGUGGUAGGUAUCACUCCUGCUGAUUCUAUCGAGAAGCAUUGAGUAUAUUUAUGUUCAGAGUAUCAAUCAAGUCGUCACUUUGUAUGAGGCUACAAAGUAAGAAGCGUAUGUUACCUUGUUUAGCAUGCUAUUUUGUUUCAAACGUUAUAUCUUGCGAAUCCGCAAUUAAGACCUUACUCCAUGGGCAUCUUGUGAAAAGAACACUAAGUUGAAUUUUAUUAAAUAGGCUGACGCUCAUCUGUGGGAUCAUGGGCAGGGCAUAGAAGCAAGUUAAUAAAAUCAGCCUAUUUGCAAGUCUAGCAGUGCAGUCCAUAAGCCCGUGUAUUUGAUUGUUUUGGGUAAAAUAAUCAUGUGACUGCUGUUAUGUAAUAGUGAAUGUUAUUUGUUCUCUUCUCAUGAUGAUGAUUACAUUGAUGAGGGUGUCUAUGGUCAUAGAUACUUGGUACUAACACUCAGCAAAAUUGGGAAAGACACCAGUUUCGAGAGAAUUCUAUAAAGAGAACAACUUUUUUAUUUCCCAGGUUGACUUCUGAUCUAUUGUGCUCCUUGCAGGCAGAAGUACAGGGUCUUGAUCCUAGAGAAGUCGACGUUCCAAUUGUUGAAGGUCAUGCAGAAGUGACGAUUUUACCUCUUUUAUCUCAGGUUUGUGAUGUAUUCUUUCUAAUGAGAACAUAUGUUUGACAGGGAUGCCGUUAGAAAUUGCACUUUUUUUGUAGAAUGCUAAUUGUCAGGUGGCAUUUUCAAAAUCUGUAGUUUAAACCACUCACUCGUCAAGAAAUUGAUUACCUGACAUCACGCAUCCAAAAUGGUGGACAGAAGUUGUUGAGGUAAAUAAAUUUUUAUCUUUUACGGAUUUAGACGUCAAUUUAGGCAGUGUUGCUGUCAUAUCACAUUCCAAUAGUCUCUUCAGUUUUAUGUUUCCAGAUCAUAAAAUAUUGCCGUAGCUGUUCUAGUGAUGUUCAUUUUGUCCAGGGCUUGCGACAAGCUUCGGCGUACUAAGGUGGCCUAAAGAGUACAUCGUUAUAAGCGAGUAUUUUUUUAUUCCCAGACACAUUACCGCAUGCUUAAUCAUGUCAGAGUCUCUAAAUUCUUUUGAUUCAUGAGCUAUUUCGAAGAUCUACUCUAUUGAGAACUUUCUUUAAGAGAAGGAUGAUAUUUUCACGAGAAUCACAUUUUAGGUCCAUGUGGGCAUAUAUCUUUUGCAAGUCAACUUUAUGGCAUGAAGCCUUUGCCUGUGUACUGUAGUGAACAUAAGAGAGCUUCUUUUAUCACUCCUCGUAGAGGUCAAGGAACAUGAUUUACCAAAUGCCGCCUCGGAAACCUAUCCACUACCACUAUCCAAGAAAAAAGUGUUACUAAAGAUCUUUCUCAGGAUUGAUGGGACACCUCACGUGUAAAAGUAUGUAAGAGGUGAUUACUUUGUAUGGUGCUAUAGUCAGAAGCAAGCAGCUGUGAGAAUGUCUUUAGCGUUUGAUUAAUUUGUCUGGUCCUCAUUAAGGAAAACAAAGGAAGGUAAAAGAAAGAAUGUAGAAGCAGAGCACCAUACAUCUUUUAUUGUUACGGCGAAGAGAAUGACUUUCAUUUUGAUGAUAAGUGGAAAAAUUCAUACAAUGAUAGAAUUGUCAAAUAUAUCAAAUUUUCUAGAAGUGAUUGUUGAUGUCAACUCGAAACUGGAUUUUUGUGCAUCUAUUUCCACAACGAAAUUAUGGCAUGAUGUCUUAAUCUUCAUCUGUCUGCUUCCUUCAGUAUGUCGUGAAGCCGACUGAAUUGUGUACUCUGUGUUUCGACUACUUUCAAGCUGAAGUUGGAGCUGGCUCUGCAACUCUCUCAAUGGUGAGUCCUUGUUUUGGCCCUUUGAAUUGUAGUCUGAUAUCUGUCAUGAACUGGAAGUUUGAUGGCUAUCUGAUAUGCGGACUCUUUUCACAUGCUCAAAUAAUGUGUAAAUGAAAUAUGCAGGGCUCUUUUCCGCCGUUUGGUAGGUUAAUUAGACUUUCCGGAGAAAAAUCACCAAAAAAUCAGAUUUUUAUUAUUUAUUUUUCUUCUCUUAUAUUCUCUUUUUAUUUUUUUUUCUUUCCUCUUUUUCUUUACUAGGAAAAGAAAAAUAAAAACAAAGAAAAUAAAAAUAAAAAAUAAUUAUUAUUAAAAAUAAAUAAAAAAAUAAAAAUAAUUAUUAAAAUUUCGUUUUUUAAAUAUUUUUAUAAGAAUGAACUUUUGAUUAAAUAAUGACCCGAGUGCCAAGGACCCGUGCAUGAUCUUUGUGGACUAGAGCUUGAGUAUCCGAGAUUUGAGCACAUCCUUUAUGGACCGAGGCUCAGGUGCCGAGAAUUGUUCAUGGGCACUAGGGGUUUGUGGGUGCCGAGGGCUCAGGCCCAAUCAUUGGAGACUUGGUCUUGAACAUCGCGACCCAAGACCAACGUUAGAGUUUUCAUGGCCAAGUGUAAAGUUUUGAGUUCAAGUGUGGAUACUUAAUCAUAUUUUGCAAAAUGUUUUCUAUUUUCAAAGAGGGAAAUCAUUUUCUUUCUAUUGACUCAUUUUUCUCAGCGAACUGAACACUGAAAAAUGAGGAAAAUGUUUUUUCAGAAUUUGUUUUCCACGAAACAAACAGAAUCGAAACAACCAAUGAUUUUCUUUAUUGUUGUCCCCAUCUUUCAGAUGACUGAGCUUCCGUUCUUUGCAUUCAAAGUGCACCUCAGUCGUACUGGGCUAAGGAGGUUCUUCCCCUUGGCCUACUGAAUGAGUACAAAAGGUCUCGAUUUUUAUUACUCUCAAAAUUUUAUUUCUACUUUGACUACAUCAAAGGAAAAUUAUUUUUUUAAAAUUUCGGCCUUUGUUUAUUAACAUGUAGAGCUAGCUUGGAAAAGGCAAAGGAAGAGCUAGUAGAAGAAGGGCAUUUCAUUUAUCAAGAAGUGAGGAGAUUAAAAGUGUGGCCUUUUCGCUAGGGAAGAGAUGUCCUUUUCUUGGGUUUCGGCUUAUUUUUCUACUAAAAAAAUUGUUACUUGGGAAUAAGUGGUUCAGACCUAGGAAGAUAUCGAAGUUUGUUUUACAUAGGUGACUUUAGAAACCACGGAGGUUUUUCUUUUCUUGCAUGUAACGUAGUCAAAUGGUAAUCUGUGUAUAACCUGGUGGACGGAUGCUUGUAUAUUAUUAUCCUCGUCCCGUCUUUCUCAUGUGUGUUUGAAUUUCCGAUUUUCUUAUGCACCCCUAACGUCGCCUUCACGCACCAUCAGAUGUGCAAUGCCGCAAUGAGCAAAUGAUAGACAGAGAGUGCUGAAUAAGUUGAAGCUCGUCUUUGGUACCAGGCUUGAAGUUUAACAGGCUUAAAUGCAGCUUCGUAUGGCUUUCUCCAGAAGAUUUAAGAGACCAAAAGGAGCAAGAGAACCAUUACAAAGUCUCUUCUUGGUAACUGGCAGCGGGAGUCGAAAUUAUCAUGAGGACACAAAUCCACAAUCACCAGCAUCAAUUUCUCACCCCAAGUUCUCAGGAGCAUUUAGACUGAUAGAUUACCGAGUUUAUGUUUUGUUCCAUGAAAAAACAACUAAUUUGCCCAUAAAAAAAAAAUCAAAAGAAGCUUUAGAACAUUAUCUUGGAGUUGGAUCAGCCUCACAAAAUUUGCUGCUUUAUUUGGGUAGUUAGUGGCUUGUUUCGCAUCACCGGCCGAUGACGAAUGACUAUUGCUUUGAUGUUUUUGCAAGUCUGGCCGUAUUAGUCCUGAAAUUAUUCUACGUUGUAAUGACAAUUUGGAAGAGACUUUGGCAAUAAUGACAGUAUUCGGCAGGACGGCAGAGGUAGGAGUGCGGUGUAGCAAGAGCAAUGUCGCCCCAAAGCUUUGGAUCCCUUCAUACGGUUUCCUUAGAGUUGCUCUGCAGCAAUACUUUGCAGUGUGGGCAGAGAAGUGCGAUGGAGGAAUGAUGCACGAAUUGGCCCAUAUGCGUCAACUAACACUGUCAAAAAUUGAAUGAAGCACAUACGAUCUCGAUAGCUACCAUACAGGUUCUAAUCAAUCUUACACUCUCAUGUAGAUUCGGAGAGUGCAAACUGAUCUCGAGUCGACUACAUCCAAUUGAAAAAAUGGGCAAUAAACUGCCCCAAUUCCAAUAAAUGGGUGAGCCAUAUCACUAUUACCAUAACAUUGAGCAAGUAAAUCUCACACCUGUUUAACAGUCUCAAGCCUACUAAACUGUAGAGCAGUGGAUAUUGCUGUAGAUCCCAUGAGGUUAGAAUUCUAGCUAUUUAAGAGUGGUAUCUCAUUGAUGGCUCCACACUCUUUUUUUCUUUCGACCUUUCGACCAGCUCUCAAGAUUUGGUGGUUUUCACUGAUCUAUCUUUUAGUCUUUCAACGUAUUUUAUUCUACAAUUUCAUCAGAUGCUCAUGUAGGUUCCACGGAUGUCUUUCCUGUCACAUUUAGCCAUCUUUUUCUCCCCUUCAAAAAACCACGCAUGGCUUAACCCACAAAUUAUAAUUAGAACCAUCUUCAAUGGUUCGGACGGGUUGGAAGACCUCUGACUAAUCUUUGUGGUGUACUAAAAGGUUGAGAGUAAAACUCACCUUGAACUUGAACAGGAAAAACACAUUAAAGAAGCUCAAGGCUAGUUUGAAUUGGUUUAGAAGACUUUGAAUCGAUCAGUCGAAGUAUUGAGCCUGUUCGGUCAAUAAUGUUAUUAGGCUGCUGAAGUCUCCUACUAACAUGGUCUGUGACUUGGCCUACUAACAUAGCUCUCCGAUGUGGUAGGGCGUGAUCUGCGGGUAAAGAAAUUCAACCGAGCGCUUUUACGGCGGCUAAUAAGUUAACUGAUUAUGUCAAUUCAGUUUUUGGAGGCAAAAGUUACUGUAGUGCACAAUAAUCUGGACUAGGGAUUAAAAUUCCGACGUCCAUCACGUUCACAUGGAAUGGAGCUGCAAUUGGACGGGACUAUUGACUACGUGGCCCGAUGAUAAGGAGGAGGCGCAAGGAGACUCUUUCGCCAGACGGACGUCGACGACAAUGGAAAGUGCUGCUUGUGGGAAGGUGUGAUUUCUGGGAAGGGAGUGAUAGGCUAAACUCAAUUUGAGUAGCACCCUAGUUUCAAAGUUAGAGGAUCCAGUGGCGGUAGACUUUGCCGUACGCCAGCGAGAUUUGUGAAAUGAAUCGCAGCGAUAAAAUGAACAACUAGUUAGUUUUCACAAAGAGACGCGGCAAUGAUAUUAAGUUACAACUAGAAUAGCACUAACAAUGAUUCGAUUGCUUAACUUCAAUGUUACAAUGCGUGGUUUAUCUGUAGGUCCAAUAACCAGUUGCAAAAGAUCCUGUUAAAUAUAGAAUAUAAGUAAUCUAUACACAAGUCUGACCAAAUAUAUAUCACAUGAAAUCAACAAAGAUCAAGAAGAUCCCACAAUGUACUACAGUUUUUGCUUAUCUACAAAACAACAUUCAAAUCAAAAAGAAAAUCGCAUAUUAUAGGAAGAAAGACUAAACUAAUGAUUCAUACGUUUCUAGUAGAAUUUUGUUAUUGCUUGAUGAAUCAAUGCUCACUUCGUAAAGUUACACCACAUAUCUCCAAAACAAAUAUUUAGAUUAAUCAAUUUCUGGUCCAGGCAACGCAUGGGACUUUAACUAGUUUGAUGAUAAUGAUUUGUUGCCUCGCCAUUUGACAUUAUAUUUUUGUAACUAUGUCAAUUUAGCAACUGCAGACUAUUUUAUGUUUGUUUAUGUUGAUCCUUAAGUUAAUAUCAUGAGGAAGUUUCAUAGAAGGUAGUGGCAGGGUUGUGAGAGAGUUGGGCUUGAAGACGCUUAACAAUUCAAUCAUAAUAAUUAACAAUAACUUUAUCUGAAGGGCCUCACUGUUUAGGAAAUUUGAGGUCCCAUCCCAUGUGCAUUACAUUGGAAUUCGAAUCCACUUUUACCUUUGUUGUACUAAUUUACACGUGCUUUCAAUCAGUCUCGUACAGCUGAAAGAGUAAUCGAAUAAUAGUAACAUAUCUCGCCUCAGAUGAUACUGAGUGCAUCACAUUCGAUGUUAAUUUCAAGAUGUAUUUGCUUUUAACAAAUGCAUGAAUCAUUUCAUUAAAUCAAGAUUAAGUGACAAUAUAUAAAUUGACAAAGGAACAGGUAACUUUUUUUUUGUUUUGGUUGGUGGAAAAGUUUUACUUACCAGAUCCAUCUUUGUUCUUUCGUUUUGUUUUGUUUCUUUCUUGAUUCCACCAAUUCCGGUUGGACGCAUAAAAAGGAACACUAUAUGUUUUUAGUCCUUCUCGCACAGCUGGACGAGGAAUACAAUAACCUCAACAUGUCUUGCCUCAUUGUCAUAGUGAAACGGUUUGCCCCUGCUAUCGAUCUUCAGAUUUCCUGCAACUAGGAUAAGUAUUAGUGGAUGACACAUCCAGAGGCAAAUUUUGCUAAAUUUUAUGCACCAGAAUAGUGUUAAUACCAUACAAAUUCUCAAAUUGGUAUAUUCUUAUCAUUUUAUCUCAAACUAAUCAUGUCACAAAAAAUUGGUACACCCACAUCAUAUUUAUUCUAAACUAAUUUCUUGUGACAUAGAAUUAGUUUAGGAUAAACAUAACACGAAUUUAUUGGCUUGGAAUCUCUCUGUUAGGCAAAAAUCAGCUUGCAGUAUUGUGAGGUGGGUCAACCAGUUAGGAAUUUUUCACAACACGAAAAUUAGUUAGACAUGAAGGAUACUCAUAUGAAUUUUUUAAAAUUUUUGUGCUAGUGACGCUUUUUCCAUUAGUGCUUGGCAUACGACGCCAGGACAUUAUAUGGUCGUGGAAAGAGGAAAGAAAGUAACAUUUGGAACGUUUACCUCCUCUAAUUAUUUUUACGUCCUUCGUUACCUAGAUUAGGUUAUUAACUAUCAAGAAAAGAAAAGGCAUAUUUUACUGUUUUCAAAUAGAAAAGUACCAAAAAAUUCAUAAAUUUAUUGUAUUACUAACAUUUUAGUCAUAAAUUGUCCAAAAAAAAAAAAACAUUUUAGUCAUAAACUUUUUUAAUUAGACCGGUUUAGUCCUAAAUAUUUUCACGUUGAUACUGAUUGAGUCCAUCUGAAGCCGAAAAUUUCUAAUCGUCCCACGUGAUAUGGCUAAUGCUAACGUGAAUUUUAUUUAUUAUUUUUUAUAUUCCUUUUUUUUUCUUUUUUUUUUCUUUUUUUUGGGGAAAAUUCCAAAUAAGGGACUGAAGUAACCUCAUUUUCUCAAAUAAAGGUCUGUGAUUAUAACAAUUUCAAAUAAGGGCCUAGCCUCACCGACCGGCAAAAAAUUCAAGUCGAUCAAGGGCAUUUUCGUCCAAACACAAUUAAUUUUUAUUAUAAACUUAAAAAAAAAAGAUAAAAAAGAAUUGCCGCCUCAUUGCAAGUGGGGCAGCGACAAAGGCCGGCGAGGUCACCGAUGCCUGGGGCAGGCCCUCCCACCUGUGUUUUCUUUUCUUUUCUUUUUUUUAGUUUUUUAGUUUUUUUUUAAAGGAAAAAGCAGAAACAAAAAUAAUGAAAAAAGAAAAUUUUAAAAAAUUUAAAAAGACAAAAUUGCCCUUCACAUUUGGUGAGUUCAAAUCCUUAUUUGAGAAAUUAAGGACAUUCCGAGUUUUUAUUUGAAAUAAUAUCCAUUUCAUACAUUUAUUUGAGAAAAUAAGGGAACUUUAGAUCUUUAUUUGAAAUUUUCUCUUUUUUUUUUUUUUUUUAAUCUUUUAUCCUUAUUCCCUCCAGUUGCCAACCUCCACAAUCUCCUUUGGCCAUUAGCGAGGGUGAGGGCUAGGAUGCCCUCACCAAUCUUUGGUGAGAGCGAACGAAGGCUAGGAAAGGCCGCCCCUCGCCAAAGGCUGGCAUAUGGUCAUGACUGGCGAGUGGCAAUACCCAGAAGCAGAAUUUGGAAAUGCAACAAAAAUAAAAACCCUCAAAGCAAAGACCGGUAUACCAGCUUCCGUGAACAACGCUGUCUUGCUCAAAGGGUUUAAGAUUUCUAGAUCGGUGUGGAACAUCCGCAAUUCAACAAGCAAGAAAUUUUACCACCAAAAUUCAAGCAAGCCGACGAAUCGAAUCCAGAAAACAAAGAGACUGAAAGAGAGAAGAAACAGGGAGGAACUUUUUCGGCUGAUCAGAGACGACACAAACGAGAGGACCUCAGGUUGGGUGGGGGGUUUAACCGAGGAAGCUGUAGUUGGUUGUGGGCACAAGAUCACCGCUCGAGAAGGAGCAGAGCACACUUCUUUUUAAUUUUGGUUAGGCAAUUAAAAAGGGCAAGAAAACGAAAUUCAAAAGAAAAACGGAAGCGAGGAAAAAGGAUUGAAUGUGAACUUACCGGUGCCAAAUGAAUGAGGAAAUGAUUCGAUUUGAACUGCACAGAGAGAGAGAGAGAGAGAGAGAGAGAGAGGCCUCGCCCUGGCGUCCUGGCCAUCAUCCUUGUUGGCGGCUGGCGAUUGGUGAAGGAAAAUUGUAAAAAACAUAUUCACAUUAGUGUAAGCUAUAUCAUGUAGGACAAUCGGAAUUCAAUUAGCAAUUUCUAGCCUAAAUUUACCCAAUGAUUCAAUUAGUAUUGAUGUGAAAAAAAUUUAGGAUUAAAUUUAUAUAACUUAAGAAUUUAGAACUAAAUUAGUGCUAACGCAAUAUGUUUAGAAUAUUUUUUUUGUACUUUUCCCUCCUCAAGACCUAGAAAAUAUUCCAAUAGUCAAUACCAAAAAAUAAAAGUUUCCAAUUUUCAGAAUAGACAAAUUCUUGUCCGCUAGGUCCCAAGAGGAAGCUACCAAUAGAUUAUUGUCGCUACGAAAUUUCAACAUCUGCAGAUUAUUUAUAUUUGAUAGUAAUACUAUCAAGAGGAAGUUUCAUAAGUGGGAGUGGCGGAGAUGGAACUAGUUGGGCUUGAAGAGACUAAACAACUUAGUCACAAUAAAUCAUUAUAAAUUUUUCUAAAGGGUCCUCAUUGUUUUAAAAGUUCGACGUAGUCCGUUUGAUUACAUCUCUGGGCAGCACAAUUUAUAUUAAUUUCAUAUAUACUUUUCAUGUUAGACUUGUAUUCAACAAUUGCACGAAUGCUGCUGCAUGAUUAGAACUCAAUGACAAUUUGACAAAGUAAAAAGACUUAUUACCGGAUGUUUUAUCUUUAACUUUAUCUUUUUUCCGGUUUUGUUGCACUAAUUUACUCAAUUAAAUAUGUUUCCUAAAACCACCAACUCCAAUUGCCCACAUAAUGGCCAAAUGUUACAAAAAAUCUUGAACCUAUUGUAGGGAGGCAGAUUUAGUUCUAAACUUCUUAAUUUUGCCAAUUAAAUCUUAAAUCUUUUGAUGGUUUAUUAAUAUAAUAUUUUUUGACCAAUUUUGGUGAGAAACCGUUAACGUGGACGCGGGCUGUUUCAGUGAUUUAUGGUUAAAAUUACCAUAAGGAUUAUAUUGACAAAUCAUUAAAAUAUUUAAAAUUAUAUUAACAAAUCGGGAAAUAGUUUAUGACUAAAAUGGCAAAUUUUCAAAGAUUAGAACUGGAUUUUUAGACAAGUAUCCCUCCUAUAAAAAACUCAUGUCCCCCCUCGAGAUUGACAAUUUUCAUUCGGAGAUGCCUCUCCAGAUUCGGCAGCAAUUUCUGAUACCAAGUUCUCCUUAAAUGGAAAAUUCAGAUUAAGAUUAUCGAGUUCAUAUAUCUUUUGUCAAGAAAAAAUAAUUAGUCGAAUGGCAGGAUCAUCCGUAAAAUCUUCCAAUCUCGCCCACGAAGAGGACAACUCGCUUUCGAAAUAAGAUGCUAACACAGCACGCCUCCCCGGCCUAGUAAAAUUAGUUGUUGGGUGAAACCCGUUUGGAACAGAUUUCAAAACCGGUUCGCAGUUAAAACCGGUUUAAUAGAUUCAAGCAAAACCCUAAAAUGUCUUAAAUUUAGAACACCUUCUACUUUCUGCUUCACGCUCUCAGAUCUGGCCUUUCUCUCGUCUCUCCAACGGUGCCCUUCGUUUUUUUUCCCUCUCUGGUCUCGCCUGAGUCGCCGUCUCGUCCAGUCUCUCUCUUGAUCUCGCGGAUUGCGGCCUCGCCUUUGUCUGUUGGCCGUCAAUCAGCCCACUUGGUACUCUCUCUUUAUGUCGGUUUCGUUUUCGAUCACUUCAUGUAAUGCUUCGAUUCGAUUGUGCUUUCAUUUUGAUUUCUUUGGCAGUUUUCCAUCGCCAGUUGAUGGCCGUGAGGCGAGGGCUCAUUCAGGAAUCCUCACAAGGCCUUCGCUUCACCGACACAUCCCACGAUUUAACCGCUAGCAUGCAUACGGCUCAUAAAAAGAAAGAGGAUAAUGAGGGCAGAAACAUUCAGGGCUGCACGAAUCUGCGAGGGAAUAAUCAACAUCAACAAAGGACGGCAUAAGCCAGCCGUCGAAGGACGGUCUUGGUCUCAUUUUAUAUUAACACUAUCUGGGGCAUUUUCACAAACGGUUGAUGUGCGCUGCCGAAUCGUAAGGUUUCUGGCUCAACUGGGACUCGAACGCGCGCCGGAGAGACGCACGACGUACGGGGACUAUGGAAACAUGGAAACAAAGUGCAAGGGCGACGAGGGCUGGAGCUCACGCGAGCCGAACGGCCGCGAGCGCCGGCCCGAUGUCACCCAAAACGGGGCAAAACAGAGGACUCGCAGGACAGAAAAAAAAACAGGGGCGGUCGCGGCAGCGGCUAACCCGGCUUGGCGGCGGUGAAUGGAGGACGAGCUUGCCACGCCACGGAGCCGAGAUCUUCAGGAAAUCGGCACAACCCGAAACCAAUAAAAAAGAAACACACCGAGACCUACCGUGAGGGAGAGGCACGCGUCGGUGAGGGUUGGCGGCCGAGGUCCAGACGCAGCGGCUACCGGAGGAGGCCCUUCACUCACCGCCUCACUCUUCGCUCUCUGCUUCUCGCUCUCUGCUUCUCGCUCUCUCCCACUCUCAAUCUCGGCCUGAACCCGACCCCCGAAUCACGGCUGUUUCCUGCUUUCUGCUCGGGUACUUCUGUGGUGCUAUCGAGAUGGAAGGAGGAAGAGAUAGGCGCGCGGGCCGGGCCGAGGAAAAGGGAAAAUGGACCGACCCGGCGGGAAAGAAGAGGAAAAAGAAAAGAGGCUGGGCCAGCGUGAACCCGGCCUAGUCUUGCCCUUUUUUUUUUUUUUAAACCCUUUAUUUAAUUUUUUUAAUAUAAAUCUUAAUAAAUUCUAUGCAAAUAUUCCUAAUAUCUACAUAAUGUACUAUGCGAUUUUAAUGAUGAAUAUUUUUUAGAGGCUAAAAAUUAACCUUUAAUUUUCUACUUAAUUAAUGCCAAAAUUUAAGUGUCGACAAAUAUAGCUCGAAACAAGCUUAACGAGACCAUCAAUGAAAUAAAGCUGCAUGAGGUUUUGCUGCUAAAUUCACUAAAUUAAUCCAAGGCCUUCACAUCGUUAAUGGAAACGCAAAUUCAAGAUUGCGGCAACCUUGACCACAUCAAAAUCGAGAACGAUGCCAACGCAACUAAGACGAGUAUGACCUGCAGGUUGCAAGAGGCCACACUCAGGCUCAAGCAAGCCAACCUAAUACAUGAGAUUAUUGCUAACACAAGUUGUGAGAAGCAUUAUCGGCCCGGUUUACAAUUUGAUUGAGGAGCAAAGAACUUCUGGGCUCAUAUCUGGAUCCAUGAGUAGUAAAAGAAAUGCAAAAGAUAUUGAAGGUUUUCUUACCAUAUAUAUGAUCCGUCUAUGAGAUUAUUGCUAACACAAGAAGAGAUAAUUUCAAGAUUUUUUACCUGAUUUAUUUUUCCUUUAUUUCUAGGAUGGCCAUGUUUUUUCUCCCAUUCCUAGUAAGAGGAAACUUUCUUUAGUUGAUCUUUUAAUUGGUGGGUUUACAAACAUUAACAUCACCCACAUUAUAUUUUGUUAAAUUUACUUGUGCACGACGUUCAUAACUUGUAAAACGAUCACAGCCAAUAGUCAAUGAAAUAAGAGUUUCUCUCCAUUUGCUAGUUUUUUUUUAUUUGGAGUUAGAUCAUUGCUUGGGUUUAUGAAUAUUUCAUCUUUCAUUGUAAGAUCAGAUUUUCCCACUGGAUAAUGAUACUUUUUACUAGUUGCGCUUUGAUUUGUUUUCACAAUUGUGUUAUGUUCGACUAUUAACAAGGGUCCAUUUUAACCGUGUCAUGUAUGUAUGCAACCAAGCUGGGCUAAAUGAAUUUUGACACACUAUAUCAAUAAUUAACUAAUUUGGAUGACAUUUUGGCAUUUUGUGGCAGCGACAGUUUUACUUCGGAUAUGUAUCACUAAAAAUUCCUUGAUGACCAUGCUAGAUGAAGUUCUUUAAGGGAAGUUGGUAUUUAUGAUUGUGGGCCUGUGGCUACUUCAAGGUGAUGAUGAGACGCAUGAAGCAUAGGUCCAUGAAGAUGGCGUGGUGCAUAAUGUGGACGUGUAGGUGCAUUUCCUUCCAAUGCAAUUUAGUCUUUCUCGCCGGACAUUUCGUGAAAUAAAAAAUAAUCCAUUUUCUCUAACCCACCACUUUGGAGCUCGAGAACAUGUGGAAUCAAUAUUGAAGCCUUUAGAAAAUUCAAAAUCGUUGCUAGAGAUGCCAAACAUUUACAUAGAACAAGAACGCAUAUUCAUUCUAUUUAAUUGCCCCCACAAUUUCCUCUCAUUUUCAACUUAACAUCCAAGCAACUAAGGGCGUGCAUGGAAACACUCCAAAAAAGUGUUUCCGGCACACUUCUGUACGGAAAGUGUUCCCGGGAACAAAAAAGGAACAGAAACGCGUUUGGUUGCGUUUUUGUUCUUUUUUUGUUUUUUUGUUUCUGGAACGAAAUAGAAACAGAAAAAAGAAACAAAAAAAAGUUGUUUCUCCUGAAAGAAACACUUCUCGGAAGGAACAAAAGAACAAAAAUCACUCCUCUCUCUUCUUCUUCUCUUCUUCUUUUCUUCUUUUUUUUCUUCUUUUUCAUUUUGGUCGGUCGCCGGCCUCGGCCAUGGCCGGCGACCGGCCGUCGAGGCUCGGCCUCACCCAGAUCCGGCUAGGCCGAGCGUCGCCCGCCCCCGGCGAGGCUCGGCGUCGCCGGCGCGGGCGAGGCCGAGCCUCGCCCAGGCGGGGGGUGGGUUGUAUAAUAUAAUUUGGGUGGGCCGCGCCGUAGAAGGAAAUAUAAAAAAAUGUCUAAAAUAUUAUCAUAUAUUUUACAAUACUAAAGUUUAUUAUACGGUUAUGAAUUAUAUUUAUAAUCUCAUAACCGGGAAAGGGAAAUAUUUUCUGUUGAUUUCGGAGGGGUGAAAGAUAAACAAAACGAAUUUUAUUGANNNNNNNNNNNNNNNNNNNNNNNNNNNNNNNNNNNNNNNNNNNNNNNNNNNNNNNNNNNNNNNNNNNNNNNNNNNNNNNNNNNNNNNNNNNNNNNNNNNNAAGUCCUUUAAUAAAAAAUGAACAGAAACACGUGUGGUAAAUUUUAUUAUUUUUUUGUUUCUUUUAAUUUUUUAAACAUUUUUUUUAUUUUUUAUUUUUCCUUUCUUUUUAUUUUUUCUUUUCUUCGGCCGGUCACCGGCCUCCGGCGACCGGCCGACGCGAGGCCGAGCCUCGCCCAACCACGGCCAGGCUCGGCCUCGCCGUGGGCCGGGGAGCCUCGCCGUGGCUGGGCGAGGCUGCCGGCCCCGUCGGCCGGUCGCCGGAGGCCGGUGACCGGCCGAAGAAAAGAAAAAAUAAAAAGAAAGGAAAAAUAAAAAAUAAAAAAAAUGUUUAAAAAAUUAAAAGAAACAAAAAAAUAAUAAAAUUUACCAAACGUGUUUCUGUUCAUUUUUUAUUCCCGGACCAAACGUUACCAAACGUGUUCUUUUGUUCAAAAACUGUUCCCCGAAACAGAAACACUUUUUUUUGUUUCUGUUCCCAGGAACAAAAAAAGAACAGAAACAAAUCCAUGCGCACCCUAAGAAGCCUCAAAAAGUUUCCACCCCGUUGCAAAAGUCUCGUCCUCUUCGUGUCUCUUUCCUCUCUUAUCUUUUACGUACGCUUCACGCAUCAACUCGUACAACUCGUAAUUGAGUUGAAUUCUGAGAGAAAAAAACAAAGUUGUGGAAAAACGCGAAAGCGAUAAAGUAAUGCGCGCCUGUCCUUCUGCUUUUUCAGUUUUCUUGCGUUUACAUGGGGAUUUCGCAGGGAGGUGAGGGGAAGUUUCUUGUGUUCAUCACAUGGACAUGGCUUGUUGGCGUGAAAAUUUGUCCUCCCAACGAAUAUGCUAUUUUUGCUGCCAACCUACAAGUUUAUUCUAACGUGUCUUUCUGCCCGGUCAUUUCCGAGUCCCUUCGCUACUGCCCUGUCUCAGCUUUUCCAACGCACCGCGACUAGAAAUCAACCGUUCCACGCGAAUUCCCUUCCUGAUAAAUCCCGAGAUGCAGUCAUCUGAUUCGACGGUUGGGAUCGGUUUCAUCAGAUGUUGGGACGGUGAAUGAAGGAAAGAGGUGUUGUCUGCUGUCCCAUCGCCAAAUCAAUGACAGCCCGAGAUAACCCGACCCAAAAGCUACGCCACAUAAAAGAAAUGAAUGACUGACGAUCACAUGCAUCGUGUCCUAUAGUCUGGUCGGACAAGGCAAAGGAUUCUUGCUUUUUCUCAUCACAUAUCAGUAUCAAACAAAGAGACAACUCGCUUUUCACUAGACCCAGCAUCAUUUGAAGAGGGACAUGGUAUAAUACACCCAACGCAAUAAUAAAUUAUAAUGUGCAACUUAUGCUUCCUCUUGUGAAAAGAACACGAACCAUAUAUGUGCAAUCUGCGCUUUCUUGUCAUAUGGCUGUUGUCGUGGAGGACAAAGAAAUUUCUCGAGUGCAUACCCAAGGAAAAAAACAAAAGACAUCAAUCUCAGUUCUUCAGUGAAAUUGUAUGAAUUUACACGCCUAUCUUAUGUAAUGAAAUUUUUUACUUCGUGUUCUACCCAAAAGAAAAAAGAAAAAAAAAAAAAACAGAUGCAUUGGGAAGCCUGUGAAUAGCAAAGUUCUUCUCAGCGGAGAGACCGAUGUAGGAUGGGUAUCACAUUAGAAUUUUUAUCCGAGUAAUCGGUAUUUGUUACAUUCUUAUAUGAAUAUUUGGUAUCCACCACACUCUUGUUUUAGGCUCUUAUAAGUGAAAAUUACACCAACAGUGCUGAAUGUUUGGCUAAAUACGUAGUCAAGUUCUAAAUUUUAAAUUUGUGCAAUCAAGUCCUAAGCAUUUUUUGUUGAGUGCAAUUUAAUCCUUCGAGCAAGCUUACAAAUAGAUUUGCUAACCUAGAUUCCAAAAUCCGAUGUGGCAUUUUGUACUAUCCUUUUGCAUACAUGGUUUUGAUACAACGCUAAUGUAGUGUCACGUCAUGAAAAUUUAAAAAUUAAAAAGGUAGGAAAGACUAAAGAAAUUUUUUUUUAAAGAAAGGCUAUUAAAAAAAGACAAAACUAAAGGAAAAAUAAAAAAAUGAAAGUUGUGGAGAGUGGAACUAUUGGUGUUAGGAUACACAUGUAAGUUGUGUCAGAGAAAUCCCACAUCAGAUAAUUGACGUGGUGUGAAAUAGUUAAUAUAUUCUCAUUAACUCAUAACUCAUUGGCUUAAUCUUUUGAGUUAAGGUGGGUUCAUGGAUAUGAUAAUGGACUCGGACUUAGGUUCUCUUUUGGAGAUCUCCCGAAAUGAUUACAUGCUCUCAACAAAUGGUAUUAGAGUCGAUGGUUGAUUGGUGGCCCACUCUCAAUAUGUAUCGCUAUUUAGUGAAUAUCUCAACUAGGAAUUUGGUGAUCAACGUGGUUUUCGAGCAAAUGGGCGUUGUGGUGUAACAAUGCAAGCCCGAUGACAGACUUCAUGAUUCAGUCCAAAAAAGAGACUAAGGAUGAAAUUGGACAUUGGAAAUUCAAGUUGAGAUAAGUUAAUAUAGAAAGAUAACCGAAUUAAGGGAGAGCAAAUCUAAAACUGGAACUUACACGUGUGGGGGAGAUUGUUAGGAUACACACAAGUGUGUUAAAGAAAUUCCAUAUUGGAGAAUUGAUAUGAUGUGGAGCAAUUAAUAUACCUAAUUGGUCUAUAACUCAUUGGUUUAACAUGAGUCCAACUAGAUAUGUUAAUGGAUUCAGACUUGGGGUUCUUCUUGGAAAUCUCCCCAGGUGAAGAUAUCGGACUCUUGUUGUGCAUUCCCAACUAUCAGUAAGGAUUGUUUGAGGGGUUGGAGAUGGCAGAACUACCCUAAGUUCGUGGCCUUCUCUAUUCUCCUUAUAAUGCCCAUGAGUAAAGCCUGCACUUUCUUUCCUUUGGCCUUCAUCUUCCUAUUCAUUUUAGUUGGCACGAACCUGUAAAUUAAUUAAUCAAGUGGCAUGAUCUUUAAGAAUGUUAUGUUGGAUUAACAAGUUUAUGGAAAAUGAGAGAUUUUACCUCUAGUCAUAGAUGUAGACGGAUUGAAAGGAGUAAUCACAAACUGGGCUUGCUCCUCCUGAAAAUGUAGCCUUUGAGUCUUUUAUUUCUCUCUUUCUGUUGAGGAAAUUAAGAAGAUUUGCACGUAUAUAGUCUUUAUUUUAUCCCCUUUCAAAGACAUAAAUUCACACUGGAAAAAUGGGCAAAGCUAAACACUAAUCAAAUUAUACACGCACGGAUAUAUGUACAAGAUAUUUUGUAUGUUGUUUAGUAUUGGUAUUGAGUAUUUGAGAGCAUCCAACCAAUUUCAUGAUUUGUGAUAUAAUCCCACUACCUAAAUCUACUUUCGUACCAACUCCAACAAUUUAUGUUUGUGUUUUCAGGAUGUUUUUUCAUGGUCAAAGUCGAAAAUGGGAUAAGCACGGGUGCUUUCCGACCAGAGAAUUUUAUGUGCUUGACCGGAAAGGCAGGUUCUUAAAAUUUUAAGCUCGUUAUUAUUAUCUUGGUGAUUGAGGCCUGUUGGGUGGACCGCCACACCACGUGCUACCAAAGCAACUAAGAAGCCUCCAAAGUUUCGACCCCAUUGCAAAAGUCUCCUGUACUCUUCGAGUCUCCUUCCUCUGUUUUAUGUAUGCUUCAUGCCUCAUCGCAAUUGAGUUGAAUUGUCAGAGAAACAAAAAGAGUUGUGGAAAAACACGAAAGUAAUAAAGUCAUGCACGUCUGUCCUUUUGCUUUUUCAGUUUCCUUGUGUUUACACGGGGAUUUCAUAGGGAGUGAGGGGAAGCUUCAUGUGUUCAUUACAUGGACAUGGCUUAAACGGAGCGAUCCUAUUCCACGCGUUUUCACUUUCCUUACGCUCGUCGGUGUGCAAAUUCGUCGAUGAGGGUUGUUUGAGAGUUUGGAAACAUCGGAACUACCCCGACUUACAAUGGCCAUGACAUCAACGGGGCCUGCACUUCCUUUAUUUUUGUCCUUCAUCCUCCUAUGACAUUUUAGUUGGCGCGAACCUAUGAAACAUUGAAUCAGAUAGCUUGAUUUUAUAGAAUACUAUGUCAGUUCGAUGAGCUUAUAGAAAAUGAGAGAUUUUACCUCCAAUCACGAGCCGAGCUUGUUACUCUUGAAGAUGUAGCCUUUGACUAUUUUCUUUCUCCCUUUCUCUUGAAGAUUCUAGAAUGUUUGCACAUAUACGGUCAUCAUUUUAUCCCCUUUCAAAAAGAUCAGCUUGUACCAAAAAAUGGAGAGAGCUAAAUGUGAAUCAAUAUUAUAUGCACACACAAAGAUAUACGUUGUAUAUUGUUUGGUAUUGAAAUCACGUAUUGAGUAUUUGACGUUAUCCAACCAAUUUCAUGAUUCAUGAUAUAAUCCCACUGCCUAAGUCUACUUUCGUGCCACCUCCUUGAAUUAUGUUUGAGUUUUCAGGAUGCCCUUUCUCAUGGUAAGAGUUAAAAAAUGGGACAAGCCACCAUAGAACUUUAUGUGCUUGACCCAAAAAGCAGGUUGGUUUUAAUUUUUAUUUAUUUAUUUUAGGAAAAGCAAAGGCACCUUCCGACCCAGUUUCCAUAAAGUUGUUUGGCAUUGUUGAGAAACUUCAUGCCUCCCUUCAACUUUUUUUCGACUAUUGCUUUGCUUCCAUUUUCGAUUGCAUUAUUGUCCUUAUCACGUUCACAUCAGACUCUUCUGCUUGAUGACGGUUGACACAUCAAGCAUGCUACUCUAUGCAUAGAAAUUACUAGGUGGAUCAUAUGCACAUUCCCUUGAUAGCUUGUAAUUAAAAUUUUAAGCUCCUUAUAAUUAUCUCGGUGGUUUAGGCCUAUAGGUGGACCAUCACAUAAUUCAUGUGCUACGAAAGCUGUGUCAAUCUUUACUUUUGAUCUAUCGAAAAGGGUUGAAUACACUGCUUCAAGCAAGUAUAUUUUUUCCUAGACAAAUGACUACAUGUUUAAUCAUUUUAGAGUCUCUAAAUUCUUUAAAUUAACGAGCCAUUUCGAAGAUGUCUUUUGCAAGUCAAUUUUAUGGCAUGAAGCCUCUGCCGAUGCACCGUAAUGAACUUAAGAGAGCUCGACAUCCACUACCACCACCCAAGAUCUUUGUGGGAAUUGACGGGACACCUCGCCUGUGAAAGUAUGUACAAGGUGAUGACUGUCUUGGGCUAUAGGCAGAAGCAAGCAGUUGUCGAGAAUAUCUUCGUUUAUGAUUAUUUUUUCUGCUACUCGGUAAGAAAAACAACGGAAAAUAAAGAGAGAAUGUAGAAACAGAGCACCAUACGUCUCUUGUAGUUACGGCUCAGAGAAUUACUUGAAUUUAGUGGAGAAGUUUCAUGCAAUGACAGAAUUGUUAUAUGCAUCGGAUUUUCUAAAAGUAAUUGUUGAUGUCUAAUCAAAACUGGAUUUUUUUGCAUCUACUUUCACAAUGAAAUUAUGUCAUGACAUCUUAGUCUUCCCUUCUCUGCUUAAAUUUUUUUCAUGAAGCCAGCUGAAUUGUGUACGUCUGUGCCUCGACAACUUUCAGGUUAAAGCUGGCUCUAGCUCAGCGACUCUCCCAAUGGGGAGUCCUUUUUUUGGGCCCUUGAGAUGUAGUCUGAUCUCUUUCACGAGCAGGAAAUUUGAUGGCUAUUUGAUAUGCGAACUCUUUUCACAUGCUCAUAUAAUGUGUAAAUGAAAUAUGCGGGCAUAUGCUGCUGUGAAGUUCGCCGACGCGUGCCUGCGUGGGUUGAGGGGCGAUGCUGGCAUUGUCAUGUCGAGUGUGCAAUUUGUUUUUCCUCAGGUUUGGUGCCUUGAAAGAACUUAUUGAGAUCGAAAAUUCUUUAUAACUCUCUCAAAUUCAUAUGUGGAACCACAAUGAUUAUCUUUAAUGUUGUCCCCAUUUCUCAGGUGACUGAGCUUCUGUCUGCAAUCAAAGUCCGCCUUGGUUGUACUGGGGCCGAGGAGGUUCUUUCCCCUGACAGACAGUGACUGCAAAUAGGCGGAAGCUCGUUUUUGGCACUAGGCUUGAAGUUCAAGGGAUUUUUUUUCAAGUGCAGCUUUUCGUGGCCUCGUCCAGUCUUUUAAGAGUCUCGAAUGACCAAAGAUAGCCAUUCUAGAGGCACUUCUUGGGUAGUGGGCAGAGGGAGCAGAAAUUUUCAGUGGAACACAGAAAGGCACAAUUGAGAAUAUCCAAUGGGAGAUGCCUCUCCACUGAUCCCCAUAAUUACCCGCAGCAAUUCUUCACACCAAGUUCUCCUUACUUUGAGGAUUCAGAGUAAGAGGUUACCGACUUUAGUGUUUGUCCCAGCAGCGUAAGAACGUCUGUUUUCUUCUUCUUCUUCUUCUUCUUUUUUUCUUACCAUUGAAAUUUCAAGAAAAAUUUGUUCCGACAAUGAAAGUAAAGUAUUUCUUUUGUUCUCUUUUCGUAUUUGGGCAUCAGCGACAACUUCAAAUUACACCCUUGAAGAGGACAACAAAGAUAUAUGAAAAAGAGGUAUAAGUGUAUUGGAAGUUUCAAAACUUAUCAUGAAAAAACGAUUGGAUUUUAAAACUUUUAGAAAUUACAAUUAAGUUCUAAAACUUGUUACGAAAGUGCAUUCAAGUCUUAAAAUAUCUUGAACCUCAAGCACUUUCUACCUUCUACCUUCUUGUUCUCACUCUCAAAUCUAGCUCUCUCUUUCUUUUCUUCGGCGGCGCCCUUUGACCUUUCUCUCUAUCGAUCUCGACUUAGUCGCUGUUUCAUCUCGGUCAGCCGUCCAUCGAUCAGCGCACUAGGUACUCUAUAUAGGUUUCAUUUUCGAUUUCUUGGUCUAAUGUCAUCGCCAAUUGAUGGCUGUGAUUCAGUGACCAACCUAACCCACCACCUGCUUUAUUUUUCUCUUCUUUUUUUGUUUCUAAAUUACACUCGAUUGAUGUCUCGCCUCAAGCAAGCCGAUUGAUAAUUUUCGUUCAGCUCGAUUCUGACUCAAGUCUCGAUUGCUUCGUGCAAUGGCAACAUCCACUGACACUUCAAGAAUGGAGUUCGAGGUGUUCUUGAGUUUCAGGGGACCAGAUACUCGGGACGACUUUACUAGUUGCCUCUAUCAUGACAUGGUCGAGAAAGGAAUCCGCGUCUUCAAAGACAACGAAGAGCUCCGAGUCGGUCAGAAGAAUGGUGGGAACCUUUUGCAAGCCCUUGAUAACACUCAAAUUUAUAUCCCCAUUUUCUCUAAGGGCUUCACUUCAGUGUGUGGUACCUCCGUGAGGUUGCGCAUAUGGUAGAUUGUACUUUAAAGUCAGACGGGAAGAAGGAGAUCCUCCCCCUUUUCUUCGACAUGAAACCAUAUAAUGUCAAGCUCAUAACCGAAUUGUACAGUAAUGCUCUGUCUGAGUAUGAGAAGAAGUAUGGCCCCGCUGAGGUGACACUGUGGAAAGUUGCUCUUCGUGAGGUUGCAACUAGAGCAGGUUGGGAGUGGAAAGGGCAAGAGUAAGAGCUUGCUUGUUUUUACUCCAAGUAGUGUCUAAUUAUGUUCUUUUGUUCCACGGAACAAAAAAAGAACAGAAAUUCAUUUCAUAAAAUUUUUAUUCUUGGGAACAAAAAUCUAUUUUUUUUUUGUUCCCGGGAAUAGAUUUGGAACAGAAUCAAGAAGUAGAAAACAGUAACUUCUUGUUCCUAGGAACAAUUUCUAGAAUCAGUUCCUAUUUUUUUUCUUUUCUUCGAUUUUUUUUCUCUUCUUCUCUUCUUCUUUCUUCUUCUUCCCUUUGGCCGGUCGCCAGCCUUGGCUAUGGCCGACGAUUGGCCAAACUAGGGCCGGCGACCUUGCCGGAGCGUUGUUAGCCCCCGGCGACAUUAAGCCACGGUGAGGCUCGUCGACCUAAGCCUCGCCCAACCACGGUGAGACUCAGCCUCACCAGCCGGCAUGAGGCCUAUUUUUAUUUAAAUAAUAAGCUUGGCCUAUUUUCAUCGUGUUAAAAAUACCCGAUAAAAAUAAUCGUGUGUGGAUACACAAUCGGUCUAGACCAAAAACGCCAUAUAUUUCUUUUCAAAAAUCCCACUAUUUAUUAUAGUGCUUAAAAAUAUUUUUGGCGUUAAAAAUCAACGCUUGGUAUUUUUUGAACAAAAUGCCAAAAUUACAAUUUUCACUCAAUUUGCACAAUAUAGCAUUCAAUUAUAGAAACUAAACGCUCCAUUGCAAUCAGCACGAAAUUCCGGUCACCGGCUAUCCCAGUAUAAUUUCCGGAGAAUAAAUAAAUAAAUACAAAAAAUAAUUAAAUAAAUACAAUUAAUUACCAAAAAUGCAAACUUAGGCCGGAAACGCUUAAUUAACUGCCUGAACGGGCCGAAAAAAUUUCCAAACCUAUCUAGAUAAAUAGUACAACUUAUCUAGUCCCUAAUUAGGCUACUCUAACCACCUAACAUGCACAAAUGAAUAAUUAAAUCGCUAAUCCAUUCUAACUAACAACCUAAACCCUAAUUAACUUAAGCUAAUCACCCCUUAAGCGUCAUUAACUCCAUAAGCAGGGUUUAGCGAGUAAACUCACUGGUUUAGCAGUCCGGUGAGUCCAUGACGUCAACGAUGUGGAGACGGGCGACAAACAAUCUUGCGGUGACACCAACCAAGGCCUGGAAGAGACCUAAAACGGGCCUUGAAGCGUCACGGCCCUUGCUAGCCUUUGGUUUCUACUUUGGGUCGAGCAAGCUGAAACUAGUGGCUGAAAUGGCAAGGCGAGCGGACGGGCGACUACAGUGGGCCAAGAGGAGGCAGAUGGUGACUGGACGGCGACGGCGGGACUUUGACGGCAACUAGGGACGAUUGCGGGAUGGCGAGGAGGCUUAGGUGCAAGCAGACGGGCCUGACAGAGGCACGAGCGAAUGGGACGAUGAGCAACGGGCUCGCGAGCGCGAGCGGUGGUGUGCGGCGGUCCAGCAGCUCCAGGCGAGUGUCGAUGGUAAGGGGGAAGGGUUGGCUGGUUUCUCUGUAAAUUUGAGCUUCUAAAAUGCUCAACAAUGGGGAAAGUAAGUCACUUGAAGAGGAAGAAGACAGCUGAAGAUUGGAGGGGGCCCAUCUUGGCCCAAAGUCUUCUCUUCUAUCCUUAUUCACUCAUUGCAAAGGUCCCACUUGUCUUAGCUGUCAUCCAAGCCAAUUUGCUGCAAAAAAAAUCCUCCUAGAAGCUUCACCAAGUGGUCCAAAGGUUUCACCCCAAGGGACCUACGAAUUUUGGAACAUUUUCUCCUAAAAUUGAAUCAAUUCCCAUUCAAUCGGAUCCAAUUUGAUGUCUAGAAAUGUAGCGAAGGUGCCAUCAUCCCAUUCAACAUUUUUUCUUACCAAUUGAAUCAACUUCAAUCCCAAAAAUGCGACCAAAAAUAGCCUUCGGAUUUUUCCGGUCCAAAAUACCCUUACUUUGAAUUUUUCACUGAAAAUCUCGGUUUGCAGAAAAAUUUUCAGAGGAUGAGUCAACGUUCCUAAAAUGACUCGUGACAUGAUAGAAUUUUCAAUUUCUGAAAUCGGGUUCAAAUUUGCAGUUAAUUUCAAUCUGGCGUGAUUUUAGCAUGACAUAAUCUACUAGGUAGCUUUUAGGAAUUUUUAGCGCAUUUGACCCAUGGAUGAUUAUUUUCAAGCCACAACGUACAUUUUCAACACAUUGGCGACUUUCAGUUGUCGUGAAAAUCUCGAUAUUUCAAAUACAGACACAGGGUACAGAAAUGACAAAAAAAUCAAUCUAGUACCGAUCGACAGAAAUUUUGCAAUUAGGUGGAAUCACCCACACACUAAUCACAUAUCUCUAUUGAAUCGACCUAUCUUCAAUCUCUGAUCGAUUUUGACAGUGUCGUAAUGACCAUUGCGGAUUAGCACGGUCGAGCAGUUGAUUCCUGGUCGAAUUCUCAAGUCUAUUACGUUUAAAAUCCCUUAACGACUUCACAUGAUAGACUAAUUAUCCCGUGAGUGAUCAUUUCAAGGAAAAGAACUAUAGGCGCGUCGAUGAAAAGCCCAACUUAUUCAAUCGAAAACAUAACCUAAAAAUCAGGAUAUCACAUUGGAUCCUUGCUACCAAACAAAAAUAUUUUUUGAAUAAUAUCAAUUUCGGCCUAAGUUCCCUAAGGUCAAAAUUCUUCCUUAGUGGAGUCGCUAAGCUAUUGCGACCUACCCCUUGAGGGGAGGGAAUAGGUUUAGGGAUAUUGCCUAAAGGACGGACCUAAGGUCCAUGAUUAUGCACGAAUUCUCCCAAGCCCAUACCUCGCGCGAUAUUUGGGUGUUUUUAAGAAUUUUGCAAUAAGGAGUCGCCACUAGCCUAUUGGGGUCGGCUAGAAACCAAGUGAGGCAUUGGAGUGUACCUCUCUUUCUACGUAACCAAAUAAUUUAGGGUCAGGACUUGAUUACACUAAUUAAUCAAUUAGUGCCCUUUCGGUACCUAACCUUGUUCAUUUUUAAAAGGUUUUUGUCAUGUAGUUUGGAUUGAUUUUAUACAUAUCCACUAACAUAUGAUGUGAUCAUGCGAGUAUGCAAUCAUUAAAGUGACAACUAGCAACCAAGCUCUUAAUUGCAGUAAAAUUAGCGCACGUAACUAAACAAUCCCAAACGUAAUUAAAUAUGUAAAUUAAACCUACAACAUAAUCAAUGUGCGAAUAAAUAAAUGCCUAAUUAUACUAAGAAGGCAAGACAUGACAAUUUCCAACCAAACCCUACAUUUUUUCAAUUUUAAUUAUUUUUUUAGGGCAAGCUCGGUCGAGACCCGGUCAAGGCGGGUCGGUCAAACCUGCUCGGGUCUGGCCCGGUUGGGGGUGGGCCGGUCAACCCGCCCGAGCAGGUAAAGCCCGACCAAGGCUGGUCAGGCCUUUGCCGUGUUUAGAUUGGGCCUUAAACAAUGGGCCCAAUCCCCCAAAAAAGGCUGCCCGUAGGCCCACAGCCCAUACCAACUUUGGGUUGUUGGCUUACGGAAGAAAGGGGCCGAGCGUGCUAGAGAAAUUUGGCCCAACUCGGCCUACACCCUCUAGUUGGUGACUGCUUAAUCGUGACGAGAGGAGUCGUACCGUCCCAGUUAGGCAAGGGGGUGACUCGACCCUUGAGGUUGAGGGUCUCGGCGGUAGGGCGUUGGCCGAGGACGGUGUUCCGCCGGCCCACAACCCUUGCUCCGCGAUCUGCUUGGUUGCAACAAAGAAGACAGCAACGGCAAGUGACAUGGGUGGCCUCUAGCUAGAUGGCGGUGCCUCACCGAUGGCCAAACAUCCUAACUAGGGCUCUACGCAAAGGAGUCGGAAACGAGGGUUCGGCUGGGUAUUUCAGCGAACGGGUGGCGGGUGUUAACGAAACUAAGGAAUUUUGGCUCAGUUGAGGCCCAAGCACGGAGUCGGAACUCCAUAAAAACAUGCCAAAACAUCAAGGAAAGCAAUGGAAGAUAGGUGGUGGCCAGAGCUUACCUGAAUUGGUCGGGAUGAGCUCUGGCUGGCUUGGUUCCAAAGAUGGACGCAAGGUGCUCGACGAAAUGCCUGCAUGCGUUUCGGGAGAAAUGGCGGUGGUCGGCGGCGAUCGGCAACUCACCAACGGCAGUAGGGCAUCCUUGGGAGUCCUCGGCUCCUUGGCUGACCUCCACGAGCCUCCUUCCCUCCCCGUUCUCCUUUUUUUUUCCCCUCGGUUCCUCCCUUCUUCUCUCCACCAUGUUCUGCCUCCCCUCGGUUUUGUCUAUUCUCCCCCCUUUUCUUCUGCUCGGCUGGUACACGCAGCCCCCCCUGCGAUGCCAGCUGCCACUGCUGGCCUGACCCCGACCACCAGCUCCUGGUUGACACUCUGCCUUUGUCCAUGUUCCCUCUGUCUUCUUGCUACAUUCCUCCCUUUUCCUUUUUUACAGGUCCUGCGUGCGAAGGACAGGCAGGAAGAGGAGGACUGGCUAGGGCGUGGCCGGGUUGAAGAGGGAAGGAACUGGGCUGCACGAGGGGAAAGGAAAGAGAGGCAGGCCGUGCCAAGGUCGAAUCCAGCCCAACCCGGCCUCUCUCGCCCCCCUUCUUUUUUAAAAAAAAAAACUAUUUAAUUAUUUAUUUUUUAAUUUUAAUUUUUUUAAAAAAUUAAGAUUUUUUUUUAAAGAAAAAUGUGUAUUUGAAAAAGCAAAUUGGGUGUCAACACCUGUCCUUUUCCACUAUUGCAAACCACCACUGUUGUGCUCACCUCAAGUUGCCACCACCACCACCAAGCUCUCAAGGAAGGUGGCCAUGAGCCUCAAAGCUCAUUGUGCCGUGGCCACUGUGUCACCAUUGUGUCGCCGUCGCCCUGAGUCCGUCGCAGUCAAAAAACCCGUGAGUUAACUCAUAAUCCUUGAUUAGGUAGUUAAUUGCGUUUAAAAAUAGGUUUAGUUUAUGGUAACGGUGGUUAGUGAUAUUUAAUGUUGGUUUAGUACUAACCAUGGUUAAGGAUGAGUUAGAUUAAGGCUAAUUAAAAUUAGUCUUAAUUAAGGACAAUUGUUUAAUUAAUCACGAUUAUUUUAAUUAACAACAAUUAAUUUUAAUUAAUUAUAAUUAUAUUAAUUAAUGAUAGUUAGUCUUAAUUAAUCUCAAUGAGCUUAAUUAAUAGUGAUUAAUGCACGUUAAUAACUGAUUAGUCGUUAAGUAUAAUUUUAUGCUCAUUUUUCUAGAUGAGUUUGUGCAUAAUUCCAAUUGUUUAAGCUUAUGAUGCCAUGUUAUUGAUUGCUCAAUGAUAGGCUUUAGUUACUAUUUCAAAAGAAGGUUUGAUGGGCAAAAGAAAAAAAAAGUGAUUUUUGCGGUGUCUGGUUUGGAUGUCAAGUUUUAUGUGUUAAACAGGGCAAUGGGGUUUUAGAGUGAAAUUGUGCAAAAUUUGACAAAUAAAUUUUUAGUACGUGCCCACGUGUGAAUAUUUUACUAGAAUUUUAAGUGUAAAAAUUUGUCAAAGGAACACGAACUCUUUUGUACUAGGCUAAUUAACGGCAAAGUUUACUGGCUUGACUGUUGGCAUGCUCGAGUAAUCAUUUAAUCGAACCCGUCACCCAAUGAGAGUUUAGAGGCGAUACCCGAUAUUUAUCGAAUGCCCAGUAGAGGUUCGGAUGCUGCCUCGCGAUUGAGGUCGGACCGAUGCUUCUUUAUGGAAUGUUGUCUAGGGGGGUUCUAGACGAUAUCGUGCUCGAUGGAGCGAGAUGAUGUUCAGAGAGCAAUAGCUUGGCCAAAAUCUGCUAAGAGCAUAAAUUGAACUUGAUCUUGCUCUAUCACCGAUUGCAACAAAUGUUUGAGGCUUCCUGUAAACCUUGUGGCAAAUCUAAAAAUGACAUAGCAAAGUGCUGUAGCAAUAAGUUAGGGAAAUCACUGUCCACAGUCACUAUUCAUAUCAUCCAGAAUAAUUUCUGAUCGGAUUUUUCGAAACCUCUAUUUGUUACGGACCCAUGGAGAUCAAUAGGUUUGCCAAUGAAAAGGUGGUAGAGGAGGGCAAUAGCUUGACCAAAAUCUACUGAGAGCAGAAAUUGAACUUGAUUAUGCUCUGUCACCAAUUGUCACCAAUGUUUGAGGCUUCUUGGAAAGACUAUCGACUUGUGUGUUGGCUAUGAUCCAAAGGGUCGUAAUAAUUGGAACAUGCACGUUUGACCGUGCGCUUAAUUGUUGUGGAUUGUGUUCUGAUUAUUGUUUAUGUUUGUUGCAUUGAUAUUAUUAUAUGUGAUGUACCCAAGGCGAGGUAAGUUGUAUAUCAUCUAUGUUUAGGUUGCCUUCGAGACGAAUUUGCAUUUUAGUCGACACCUAGGCUAUUAACUCGUUAAGAUUUUUAUUUCACCUCAUUGUUAUUAAAUAUUUUCAUGUUCAUUGUAUGGAGUACUGUCACGUGCAGUUUGGGGUCCCGAUGGACCAAGACGCGGGCAUAACUGACGUCAUUUUUGGUUGGUCUUGUCGUUAGUGAAGUUUAGGUUAACCUUGACCCUACAGGUUUUUGAGAUGGUAGGGAGGAAAUGGCCAUAAAAAGGCUUGUAAUUAUUAAACUUUCUAAGAUUAACAAUUUAUAAAUGAAAGUGUUUUUUUUUUUUUUUGGGAAUGUUCGUUGUGUUUUUACUAUCCCUAUUGUUCGUUGUUUGACUAGAUAUUAUUUAUAUUAAAUGCUUCCACUUGUGUUUAAUCAAAAGAUUAAAGACUAGGUCAGCGAUAAGUCCUGAGACGUCGUAGUUUAAUCGACCGUUGAGGAAUGCUCACGCGUUCAAGGUUUGAGGCGUGACACUAUAUAUCUCUAAAAUAAAUAUUUCAAUGGGUUAAUACCCUGAAAACCCCUAAAAUGAUACACUUGUGACAAAUUUACCCCAAACUAUUUUUUUGACCAUCAAAAAUCCAAACUGAUAUACCUUUGACAAAUUUACCCCAAAAUGAUACACUUGUGACAAAUUUACCAUCUGUUAAUUUUUGUUAAAUUUUGACUAAGUUAAAUUACACGUGAUAGUUGAUUGGUAUACCAAUUUACGAUUUUACGCUCCGUUUGUCACAAUUUACAAUUUUUGUAAUUUUUUUUGUGGUAUCAAUCCAAUUUAGCGGAGUGUAUAUUUAUCACAAAUUUAUCAGCUUAUGGUUUUUUUGAGGUCGAAUAAAUUAGUUUGGGAUGGAUUUAUCAUAAAUGUACCAGUUUAAGGUUUUUUAUGAUCAGUCAGGAUAAAUUUGUUACAGAUGUACUAGUUUUGGGUUUUUCAUGGUCAAAAAAAUAGUUUUAGGUAAAUUUAUCACAAGUGUAUCAAUUUGGGGUUUUUCAGGAUAUUAACCCUAUUUCAAUUAAUCAACUUCUAGUCCAUGCAACGCAUGGGACUUCAACUAGUUUGAUGAUAAAGGUUUGUUGCCUCGUCAUUUGACAUUAGAUUUUUGUAACUAUGUUAAUUCAGCACCUGCAGACUAUUUUAUAUUUGUUUAUAUUGAUCAUUUGGUUAAUAUCAAGAGGAAGUUUCAUAGAAGGUUAGUGGUAGGGUUGGGACAGAGUUUAGCUUGAGGACGCUUAAUAACUUAAUUAUAACUUUAUCCAAAAGGCCUCAUUGUUUAGGAAAUUCGAGGUCCCGUCCCAUGUGCAUCGCAUAUGAAUUUGGAUCCACUUUUUACACGAUUAUAAAUGUUUCUUGGUACCAGCAACUCCGGCCGAACGCAUAAGCAACGGCACAUGCUUUCAUUUAGUCUCGUACAGCUGAACGAGUAAUAUAGUAAUCAUACCAAAAGAGAAUGCAAAAUCAUUGCGUUUACCUGUCCCCACAACUUCCUCUCAUUUACAAAUUAAAUAUCCUAGCAAUUAAGAGGCCUAAACAAGUUUCGACCCCGUUGCAAGAUUCUCGACCUCUUCUUGUCUCUUUCCUUCCUUUUCAUCCACUUACCCGCAAUUGAGUUGAAUUGUCAAAAAGAAAAAGUUGUGGACAGACCCGAAAGGUAAAGUUAUCCAUGUGUCUCUCCCUUUUGCUUCUUCCAACAUAUGAUGGUGUCGGGCCACGCGUUCUCACUUUCCGUGCGUUUAGAUGGGGCUUUCGCAAGGAAUUGAAUGGAAGCUUCGUGUGUUCAUUAUUUGAGCAUGACUUAAAUAUAGCGACUAUGGUCCCGGUCAUGACCUUAAACUGACUCGCUCGUCGGAGCCAACCCAAGGGCGUUAAAACGGGUAAUGGUAAACCUCCGGGGGUCCCAUGGGUUUGAACCGCCCAACCCCCGGGCCUGAGCAAGCUCUACUUCCCCAGGGUUGCCUGUAAAGUAAUGAUCUUUAUAUGAUGAAAUUACAAGAGCGUUCCUUUAACGUGUCUGUUCCUACAUAUGAUGGUGUCGGGCCACGCGUUCUCACUUUCCGUGCGUUUAGAUGGGGCUUUCGCAAGGAAUUGAAUGGAAGCUUCGUGUGUUCAUUAUUUGAGCAUGACUUAAAUAUAGCGACUCGCCUUCUAUCUUUUAUGCCUACAAUAAAAGGACAAUUAAGCGCAUAAAAUAUUUGGCUGUAGUUGAUUCCACCAUAUCUUGACUCAAGUCGCCUACUAUUACUCACUGUCAAUUUCAUCGGCAUUUUUUUAAUCCCUUGCAAUUAAAGUCUUAUGGGGAGGAUUGGCUUUCUUGUGGUGGGAUUCCACCUUAACUUUGCUCUUACGUUUUAAUCAAGCGUGUAAGAACUAUGCCAUCUCUUGAAUGAAUCCAAUUUGAUCUUGCUUAGAGAGAUAAAAAUUCGAUGUGGACUUAUAAGCAGUCCCAUUCGGCUAAUGGUAGUGAUAUUGUCCACUUUGAUGGCCGCUCGCUCUCCUUGCACAGUUUUUUAAAAUGCUUUAUACUAAUUUGAGCUUAUGGGAGACUUAUCUAUCAAGAUAAUAGGCCUACACAUGGACAAUCAUGAGUGAGAGACCUAUUUUAUACCCAACAUCCAAAUAGCUAUCUUUGUGAUCACACUUAAAACGAAACUAAUUGGUACAAAGCUAGUUUUGUGAUCACACUACCACCCCAAGCUUUGUUAACAAUGGCUAGCGACUCUCACACUAUAAAUGGCUAGGGUUGCUGCCCUUGCUUGCGUCAUUCAGUUAUGGCACCACACAAAAGAAACAUAAAAAUUUAAGAAAAACUAAUGAAUAGAUGAUAAUUAAAGAAAAAGAAAAAUGAAAAAUGAGAGCCAUAGAGAGUGCAACCCUCGGUAAAGUUGUUUGAGGGUUUGGAGAGGGUGGAACUGCCCCCACUUCGUUGCUUUAUCUCUUCUCCUUAUAAUGUCUUUUUUUUUUUGUAAAAGGUAAGAAAUAAAUUAAGGAAAGGCCAAAAGUACAAAAAGAUCUCGACACCAGUAACUUGCACUCCAAAUGUAGUAACAGAAGAAGUGGAAGGGUGACGAGAUGCAAAAGCCGCAAGGGCGGCACAACACCUACAACAACAAGGCCAAACAAGCACGGCUAGGCCGACCGGCCUUAUCCUUAUAAUGUCCAUAAGCAGAGCUUGCAAUUCUUUUUUUUUUUUUUCUGUCCUUCGUCCUCCUAACCAUUUAAGUUGGAUUGAACUUGAAAAAUAUUGAAUCAAAGAGUUUGAUAUUUUAGAAUUUUAUGUCGGUUUAAUGAGCUUAUUGAAGAUAAAAUAUUUUACCUCUUGUUAGGGAGGUAGACCGAUUGAAGGGAGAAAUCACGAGCUAGUCUAGUUUCCCAUGAAAAUGUAAGCUUUAUUAUUUUCUUCUUUUCCCCUCUCUCUUCAGGGUUCUAGAAUAUUUAUACAUAUAUAAUCAUCAUUUUAUCCCCUUUCAAAGAUAUUAACUUAUACUGAAAAAUGGAGAGGGCUAAACGUGAACCAAAUUGCUUGCACGUAUGGAGAUAUGUAAAAAAAAUAAGUUUUAUUUUUCUUUGGUAUUGAGUAUUUGAUCUGAUUUCUUGAUACGAGGAUGCUAAUUUUAAUCCCCGUCAGCCCUUUCUUUACUUUUAAUUUUCCUCCUCCUCCUCCUCCUCCUCCUCUUUAUAUCAUUUUUCGCAAUUGCCAUAUCCAUUUCAUCUUCCUUGAAUCUUCAUGACAUUGCAUUGGGAGUACUCAAGAUCAAUUCUCAAGUUCCGUUUCUUGAUCAUUACUCAUUAGGUAAGAUAAAUAACAAUCCAGAUUAUAAUACCUAGACUCUUAGAAUCACAGAGCCAAUGAAGUUCCUGUACCUUUCUUAGUGCUUGAUCAAACGUUUUAUAUAUUUCCUCGUGAAUCCUCUUCUAUUGACCUGUCUUAUCGCUGUUAUGAUUAGUCAACUGAAGUCAAUAAUUCUUUUAGUUUUACGGAUUCUUCUAUUGCAAGUUUUGCCCCCAUGUUAGUGGCCAGGAAAGAGGAUAUUUGUAGGCUCCUUCAUGAUGAAGUAAAUGCAAGGAAAUGAGAAGGUGAAAUCAAGACACGAAGCUAGUAGUUAGCAAAGGCCUUGAAGGACCAAUAUCUACCAAUUCAAGGUCUGCAUUCACGUGGCAAGAGAUUUUAUAAAAUUGAAAGACUUGAGAGUUGCUGAAAAGGACGAUCAAAUUUUGAAGUCUCUUAAGUAUUUGUUAAGGUCUUCCCUACCGUAUUUGACUAUAUUAAGGUAAAUUCAGCUAUGAAAUCAAAGGUCCCUUACUUAUUCUAUUUGCUUAUUCUAUGUUAUAGAAUUCAUUUGAAUAAGUGCUACUAUAUAUAUAGAGUAUAGCUCAAGGUACUUAAAGGGGGCUCGGCUGUAGUUAAAGCAUCAUUUUCAUUGUUAGCAAAUGAAAAAUGACAUUUUAAGAAGAAAAGCUAAACUAAUGAUUCUAUAUUCAUAAGAAAAUUGUGUUUUUUGUUGAUAAAUGAAUGCUCACUUCGCAAAAUUACACCAUGUAUCUCCAAAACAAAUACUCAAAGAACUCAACUUCAGCCUGUUGCAACACAGGGAUUUCAACUAGUUUGAUAAUAAUGGAUUAUUGUCUCGAUGUUAUGCAUCAUACUUUUGUUGCUACACAAAUUCAUCACCCGCAGAUUAUUAUUAUUUUUUUAAAAAAAAUUGUUUAUCUUGAUCGUUAUGUUACAUAAAGAGGAAGUCUCAUAGAAGGGAGCGGUAGGACUGGGAGGGAUUUGGGCUUCGAGAGGUUUAAUGGCUUUGAUAAUAUUAUCUCAUCGUGAAUUUUUCUUAAAGGGCCUCAUAGUUUAAAAAGUUUGUCCUUGUGUGUUUGAUUCCGUCACUAUGUGGAGCACAUAUGAAGUUAAUAUCGUGAUAGAUUUGCAUUUAACAUGCGUGAAUCAUUUCAUUAGAUCGGGAUCCAUUGAUGAUAAAUAAAUUUGACAAAGGAAAAGGACCGCUUAUCGGAUCCAUUAUUGUUCUUUUGUUAUGGUUUUCCCGAUUCCACCAACUCCAGGCGGACGCAAAAGCAACUCUACAUGCUUUUACUGUCUUUCUCGUGCAGCGGGAUGAGCAAUAUAAUAACCUCAACAUGUCUUGCCUCAAGCAAGCUCAUGGUCAUUAUCUGAAACGUGGUUGCCCCUGCUAUCGCUCUUCAGAUUUCCAGCAAACAGCAAAAUUAGUCAACGUCACAUUUUAAGGCAACUUUUGCAAAAAUUUAUGGAAUAGAAUAGAGUUUGUAUCAUAAAAGCAUCUCGAAAUGAUAUACCCAUUUAUAUCAAAUUAAUCGCAUCACCAAAACUUUUGAACUAGAAAAUUGGAUUAUGAUAUAAACCAGAACUUGUAGCAAGCAUGCUAUCCCACAUACACGGCACUCUUGGCCUUAGAAUAGGGACUAUCUAUUAGCCAUCAAAUUCUUUUCUGAAUUUUAGUUCAUAUCAUAAAAAAUUUAUUGUUGUCACCGUUUUUCAGGUGACUGAGCUUCCGUUCUUUGCAUGCAAAGUGCGCCUCGGUCAUACUAGGGUCCAAGACGUUCUUUCACUUGGCCCGCUGAAUGAGUUCGAAAGGUUUGGAGUUUUGAUAAUCUUGAAAUUCUUUAAGUCUGCUGAAAUUACACGAGGAAGAUGAUGUUGGAAAUUUCCUAUAAUAUGGGCUUACAUUAAUUAAUUGAUUUUCUAUUUUAAAUAAUCGGAUUAAUAGAUAUUCCAAUAUUUGUUAAACCCUAAAGUGAUCUAAUUAAAUCGGGUAUUGGCAUCUAUUGUUAACGGGCCUAGUUGAGUAGCAAAGUGUAGGCAAUUGUGUUUGACUGAAGCCCGUAAUGGGAAUGGCCCAGUUGACACGCUAUUGAUUAGGGUUUGCUAGGUCCCCUCUCUAGCCUAUAAAAGGGUAAGUUAUACCUAUCAGUUGCUUUAAUCCCAUUGAAAGCUGCUAUUUCGAAAUAGGUCAUAAAGAGGAAAAUCUGGCAUUCCGAUAGAUCCCUGAUUAUCAGAGUGAUCUAUUUUUUUUAAAGUGAAGCAAUUGCUCAAACAGGAACGCUUUAAUUCCGCUGUAUUUAUUGAUCUUGGUGUUUUACAAUCAUAUAUGGAUCCGUUUUUCUUGAUUGAUUAGUUGUAUAGGUGAAUAAAUUUUAUACAUGUGGUAUCAGAGCUUGUAUAUGAUUAUAAAACCCAAAUUUUAUCUUUUUAUGAACAAAUUCGAAAUUUUCCUCUUUGAGCCAAAUAUGGGCAUUAUCUUUCGUGUGGAUUUUUUUUUUUUUUUUGCUUGAUUGGUCUGAAACCAUAGGGCUUUUGUUCUACAUGUCAAGAUCUUUCAAACCAUAUAUAAUUUGUAUAAUUUCGUUGAGAAUUGAGAGAGAAUUUAAAAUUUGAAAUUCUAGGGUUUAUACAUGAAAAGUUCUAGAAUUUGCAAAUUACUUGCAAUUGGUUGAUGUUCAUUGUAAAUCGUUGCAUGAGCAUUGUUAUAUAUAUGUUUUAGCAUCUUUCGAUUGCAAUAAAGAAAGUUCCUUGGGCUCCAUCUCCCAUGGCAAAGAUUGUUUCUUUUUUCAGUGUUCAAAGGGGUCAAUCCUGAGUAAGUGCCCGUGUUUGAUCACCCUUUUCUUGUUUUCUUUAGAGAUCCGAAAUCUUGUGGUAGAAUUCUUUAGAUGCAGCUUGUGCAGUGAUCGUUUUGUUCGGAAGAGAGAAUUUUUUAUUUAUUUUUAACUGGCUACUCGAGAUUUUCGGGUUUUGGGUUGCUAUGUAUGAUGCAAUUGGAGUGAUUGUCUCGUAUAUAUAUAGAAAAAGUUCUAGAAUUUUAAGUUAGAUUCUAGUGUUACCUUCGAUUUUUAUUCGACGGUAGCAACGGUUGGUUUAGAGAUUAUUGUAGCUGAUUGUUUGUUCCGCUCUGGACGAGUGGUUAGAGUUUUUGCCUUCUCUUCCUCCUGCCUCAUGCUUCGGUGCGAUUGUGCGUACGGGGUUUCUGUGCGUUCGCAUUAGGUUCUUGCACCUCUUUCCUUUUCCUUGAUUGCCGCUUUACCGUUUUACUCGGUGGACCGAGAUUACGCAUCAAUUGAUCCACAUACGCAAUGGGUGACGCUUAUGGGGUGCUUUGUUAUAAAGUUGAGAUUUGUGCCCUAUUUUUCGUUGAUUUGGGUUAUUUCUAUAUUAAGUAGUUAGUGAGUUGCUGAACUUUGGGGCUAUGGUGCUCCCUAUAGUCUGGAAAAGAGAACCAAUGGUUAAGAUUUCUCAAGUUGUCGGGAUAUCAAAAUUUAAAGAUGGAAAUAGUCGGUUUUUGCUUUUCACGCGCGGUGCGUGCAUCUUGUUGCUAGAUUCUAAAUGAAACCGCUACUUUAAGGCUUCAUUGUGAUUUCGCCAUAAAUAUGUUGAUUGUGGGGUGAGCAAAAGACCAAACUGUGAUUUUUUGUUUGUACGAGUGGUUUUAUGCUAAGUUAUCUGUCUGGAUUUGUUGGGUUCAUAGUUGAUUUGCUGAGUAAUGUGGCAUGACCAGCAAAUUCCAAACUUGCAAAUUCUAAUCUUUUUGCAAAUUGCUCGCAUGGCUCCUGCGAUGCAUUGGUGUUUUAUUGACUAAGGUUUAAAAUUCCAUUGAAGGCGAUACAAUGAAACCAAGAGAUUUGUGAAUCGAGACCCAAAUGUAUAUAGAUACAAACAAGAGGAUGUUAUUUAUCAAAAGAAAAAAAAAAUUAGGAUUAGGCUAGAGAGAUGUAAAAGCUGAAGGUUUCAGCAGUGGAAGAAAAGUCCAUAAUCUACUGUGUAGUGCUUUGUGGAAACCCCAGGUUCAAAAGGGGAAAAUCGUAGAUGGUGCAUGAUGAGAAGCACAUGAAUGUUUUUUUACAUGAGAAUUAUGUUUUAAAUCUAUUCAUUUGUAGCUUCUUUUAUUUUUAUUGUAAUCUUUGGACCGGUGAUUGACGGAAGACUAUAGCAUCAAAAUACGAAUUAAUCGAUAUUAUUGAAAAUUCUAGUGAACCAAACGGACCUUUCAUGUCUUCUUGUGUGGUUUUACCACGAAUCAUCGGAGUGGACUGGCUUAACAUGAUUGAGGUUUAGAAGUUCUUUUUAUAGAGAUUUUGCUUGAUCUCUUGUGGGUUUCAUGUUAACAUGCAUGAAUGAUACUUCUACAUUCAUAUGAUAUGAUUGUGUCAAAUAGGUGGAGAUUGAGUUAUUGCAUGACUAUGAAAUUUCCCAAAUUUAAAAGAUGCCAAAUUUAAAUAUGCCAACCAAGGGUUGAUAGUGAGGAAGUGUGAGAUAAAUAUUAUCCUCAUGAUUUUUUGAUGUAAUGAUUAAUGAUAGCUACGAAAUAUUUGGCUCCCUUUAAUUCUAGUAACCAUUCGUAUCCAUUCUUGUUUUGCCAUGAGUCUGAAAUAUUAAAAUAAUAAUUUUAAAAAAAUUGUGGCAAAAAAUUGUUGCUUGAUAAAUGCAAUAUGAUCUUGGGAAGCACAUGUCGUAAAGUGCUUCAUAUUGUUAGAUAAAUUUUGGGCAUAUAUUUUUUGGAGUUUCCUAUUGAUAAAAAUUAGUAUAUACAAUUAUCUGCCCAAAGGGGGUUAUUGUGUAUAUUAAUUUGAAAAUUGCAUGAAGAUAAAUUCCAAAAUUAAAAGAUGGGGAUGUAUGACUCAAAAAGAUUUAUCUGCCCAAAGGGGAUUGAUUUUUGAGAGUUAUAUGUAAUUCCCCUCUAUAUUAAUAUAUUAGAGAUGAAUGAUGGGGAUGUAUGACUCAAAAGGUUUAUCUGCCUAAAGGGGAUAAAGUUUUUAGAGUUAUGUGUAAUUCCCCUCUAUGUUGAGAUAAUGGAGAUAUAUAUAAUUUAAAGGAUUUGUCUGCCCAAAAGGGAUUGAACCUUGAAGAUUAUAUGUAAUUCUCUUUUAUCAUCUCUAUAUAUUGAUAUCAUGGAAAUGUAUAAUUUAAAUGAUUUGUCUGCCCAAAGGGGAUGGAUCAUUGACAAUUAUAUGUAAUUCUCCUUAUUGUUGCUUUAUAAACUUCAUGCUGUGAAAAAUAAUUGUGCAUUAUACACUCUGCCCAAAGGGGAGUUUAUAAUGUACUAAUUAUUUUUGUUAAAAUACUUAUUGCCCAUAAUUGAUCAUAUUACAUUAUUUUUGCUAUAAAUAACAACAAUGCCACUGUUGAAAUGUUAAUUGGAUCAAAUAUUAUACUAUUAAGGACUUGGUCAAAAAGGGAGACAUUGUAAUUGAGAAUAUUAGAACUAAGUCCAUAUUAGCUUAUCCUCUAACAAAAGGCUUACGACCCAUUUUAUUUAAAGAACUUGUAAAGAAUAUGGGUGUUUUAGAUUCUUUUGAUUUCUUUUGUUAGUGGGAGUUAUACAAAUUGUAUUUCUGGAUAUUAUAGUUAUAUACAGAUUGAUAAUGCUUUUAUGAUAUUUAUUGAAGCAUUUAUUUUAAUAACUGUUGUUAUUGAUUAUAUUGUUAUCAUUUCUCCUAUUGACUGAGAAAUGGAAGUAUAAAACAGUAUCUUUAAACAAAUUUUGUUUAAAGAUGACUGGAUGUCACUUAUUAUGAGAUCUCAUGUUGGAUUGUGACAUAAUUGUGCAAUUUCAUGUUGUUUAGAAAUCGCACUAAGGCAAUUUUAUGUUGUUUAGAAAUUGCAUUAAUGCAGUUUCAUAUCGUUGAGAAACUGCAUUGAAGACCGAUAAGAAAUAGUGUAUAUUUUGAUCACAUAUUGGCACUAUUUCUUACUACACUACUAGGCCCAUGAUCCAUGAAAAUAUAAUGCUUAUUAUAUGUGAUUAUGGAAGGUCUUGUGUUGUGGCAUUUUCUUAACACAUUGAUCUCCAUAGUCCUAUACUAAGAUUAUAUAGGAUUGGAUUGGUAUUGAGAUGCCAUUAUUGGAAUAUUAUUUUUUAAAAGUUGUGGCCACAUAAAACAAAGUUUUCAGUUAUUAACCCAAUAGUGUCGUUUUCAAUAUAAAAUCUUUUUCAAAAUAAAAUAAGUUAAUUAAUGUAGCCCAAGUGGGAGAAUGUUGGAAAUUUCUUAUAAAUGGGCUUACAUUAAUUAAUUGAUUUUCUAUUUUAAAUAAUCGGGUUAAGGGAUAUUCCAAUAUUUGUUGAACCCUAAAGUGAUCUGAUUGAAUUGGGUAUUGACAUCUAUUGUUAACGGGCCUAGUUGAGCAGUAAAGUGUAGGCAAUUGUGUUUGACUGAAGCCCGUAAUGGGAAGGGUCCAGCUGACACGCUAUUGAUUAGGGUUUGUUAUGUCCCAUCUCUAGCCUAUAAAAGGGUAAGUUAUACCUAUCAGUUACUUUAAUCCCAUUGAAAGCUGCUAUUUCGAAAUAUGUCAUAAAGAGGAAGAUCUGGCAUUCCGAUAGAUCCCUGAUUAUCAUAGUGAUCUAUUUUUUUAAAAAAGUGAAGCAAUGGCUCAAACAUGUACGCUUUAAUUUCGCUGUAUUUAUUGAUCUUGGUGUUUUACAAUCAUAUAUGGAUCCGUUUUUCUUGAUUGAUUAGUUGUAUAUGUGAAUAAAUUUUAUACAGAUGAAAGUUUUUAAUUUCAGCCUUGGUUUGUUAACCUGUAAAGCUGGGUUGGAAGAGGCAAAGAGAGAGUUAGCAGAGAGUAUUCAGAAGGGCGUUUCAUUUAUCAAGAAGUGGGCGGGUGGCCUCUUCAUAGUUUCCGGUUAUUUUCUACUCAUAAUUGGUUCUUGGGAAUAAAGUGGUCCUGACGUGGGAAGAUAUCGAAAUUUAUUCUGCAUAGCUGACGUAGGAAAAAAAAAAGUUUUUCUUUUCUUAAAUGUAAGGUACACAAAUGGUAAUUUGUGUAAUAACAAGGUGGACGGAUGUUUGUAAAUUAUAGUUCUAUGUCCAUCUUUCUCGUCUUCGUGUUUGCAUCGGCCUUUUCAGACUUUCUCGUGCACCUGCACCUGUAGUGUUGCCUCGAAGUUGCACUUCAAUUGGGCAAUGCUGCUAUCAGCAAAUGAUGGACAGAGGGAGCUGAAUAAGCUGAAGCUCGUCUUUGGCACUAGGCUUGAAGUCUGAGAGACUCAAGUGCAGCUUUUUGUGGCUUUAUCCAGAUGAUUAAAGGGACAAACGAGCAGAGAGAGCCAUUACAAAGGCUCUUCUUGGUUAGUGGCCAGAAGGAGUUGAAAUUAUCAGCUGAACACGAGCAGAAGUUUGAGAAUGAUGCCUUGACACCGAUUCUCCCAAUCAUCAGCAGCAAUUUCUCGCACCAAGUUCUCUCUACGUGGAGCAUUUAUGGUAAAAGAUUGCCCAUAGUAAAAGAUUGUCCGCCUUAGAUUUGCUUUCUUUUAUGAAAAAUCAAUGAUCUAGAAAAUAUUUUCCUAAAAAUUACUGAUUGUACAUAUUGAUAUAGAUUGAAAUAAUUAGAUAAUGAAUAAUAUUUUUAUUGUCGAUAACAAUUUAUAUAUAAAUAUGAUAGUGGACAAUGAAGAUUUUUUCUAUUAAUUCAUUUUGAUAAACGAUACAAAUAAUUAUUUUUAAGAACAUAUUUUUUAAAUUAUUUAUUUUUUACGAAACAAACAAAAUUUUAAUAUUUUAUCAUUAGUUUUGAGGAGCUGUCUUUCUACUUUUUUUUGGGGGUGGAAUUUUUUCUUUUCAAUUUUGAAAGUUCAAGUAAAAUUUGUUCCAACAAUGAAAGUAACCUUAGCCCCUGAAGGGGACAACUCAAAUAUAUAAAAACAAGGCUAAAAGAGUACGCCUCUCCGGCCCUGUAAGGUCUGUUCUCGGGAGCCAGAACCAAACCCUCCACUGUCUUGACUUUCAGACACUUUCUAUUUUCGAGUUCUCACUCUCAGAUCGGGCUCUCUCUUUUCUCUGGCGGCGCCUUUCGAUCUUCCCCUCUCUAAUCUCGACUCAGUCGCUGUCUCAUCUCGGUCGGCCGUCCAUCAGCGCAUCGGGUAUUCUCUCUUUGUAUCGGUUUCGUUUUCGAUUUCUUCGGUGGCUUGCCAGAGCCAAUCGAUGGCUGUUGGUUCAUCACUGACCAUAACCAUCAUCUGUAUUUUUUUCACUUGUUUUUAAACUUCCCCCAAUUGAUGUCCUGCCUCAAGCAAGCUUGUUGACAAUUUUCGCCCAGUUUGAUUCUGUCUCGAAUCUCGUUUGCUACGUGCGAUGGCACCAGCUGCUAACACAUCAGGAAUGGAGUUCGAGGUUUUCCUGAGUUUCAGGGGACCGGAUACUCGGAACAACUUUACUAGUUGCCUCUAUCAUGACAUGGUUGAGAAAGGAAUCCGUGUCUUCAAAGAUGACGAGGAGCUCCGAAUCGGUCAGCGGAUUGGUGGAAACCUUUUGCGAGCCCUUGAUGACGCUCAAAUCUAUAUCCCCAUCUUCUCUAAGGGUUUCGCUUCCAGUCUGUGGUGUCUCCGUGAAGUUGCUCAUAUGGUAGAUUGCACUUCAAAGUCGGAUGGGAAGAAGGAGAUCCUCCCCAUUUUUUUUUAUGUGGAGCCAGAUGAUGUCAAGCUUAAAACCAAUUUGUACAGAGAUGCCCUAUUUGAACAUGAGAAGAAGUACAGCUCCCGUGAAGUCAAGAGCUGGGGAGAUGCUCUGGUUGAGGUUCCAACCAGAGUAGGUUGGAAGCUGGAAGGGAAAGGGUAGGUUUUCCACUACUUUUUCUGAGUUAUUAAUUUUAACAUAAUCUAUCGAGAACUCAACUAAAAUAUUAUUCGCCGUGUUAUACUUUUAACAAUGUCAAUCAUCUCUAGGACUUUUACCUCAUAAUUCAAUCUAGUCUUCGAGUUAUUAAUUUCUCUGCAAUUUUAAAAAAGUUGACCUAGAUGUUAGGUCACCGUCAAGUGGUUUCUGAAUGCUAAGUUAGUAUCCUAUUUGGUUGUCAAAAACAGUAAAACAAAAUUAAAUAGAAAAAUUAAUAAUUUUCAACAAAUUUAGAAAAAGGAAAAGUGGAAACAACAGACCAAUAUUAAUGCUUAUUCAUUCAGAUCAAACAUAUCGAUUUUGUAUUGCUAGCAAAAUUAUAUGUUUGAUCAAUUUCCAAAUGUUGCCUACACAUAAUAAAUAACUGAGUUAUUUCAUGAAAAUCAGUUUUCAACAAUAAAUAAUUUAUUAGUUUUAUGUUGAUGAGGAGACACGCCCGGAUCAUGUGACAUCUUCUCUACUAUUAUUAUUGGAACUAUACAGAAUGUUAUGGAGGGUGAGUUUUAUCUACAAAAUCCCACGGCUCUCCCUCGUGUUUUAAUGGUGCUUCGUGCAAAAAAAGAAAGACACGUGAAACAUUAACAAUAUGUUCAGUUCCAAUAACAACCAUAUGUUUUAUACAUUUGAUUUUAGGGGUAUUUUAGAAAUUCUGAGAAUAGUCCUCCUUUGUUACAUAUGGGUGUGCAAAAGACUUAUAUUUUUAAAGAAAAACAGAGCGAUAGUAUUAAGUUUCAGCGUAGUAAUUAUAACAUAGAUGAUUACUAGAAACAAUAAUCUUACAUCACCACCUAAAAACUAAUUUGGAAAUGGGAAAAGUUUAGCGACAAUGUCUUUGCCGCCGCUCCUCUCUGUCUGUCUUUCUAUUGUAGCGGUGGAGAUCACACCGCUCGAUGCAGCACCCAAAGCUUGGAGAUUGAUGGUGUCUCAAUGGAGUUUCCCCAUCGAGAUUUCCGCAGGGGAGAGAGAGAGAGAGAGAGAGAGAGAGAGAGAGAGAGAGAGAGGACUUCGAGACGCGGUAUGGAGUGAAUUUUUUUUAAUGAGGAUUUUAUAACAUGAGGGAUUUUUAUUUUUAUUUUUUUUUGGGUCUGAUCCUAUCCUAUGACAUGAGUUGAUUGUUAUUGAUAUUGAAUCUUCAACGAGCCAAAGCCCUCCUCAUUGCUACACUUAAUUUUCAUUUAUUUAAUUUAUGAAUAAGUAAAAGGUCAAAAUAGUUAUAAAAAAUAUAAUUAGAUUCUUUUCCACUCUUUUCUAUUCUUUAACCAAAUAUGAAAUCACCUAAUUUCCUUCAUUUCCUCUUAAUCAUUGUAUUAAAACUAAGCAUUAGUGUUUACUCCCAAUCAGUGUGAAUCUGGGUAGCAGCUAGUGUUUAAAUCCAAUUAAUGGGAAUCUAGGCAACGAAAGCAGCUAAUUCAAGCCCUUUACAAUUAAGAUAACUUUCAUUGUAAUUUGAGAUUGUAUGUUUAAAUGGAUUAAAUUUGUCAUUUGAAUGAUUGCCACCAUUUGUAAAUCGGUCUUGAUAUAGCAAGUUGUCAUUAUUUUCUCAGUCUAAGUUCAUCCACCAUCUUGUCUGUCAGGUAUGGGGAACUUAUAAAAUUGAUUGUUCGAGAGGUUCUACUUAAGCUGAAGAGGAAGAAUAGGCCUCUUCCUGACCAUCUAGUUGAAACAGAUGAUCUAAAGCAUAUAGAGAAAUUGUUGGAUGUUGGCUCUGAUGAUCACGUACGUUUCGUCAUACUCCAUGGGACAGGUGGUAUUGGUAAAUCAACUCUUGCUAGUGUUAUCUUCAACCGAUUCCGGUCUAAAUUCAAUUGCAGUAGUUUCCUUGGAGAUGUCCAAAGUCAUGGUCUUUUAGACAUGCAAAAGAAACUAUUGUCUGAAACAUUGGGGUCGAACUCUGCUCAAGAAAUCUAUGAUACCAACGACGGCAUUGAUCACAUAGUAAGAGGACUUGGCAAAAAGAAAGUUCUGGUUGUUGUCGAUAAUGUGGACGAGAAGAAGCAACUUGAGAAUCUCGCAGGGAGCUGCGACUGGUUUGGUUGUGGAAGUAGGAUCAUUGUCACAGUCAGGGACCUAAGGACAAUACGAAAUAAAGACAACCUAACGCGACCUAGCAAUUACAUGGACUACUCGGUAAAGGAGAUGCCUUUUGAUCAAGCAAUCCAGCUUUUCAACAAGCAUGCUUUUAGAACCAAUACUCCUUUGAAAGAUUGCUACAAAUUCUCAAAAGAAAUUGUUUCAAGUGUAGGAAAGCUUCCUUUGACUUUGGAAGUUUUGGGUUCUCUUUUCGCCAACACGAUUAGAUCUGAGUGGGACGAGAGAUUGGAGGAAUUAAAGCGAGCCCCAUAUAAGGAUGUUCGACAAACAUUGAUGAUAAGCAUUGACAAAUUGGACAGAAUAGAAAAGGCCAUAUUCCUAGACAUAGCAUGUUUUUGCGUCGGAGAGGAUGGGACUUAUGCGGACUACAUGUGGCGUAGUAGUGACUAUUCUCCACGCAGCGCAAUUGAUGUUCUUCUCCUCAUGUCAUUGAUAAAGAUUAAAGAGGACGAUAACACAUUUUGGAUGCAUGAUGAAGUUCGAGAUCUAGGAAGGUAUAUCGUGAAGGAAGAGAAUUUUGAAAAUGCUGCAGCGCGCCGUUGGGUACGAAUUGAUGAGAAUACUCUAGACAUAUUGAGGAGCAAUGAGGUGAAAGUUAUUACAAGUUGAAGAUAUGAUCAAUCCAGUAAAAUCUUUGGUCAUGUGCCUUAAAAUGAGAAUAUCGGUUGAUGGCUGGCUUUGUUUUCUAACAUAUAGAGAAAAUAGAAAGCAACUCUUAAACAACAAAAGUAUAUAUUUUCAUGCCUUACCCAAAUAAAACAAGAAGAAAGAUAAUGCAUCGUUUGGUUAGUUGAAAUUUUUCAUUUCUUGUUUCAGUGAGAAUGAAAAUAAGUUCUUUCAUUCAUUGAAAAGGUGUUUAGUUUGUGAAAAGACAGAGGCAUCAACACCGAAUGGACAUUUUAAACAGCGUGGUUUGUCUUAUUUUCUAUUUGAGAGAAGUGCAGUAAUUUUUUUUGUUACAACGUGCGCUUCAUUUAAUUUGUUUUGAGUUGAAGAAGAACUAUUAAUAUUGCGCUUCAUUUAAUUUGUUUUGAGUUGAAGAAGAACUAUUAAUAUUAUUGACUACUUGCAUUGGUUUUUCACUUCCUGUGUUGCACACUCAUUUUUAUUCUCCUAUUGCUGGUAGGAAAAAAGAGCCGUACGAGCACUCAAUUUGGGUAUUAGUCAUGACUUGACACCUGAAGAACUAGCCUAUUUGCCAAUGCUAAGGUUCCUUAGAGGGGAAAGACUAAAUUUCGUUGGCAACUUCAAGAAUCUUCUUCAUAAUUUGAGAUGGCUUUCUUGGCGUCAUUGUCCACUAUAUUUUUCAGCGACAAACCUUCACCUAGUGAAUUUGGUCGUGCUCAACCUUUCACAAAGCAAAAUCACCCACAACUGGGGUGGAUGGAGACAAAUCAAGGUACUAACACACUUGGCUUAUGUUCAAUUCAUAUUUUUUCUAAUUGACUUUGCUAGCUAGGUGUAUACUAUCGUAUUCUCAUACUUUUCAUUGGCAUGGAAUUGGCCUCUUUUUUUCAUUGUAGAUGGCAAAAAAGUUGAAAGUUCUAGACUUGACAUACUGCUUUGGGUUAACCAAGACACCUGAUUUUUCUGAGUUUAGCAAGUUGGAGAAAUUGAUUCUUAAGGGUUGUUUCAAUUUGUUUACCAUUGAUAGCUCAAUCGGUAAGCUAAAAUUGCUAAGUACUUUGAAUAUCGAUGGAUGUGAUCUCCUCGAAGGGUUGCCCGAAGAAAUCAGUUCUCUAGAAUGCUUGUCGGAGAUUAUCUUGCCCAAAUUCGAGUAUCCAAUCAAGCUUCCCAAGGCACUAGGCAAUUUAAAAUCUUUGACAAAGCUUGAAAUUCAAUCUGGUAUCAACCAAGUUCCUCACUCUAUUGGAAGGUUGAAUCUUACGAAUUUGGCUUUGUCUAAUUGUGAAAAUUUACAUGAGCUUCCAGACUCUAUUGGAGAACUACAAUCAUUGGUCAAGUUAGAUUUACGUUACUUAGGGAUCUCCAUUCUUCCUUAUUCCAUUGGAAGGUUAAAGAAUCUCAAGCAUUUGCUUUUACAUGGAUGCAAAAAUCUAAAUGAGUUUCCGGACUCUAUCGGGUGUCUAGAUAAGUUGAUCGAGUUGGAUUUAAAUUUCUUGAUGAUCUCCAUUCUCCCCGAUUCCAUUGGAAGGUUAAAGAAUCUCAAGCAUUUGCUUUUAGUUGAAUGCGAGAAACUAUACGAGCUUCCGAACUCUAUAGGGGAACUAGAAUCAUUGGUAAAGUUGGAUUUAAAACUUUUGGGGGUCUCCAUUAUUCCUAAUUCAAUUCGAAGGUUAAUGAAUUUGACGAAUUUGUCUUUUUCUAGAUGCAAUAAUCUACUUGGACUUCCAGACUCUAUCGGGGAAUUAGAAUCAUUGGUUGUGUUGGAUUUAAAUCACUCGGGGAUCUCCAUUGUUCCUAAUUCUAUUGGAAGAUUAAAGAAUCUGAAGCAUUUGCUUUUAGUUGAAUGCAAGAAUCUAUAUGAGCUUCCGGACUCUAUAGGGGAACUAGAAUCAUUAGUUGAGUUGAAUUUAAAAUUUUCAGGGGUCUCCGCUCUCCCUAAUUCCAUUGGAAGCUUAAUCAAUUUGACAAAUUUGUCUUUUUCUAGAUGUGAUAAUCAACUUGAGCUUCCAGACUCUAUUGAGGAACUAAAAUCAUUGGUCAUGUUGGAUUUAAAUCACUCGGGGAUCUCCGUUGUUCCUAAUUCUAUUGGAAGGUUAAAGAAUCUUCGAAGUUUACUUUUAGCUAAUUGCAAAAAUCUAUACGAGCUUCCAGACUCCAUAGGGGAACUAGAAUCAUUGGUGAACUUGGAUUUAAAACUUUCAAGGGUCUCUGUUAUCCCUAAUUCCAUUGGAAGGUUAAUGAAUUUGACAAAUUUGUUUUUUUCUGGAUGCGAUAAUCUAUAUGGGCUUCCAGACUCUAUUGGAGAACUAGAAUCAUUGGUCAUGUUGGAUUUAAAUAGCUCGGGGAUCUCCGUUAUCCCUAAUUCUAUUGGAAGGUUAAAGAAUCUUCGGGAUUUGCUUUUAGCUAAAUGCAAAAAUCUAUACGAGCUUCCAGACUCUAUAGGGGAACUAGAAUCAUUGGUGAACCUGGAUUUAGAACUUUCAAGGGUGUCCGUUAUCCCUAAUUCCAUUGGAAGGUUAAUGAAUUUGAAGAAUUUGUCUUUUUCUGAAUGCGAUAAUCUACUUGGGCUUCCAGAUUCUAUUGGGGAACUAGAAUCAUUGGUCGUGUUGGAUUUAACUAGCUCGGGGAUCUCUGUUAUCCCUAAUUCUAUUGGAAGGUUAAAGAAUAUUCAGGAUUUGUCUUUAGCUAACUGCAAGAAUCUAUACAAGCUUCCAGACUCUAUAGGGGAACUAGAAUUAGUGAUGAAGUUGGAUUUAAAACUUUCAGGGAUCUCUAUUAUCCCUAAUUCCAUUGGAAAGUUAAAGAAUUUGACGAAUUUGUCUUUUUCUGGAUGCAAUAAUCUACUUGGCCUUCCAGACUCUAUCGGAGAACUAGAAUCAUUGGUCGUGUUGGAUUUAAAUCACUCGGGGAUCUUCGUUGUUCCUAAUUCUAUUGGAAGGUUAAAGAAUCUGGACCAAUUGAUUUUAGCUGAAUGCAAGAAUCUAUAUGAGCUUCCGGAUUCUAUGGGGGAACUAGAAUCAUUGGUCGAGUUGAGUUUAGAACUUUCUAAGGUCUCCGUUCUCCCUAAUUCCAUUGGAAGCUUAAUGAAUUUGAUGAAUUUGUCUUUUUCUGGAUGCGAUAAUCUACUUGAGCUUCCAGACUCUAUCGGUGAACUAAAAUCAUUGUUCGACUUGAAUUUAAGUCACUCGGGGAUCUCCGUUGUCCCUAAUUCAAUUGGAAGGUUAAAGAAUCUAAAGUAUUUGUUUUUAGUUAAAUGCAAGAAUCUAUACGAGCUUCCAGACUCUAUAGGGGAACUAGAAUCAUUGGAGGAGUUGGAUUUAAAACUUUCAGGGAUCUCCGUUAUCCCUAAUUCCAUUGGAAGGUUAAAGAAUUUGACGAAUUUGUCUUUUUCUGGAUGUGAUAAUCUACUUGGGCUUCCAGACUCUAUCGGAGAACUUGAAUCAUUGGUCGUGUUGGAUUUAAAUCACUCGGGGAUCUUCGUUGUUCCUAAUUCUAUUGGAAGGUUAAAGAAUCUGGACCAAUUGGUUUUAGAUGAAUGCACGAAUCUAUAUGAGCUUCCGGACUCUAUGGGGGAACUAGAAUCAUUGGUCGGGUUGAGUUUAGAACUUUCUAAGGUCUCUGUUCUCCCUAAUUCCAUUGGAAGCUUAAUGAAUUUGAUGAAUUUGUCUUUUUUUGGAUGCGAUAAUCUACUUGAGCUUCCAGACUCUAUCGGUGAACUAAAAUCAUUGUUCGACUUGAAUUUAAGUCACUCGGGGAUCUCCCUUGUCCCUAAUUCUAUUGGAAGGUUAAAGAAUCUAAAGUAUUUGUUUUUAGUUGAAUGCAAGAAUCUAUACGAGCUUCCAGACUCUAUAGGAGAACUAGAAUCAUUGGAGGAGUUGGAUUUAAAACUUUCAGGGAUCUCCGUUAUCCCUAAUUCCAUUGGAAGGUUAAAGAAUUUGACGAAUUUGUCUUUUUCUGGAUACGAUAAUCUACUUGGGCUUUCAGACUCUAUCGAAGAACUAGAAUCAUUGGUCGUGUUGGAUUUAAAUCACUCGGGGAUCUUCGUUGUUCCGUAAUUCUAUUGGAAUGUUAAAGAAUCUAAAGUAUUUGUUUUAGUUGAAUGCAAGAAUCUAUACGAGCUUCCAGACUCUAUAGGGGAACUAGAAUCUUUGAUAAAGUUGGAUUUAAAACUUUCAGGGAUCUCUAUUAUCCCUAAUUCCAUUGGAAAGUUAAAGAAUUUGACGAAUUUGUCUUUUUCUGGAUGCAAUAAUCUACUUGGGCUUCCAGACUCUAUCGGAGAACUAGAAUCAUUGGUCAUGUUGGAUUUAAAUCACUCGAGGAUCUUCGUUGUUCCUAAUUCUAUUGGAAGGUUAAAGAAUCUGGACCAAUUGGUUUUAGCUGAAUGCAAGAAUCUAUAUGAGCUUCCGGACUCUAUGGGGGAACUAGAAUCAUUGGUCGGGUUGAGUUUAGAACUUUCUAAGGUCUCUGUUCUCCCUAAUUCUAUUGGAAGGUUAAAGAAUCUAAAGUAUUUGUUUUUAGUUGAAUGUAAGAAUCUAUACGAGCUUCCGGACUCUAUAGGGGAACUAGAAUCUUUGAUAGAGUUGGAUUUAAAACUUUCAGGGAUCUCUAUUAUCCCUAAUUCCAUUGGAAAGUUAAAGAAUUUGACGAAUUUGUCUUUUUCUGGAUGCAAUAAUCUACUUGGGCUUCCAAACUCUAUCGGAGAACUAGAAUCAUUGGUCGUGUUGGAUUUAAAUCACUCGGGGAUCUUCGUUGUUCCUAAUUCUAUUGGAAGGUUAAAGAAUCUGGACCAAUUGGUUUUAGCCGAAUGCAAGAAUCUAUGUGAGCUUCCGGAUUCUAUGGGGGAACUAGAAUCAUUGGUCGGGUUGAGUUUAGAACUUUCUAAGGUCUCUGUUCUCCCUAAUUCCAUUGGAAGCUUAAUGAAUUUGAUGAAUUUGUCUUUUUCUGGAUGCGAUAAUCUACUUGAGCUUCCAGACUCUAUCGGUGAACUAAAAUCAUUGUUCCACUUGAAUUUAAGUCACUCGGGGAUCUCCGUUGUCCCUAAUUCUAUUGGAAGGUUAAAGAAUCUAAAGUAUUUGUUUUUAGUUGAAUGCAAGAAUCUAUACGAGCUUCCAGACUCUAUAGGAGAACUAGAAUCAUUGGAGGAGUUGGAUUUAAAACUUUCAGGGAUCUCCGUUAUCCCUAAUUCCAUUGGAAGGUUAAAGAAUUUGACGAAUUUGUCUUUUUCUGGAUACGAUAAUCUACUUGGGCUUUCAGACUCUAUCGAAGAACUAGAAUCAUUGGUCGUGUUGGAUUUAAAUCACUCGGGGAUCUUCGUUGUUCCUAAUUCUAUUGGAAUGUUAAAGAAUCUAAAGUAUUUGUUUUUAGUUGAAUGCAAGAAUCUAUACGAGCUUCCGGACUCUAUAGGGGAACUAGAAUCUUUGAUAAAGUUGGAUUUAAAACUUUCAGGGAUCUCUAUUAUCCCUAAUUCCAUUGGAAAGUUAAAGAAUUUGACAAAUUUGUCUUUUUCUGGAUGCAAUAAUCUACUUGGCCUUCCAGACUCUAUCGGAGAACUAGAAUCAUUGGUCGUGUUGGAUUUAAAUCACUCGGGGAUCUUCGUUGUUCCUAAUUCUAUUGGAAGGUUAAAGAAUUUGCAGCAAUUACUUUUAUUUGAAUGCAAUAAUCUACAUGAACUUCCGGACACUAUUGGGAAAUUAAAAUCAUUAAUGGAGUUGGAUUUAAAACUCUCGGGGAUCUCUAUUCUCCCUAAUUUCAUUGGAAGGUUAACAAAUUUCACCCAUUUGUCUUUUUUUGGAUGCAAGAAUCUACAAGAGCUUCCUGAUUCUAUUGGACAAAUGGAAUUAUUGGUUGAGUUGGAUUUAAGAUCCUCGGGAAUCUCCCUUCUCCCUAAUUCCAUUGGAAAUCUGAAGAGGUUAAAAGUCUUAAAUGUGUCAUGCACAAAGAUCCAUACAAUGCCUAGUGCUCUUGGAGGGUUGGAGAUGCUCGAAAAGCUCGAUGCCUCAUAUUGUCCACAUCUCAUAGAUGAAAUCCCGUGGGAAAUGUGGAGCUUGACCUGUCUAAGGAUCUUGGACUUAAGUGGGAGCCCAAUCUCUACGGUGCCAAGAAAGAUUAGCGGUUUCUCUAGUCUCCAAACGCUUAAAAUUGCAAGUCACCGGCUUUCCUUGUUACCAGAGCUUCCCUCAAAUUUGAAAUUCCUAGUGGUUGUAGCUGCUGAAUUCCCUGUUCUUCCCGAGCUCUCAAGCCUAGUUCAUUUACAUCAUCUUGAAGUGCGUAAACAAGGCGUGACAUCUUGGACCUCGAAUGAGGUUACCUCACCUUGGAAGGACAAGCAGUCCAUCAAUCGGCUUCCACUUAGCUUAUCAAUCUUGAUACUCCACUCCAUCCCGCAAUUGCCAGAUAUUUUUUACUUCCAAAGCUUGUCAGUUCUGUCUAUUAGCGAAUGUUUGACGCCAUUCUUGCCUGAUCUAUCGUGCUUGAAGAGGCUACACGGGUUACGGCUUAGUAACUUCCCUGAACUAGCGGAGAUUCUCGGUCUCGGAGAACUGGAAUCACUGAAGUUUCUAUAUAUUACUACGUGUGAUGUGAUCAGACAGUUGCCUAACCUGUCGAAGUUGAAAAAUUUACUGCAUCUCGAGCUAAAACAUUGUGCAAAGUUGAGAGCUGUCGAAGGCUUAAAAGAAAUGAAAAUUUUGAAGAAUGUGAAAAUCAAAUGGUGCAUGUCCUUGGAAAGGUUGCCGGAUGUACCCCUGUCCACCAAGUUGGAGACAAAUUGGACACCGCCAAAACCUGAAGAGGACAUCAUUCAGCCGGCGAAGCGGUUGCGACUUUCGUUGGAAUAGUAUGACAGGCAGGCAAUUACAGCCUUGUUGAAAUUCUCAGGUUCCUUUUGAUUACGAUGAAGGAAAACAUAUGUUUUCAUAUCGGUUAUUUUUGCUAACCUGAUUUGGAUAAAGGCUAAGAAAGAAAUGGCCGCGAG
RNAcentral lists this long non-coding RNA (121312 nucleotides) under Eucalyptus grandis. RNAcentral's name for it is "long non-coding RNA (EGRA_LNC004875)". Lineage: Eukaryota; Viridiplantae; Streptophyta; Magnoliopsida; Myrtales; Myrtaceae. The record is from RNAcentral.